This 147144-nucleotide long non-coding RNA is filed under the name Coffea arabica (coffee). Lineage: Eukaryota; Viridiplantae; Streptophyta; Magnoliopsida; Gentianales; Rubiaceae. The record is from RNAcentral.
AAUGGGAGAGUAUAUACAAUAUGAAGCCUUCUGGAAAGAAAUCAUUUAGUGCUGCUGCAUGCAGAGAAUUGUUGACAAGAUGCAUGGAGAACAUUGACGUAACCAUCAAUAUGGAACAGCCACCAGUUAUUGAUCAAUGGGCAGAGUUCAAGUCAACAAAAUUUCAGAACCAAAAGGAAACUAAUGACAAAGCUGACGAGAAUCAUGAAGAGGAAAUCUCUGAAAUUGAUAUGUUGUGGAAAGAAAUGGAACUUGCCCUGGCAUCUUGUUUUUUUCUUGAUGAUGGUGAGGUAUGACUUCUAAACACGCACAUGCAAAUCCUCAACAAAAUGGUCAACCUUGAACUCUCCAUAUUUUUAACUUCGUCUGUGUCCAUGAUGAUAUUUCUUCCACUAAAAUGUAAGAGAAACACCAUGACGAUUUAAAGAUUUACAGGAUUCUCAUGCAUUUCCAACUGAAGUGAAACUGUCAACUGAGAAAGGUAGAACAGGAUGCAACCAUGAUUAUCGACUCAACGAAGAAAUUGGAGUUAUUUGCCGGCUGUGCGGAUUUGUGAGCACAGAAAUGAAGGAUGUAUCACCCCCAUUUGUAAGUCAAUUAAGAUUUGAUGAAAGAGUUAUCGAAUAUGUCAAAAGCAUGAACCAAUCUUUGCAUACAAACUUAAACAACCAGAAUGGUGUAGCUUAAGAUGUUAGUGGUACUGUAUAGCUUGUACAAGAAAGAAUGAAUGUGUUCCGAGUCUUUUAAAUGGUAAUCCCGUGAAAAUAGCCUUGCAUGCUUAAAUAAGGGCCAACUGGAUUUUAUAUUUUUUGCCUUCUUGAAGAAGGGCCAACUGGUUAUUUGGAUGAUAUGCCAUUUGUCUCUAGGGACUAAAUGAAACCAUCAUGCUGCCCGUGAACUCUUUUACGUUCGAGGUCACUUGUUUUCAUGCAAAACUUCAUUAUCUUGAUUGGUUCUCUGUUACUACCUUGGCAGUGGUCAUCCGCAAGAGGGUUUGUACACUAGGAGCAAAGGGCUGAAGAAAAUUCAGAGCAUAAGCCAAAUGGAGCUGGAGGCCUCGAUAAUUUUCAUGUUCCAGCUUCCUCCAAGGCACCUUUAUCAGAAGGAGAAGUGGAGACAACGUAUGGGCUUUAAUUCCUGAUCUUAGAAGUAAAUUGCGUGUCCACCAAAAGCGAGCCUUUGAAUUUCUCUGGAGAAACAUUGCUGGAUCUUUAGUACCAGCCCUUAUGGAAGAAAAGAGCAAAAGGAGAGGUGGUUGUGUUAUUUCUCAUACACCUGGAGCUGGCAAAUCUUGUUGAUUAUAACUUUCCUUGUCAGCUACUUGAAACUAUUUCCACGUUCUCGACCUUUGGUGCUCGCGCCUAAGACAACACUUUAUACAUGGUACAAAGACGUAAUAAAGUGGAACAUUCCUAUUCCCUUUUACCAGAUUCAUGGUGGCCAAACAUAUAAAGGUGAAGUAUUAAGGCAAAGAUUGCGCUCAAAUGCAAGUCUUCCUCGAAACCAAGAUUUUAUGCAUGUCUUAGACUGGCUGGAAAAGAUGCAGAAGUGGCUUUCCCAUCCCAGUGUCCUUCUCAUGGGCUAUACCUCAUUCCUGACAUUGACGAGAGAAGGUUCAAAUUAUGCUCACCGGAAACAUAUGGCCCAGGUUUUACAGCAGUGUCCGGGGAUUCUAAUACUUGAUGAAGGGCACAACCCAAGGAGUACGAAAUCAAAGCUAAGGAAAGCUUUGAUGAAAGUUAAUACGAAACUCAGAGUAUUACUCUCGGGUACACUAUUUCAGAAUAAUUUUGGGGAGUAUUUCAACACUCUUUACUUGACAAGACCAAACAUUGUGAAAGAGUUGUUGAAAGAGUUGGAUCCGAAGUACAAGAGGAAACAAAAGGGUCCAAACAAUCGCUUCUCCCAAGAAAAUAGAGCGAGAAAAAUGUUCACUGAUAAAAUUUCAAAGCUGAUCGACUCAAAUAUACCUGAUGAAAGGUUGGAAGGUAUAAAUAUUUUGAAGAAUCUGACUGAUGGAUUUAUAGAUGUAUAUGAAGCUGGGAGCACUGACAAUCUCCCUGGUUUACAAUGCUACACAUUGAUGAUGAAGUCAACCUCUCUUCAACAAGGAAUUUUGGAGAAGCUUCAAAAUCAAAGGCGUGUUUACAAAGGUUUCCCAUUGGAACUAGAACUAUUAAUCACUCUUGGGGCAAUUCAUCCUUGGUUGAUAAGAACAACUGCUUGUUCUAAUCAAUAUUUCAGUGCGGAAGAAUUGGAGGAUCUUGAAAGAACUAAAUUUGAUGUCAAAUUUGGUUCAAAGGUCAGAUUUGUUAUGAGUCUUAUACCCAAGUGUGUGUUUAGAAGGGAGAAGGUCUUGAUCUUUUGCCAUAACAUUGCUCCAAUCAAUCUGUUUCUUGAGCUAUUUGCUACCGUUUUUAACUGGCAAAAGGGCAAAGAAGUGCUAGUGCUUCAAGGUGACAUUGAACUGUUUGAGAGAGGGAGGGUGAUGGAUAAAUUUGAGGAGCCUGGUGGACCAUCAAAGGUUAUGUUGGCAUCUAUUGUGCUGAAGGGAUUAGCUUAAUUGCAGCAUGACGAGUAAUAUUGAGGAUCCUUCUCAUUGGCAAGCACAAAAAAUUGAAGACGAACUAUUGAGGGAGAUAGUGGAGGAAGAUCGAGCUACAUUAUUUCACAGGAUAAUGAAGAUUGAGAAGGCAUCAAGCGUGAUCAGAGGUAAAGAAUCAUAUAACAUUCCAUUACUAACGGCUGUAAAAUAAUUUUAUGCAAAUUUAAGAACCUGACCUUUUUCUGUCUUCUGUUUUCCGGCAUCUUUUCUUUUCUUUAGAAGGGGAAGGAGGAAGCGUGAGGGGAGAAUUGGGUGCAUGAGAAUCAAACUCUGGUUUCUCAUUUCUUUAUAUACAUUAUUUUCGUCCGGUCCUUGAUCCUCUAAUGUAGCUUAAUUCAUCGCAUUGGCGAAGAGGAUGAGUGGUAAAAUUUCUACCAUCUCGUCUUGAUUUGAAAUAAUCCUGGCAGAACUAGGUAUUAUCUCCAUGCACGUUGAAACAAGCAUUAACAAAACAUAAUAAUGAUAACAAUAAUAAUAAAAACCCUGGAGUUUAUAUAUAGCUCCUAGCUUCUAUAAUGUAUUAACCCUUGACCUGACUAACCAAAGUAUAUCAGAUUAAAAGAUGAAAAACAAAGGAAAAUUGUCAACCGCCAUCUCCUUUACACACGGCAAAAGAAGUAAAUUAAAAUAAAUAAAUAAAUAAAUAAAGCUGAUGUUUGGCACAUUAUCGAAGUUAUCAUAGUCAUCUAACUCAAGUUCAAAAAGGAAUUAUAAGAAAGGAUUAAACAUCACUUCUCUGAUAGAAUAACUAGACUUUUUGAGAUUUAGAAUCAUACGUUGCACAAGUUCAUUGCAAAAUCAGUAGAUACAAGGGAGGGAAAUUUCAGAAAAAAAAUAAAAACAAAACGCUGCAGAGAUUCAGGUUUCAUCCUACCCAAGCUGAUUUUCGUUUGUCGAGUUUCCAUGCAUGCACGUCAAAUUCAUGAAAAGAAUUUGGUAGGAAAUUUUCUACGUUAUACGAGCCAUGACAAAAAUGCGACAUGUAUCUACUUGAGAAGGUUUACUGUUUUCUUUCUUUCGCACAUGUACAAUUGCGAGGACUACGUGCAUGGAUCAAUUAAAAAAAAAACCCUAAAACACGAUGGUCAAAUGAUUAUAUUAUAUCCAUCCUUUUUAAAUAAAUAAAAAACUACUUUGGUAAAUUAUCUGCAAAGUAACACAGUUCACAUAACAUCAAGGAAUCAAUUGCACAUGGUUAAAAACGUGCAAAACAGUAGACAUAAUAGAGUAGUAUGUUCUUUACAUCAAGCUUAAACCAAAGCUUAUGGAAAAAGAAAUGGUCAAAGUUUAAUUGUUGGGGCAAAGUGUGAGAUUUGAUAUGCAAAAGAAAAACUUCAAAACCAGUAAAAAGCAGUACGAAAAAGCUUUUAGGUUCAGUAUAGGCCACCUGAGUCUCCGCAUUUGCUUCUCAUGCACGUCCAAUAUCCCAAGUCUCACGGAUAUAUAUAUAUAUAUAUAUAUAUAUAUAUAUGUAUAUAUAUAUAGAUAUACAUGAUAUGGAAAAAAAGAAUGAAAUUAUUGCUGUAAGAAAACGUUUCUAUACUGACUAUUUCAUGUUAAAUACGAUAAAUUUUGGUAUGAUAAAUGAAUUUCCACUGUUUACUUUAAUCAUGUUUAAUAAUGGAAAAGCCUUGGCGGUGAGAUAGUUUAUUUGAUCCUUAUGAUCACAAGUUAUUGUCUAAAAGGGUCUCUUAUGAUCACAAAUGAAGCACUAGGAACUGUUUGCUAGAGAUGAAUUUAAUAUAAUCGAUGACCAAAAUAUGCACUCUCUGAAAAACUCCGGCUCUUUUUUCUUUUUAAUUGACCCCAGAAAGCUUGUGCCUGCUCAUGAAAUCACAGCAAAUAAAAAAUUUGGAAAAAUUAUAGGUAUUUCUUUGGGCAUGAAAAGUGGAAAAAAUUUUGAUGUCUUCAAAAUUAAGCAAUUGCGUACAAGAAUCACUCUUUCAGAGAAGUUUUAAGUUAAGCAUGAGUGAAAUUUUUGAUAACAAUUUUGGAUUUAACUUGUACUGCCCCACACGGAAUCCUCAGUGCCACUUUUCCAGUGGCAAUUCAGUGCCACUUCUAUAUUUAUGCCAAGUGUCCUGUUUAUUUAAUUUGUCAUGUGCUGUUUAUUUAAAUUUCUUCUACCAUCACAUGGUAAGUGGAAUUGGCACUGAGUAGUGGUAUAGAGGAUCUCAACUGGUACUGCCCAGCAAGUGACAAUUUAAGAAUAUAUAAAUCUUAAAUAAAACAUUUAAAUAAGGAAUAUCACAACAGGAAAUGAAAUACCAAAUUAGUGAAACUUAGGGUUUGUUUGGAAGGCAAGUUUUUUGCCUAUUUUUUCUCAUAUAAGUUUUUUAACAAUUUCAUCUACCGUAAUCUUAAAAAACUCCCCAAAAUUUUAAAAUAAACACACCAAAUAUACAAAAACAGACAAAAAAUUUUUCCCUUCUUACUCAUCCUUCCUCCCCACACCUCAAUCUACCAUCACCUCCACCGUUGGCAGUCGCCGACAACCACCUUCACGGGCAUUGGUGUUGGGGCUGGCAUUGACAUCUCUCUCUCCUUCUCCCUUCCUCCCUUCCUCCCUCCUCUCCCCCUCCUCCUUCUCUUUUCUCUUCUCCCCCUACCCCCUCCCCCACCUCCUUUUCUUCAUCUCUCUCCUCUUCCCUUUUUCCCCUUCUGGGUGGUGAUUUUUAGGAUCUAGAUUGCGUGCGACUACAGUAGCAACCAUAACUAGCAUUUAAUGGCCGAAAUUGGCUUAGCCAAGAUUGAGCUAGAAGUCGUUUACGGUUGCAAUGAUCUUGAUUUUAGUAUUUAGAACUUUAGUUGUGCUGAAAGAGGAAUCACGAAUUCCUAAAAAAAGUAAGCAUAAUUCAAAUUGAAGAAAAAGAAAGGGCAAGAAAAAGAGAUUGGCACAAGGUUGGCAUUUCCGCUACAACUAGAUUAGGUCUAGAUCCAAAAGAGGGAACAUAGUCUAACCCACAAAUAAAUGAGAGGACUAAGUCCAAUCCAAAACCUAAUCACUGAUGGGGCACAUAGAAGUCAGAAAUAGUGCACACAAAGAGCUAAGUAAGCGUAGUUUAAUCUCUAAUCCAACAGCAUAAACUUUUGAUACCAACUUUCCUUUUUUGGUAUUUUAGGGGUAAGAAUUGUAGCAUUUACCCUAGUGAAAUAUACGGAAAUAACAGAUCCAUCAGCUAGUUUUACUUCUUAAGCUCUGAGUAUGUACUUUUCUAUUAGUUUCAAGUUAGUUGCUUAUUGGUAACAAAUGUUCAUUUUUCACUUUAGCCAAAUUUUAAAUGUAUUUUAAACUUUAAAAAGAACUUGGUUACAAGUGUUGUCAUUUAUAUAUCAUAAAUCUCACUUUCAAGUGUUGUCAUUUAGAUAUCAUAAAUCUCACUUUAAUCUAGAAGUAUUCAUCUACCAGCAUAUCUCUAUUACAACAGUUAUUCUUUCACAAAAUUUAGGGAUGUUUAGGUUGCAAUUUCUCGUCCUCGUUUUUGUUUGUGAGGUACUUUCGUAAAGGUGGUCUUUAAACUUCCUUUUCCUAACAUCAAGAUUGCAUGUGAUAGACCUUCUAGUGAAGUGCCUUGGAUAGCCAACUCCAAUGGAAAAUUCUCAAGACGAUCAGCCAACCCCAAUUAAAUCUAUCAAAGUUUACAAGCCUAACACACAACUAAUCUUAAUUAAGAUUACAAUGUUUGUAAAUAUUUUUAAAAUUUUUAAAUAAUGAUAUUGUAUACACCAUUACCAUUGGAUGUAUGACAACUCAUUUGAAUAUAAAUUUAAAAUCCAAAUUAUGCUCAUAUGUCAUACAUCCAACCAUGAUAGUAUAUAAAUAAAAAUUUUUAUUAUAUUCCUUCUAAGUACUCUAUUUCAUCUCGUAUUUCAUAGGUAUAAAUAAAAUGGAUACACAUAUAGAGUACAAAAUGUACAUCUUUCUUUUCUAUUAUUAAUAUAUUAAUAAAAACUCAGCAAAGAAAGUUAAGUUAACUUUCAAAUGACUAAAUAUAUACAUCGGGACGUUUCUUAGUAAUGGCUAGUGUGAUUUAUAAUUUGAAAUAGAUUAAUUAAUAUUAUCCUUGUAAAAUCUAUGUAAAAGGAAAAAAUGAAGGAGCUCCAUCUAAGAACUUCUAAUUGAGAUAGGAAUAAACACUAUGUUACCAAAAUAAAAAGCUAAUUUUGAAUCAAUCCAAAGUUUAAAAUAAACAAGGUUUAUAAGAUUAAAAAGGUCCAUUAUGCACCUCAUGGCUAUGUCAUAAUAGAUCUUAACACUUACCCCAGAUCGACUUCUUGAUGAUAAUUGCUCUAGUGAAUAAUUAGAGAAAAUGGAUAGAUGGAAGAUCAAAAAAUAGAAGAGAAAUAAACUAAUUAUAUAAAUAUCUUAUUUGACUUUUGGCAAAUUUCUUUGUAUGUGUUGUCCAGAAAGAGGAGAAUUCAAUGAUUAUUCAUUCACCGAAACCAGAAGUAAAAAUAGUGGUAGAUAGGGAUCCUAUAAAAACUUCUUUCGAGGAAUGAACAAAACCAAGUCAUUUUUCAAAAACAAUAGCUAAAGGACCUAAGACUACCACUUGGAUUUGGAAUCUACAUGCUGAUAUUCAUCAUUUCAAUAGAAAUACCAUUAAUUCGAAGCAAAUUUCUAGAAAAGUAUUUAAUGCCCAUUUCGGCCAACUCUUCGUCAUCUUUAUUUGGCUAAGUGGCGUAUAUUGUCACAGUGCCCGUUUUUCCAAUUAUGAAGUGUGGUUGAUCCAACUCAUAUUCGGCCUAGUGCCCAAGUGGUUUGAUCAAUAGUGAGACACUAUCACGGUUGGAUGUAUGAUACAUCCAAAAUUUGAAUUAAUAAAGAUUACAUCACUAUCAACGCACAUAAUAUUUACUCUUUAACAAAAAAAUUGAUAUUUUAUAUGCUGACAGUGUAUACAUCAUCAUCAUUCAAUGCAUGACAACCUAUCUAAAUUUAAAUUUAAAAUCUAAAUUUUGCUCAUAUGUCAUCCAUCCAACCGUAAUAGUAUAUAAAUUAUUGUGUAUAAGAUUUACUCUUUGAUAAUGAUUAAUUUUUUUAGAUAUUAAAAGGAACUAUAUGAAUUCUUAAGAAAAUUACAACUAAAGACAGCCAAUUAUAUGUUAAAAGUUUUGAAUUGUGUACUUCAAGUCCAAGUCUCACAUUUAGUUCUACAAGGCCAUAAUCUAAAUUGCUGGAUUCCUAUCCAAGCCUCACAUGAUAGUAAGAUAAUUGUGCAUGUUAUUUAUUAAUAUUUUAUCUUAAUUUUGGCAAAAUAUUAUGCUAAUUGAUGGAUUUUGCUUAUAUUUGGUGUUUUGUGUUGUUUAUAGGACUUUGAAGUAGAAAAUGGCACUUCAAGUUAAAAUUUUCAGAAAACUAUUUGCUCCAAAGCAUGCCCAUGCCAGAGAUUGAGAAGUUGAAGAUUGGACAUGGGAUUCAUAAAUUAUCUCUGAAAUUUGGAAUUAUCUUUUGCACGUUUUGUUAGGAGUCUUUAUUAUAAUAGGGAACUUGUUUAGUUAGUAUUUUAUUUUGGGAAAAGUUAGUUUCAGAUAAAUUUUUGAACUAGAUUAGGAUAGGAAACAAAGGAGAAAUUAAUCUACGGUUUGAGAAAAAGAAGGAAGACAAGAUUUGAUCAAUCACUCGGGAAGGAAGAUCAAGGAGGACCUUUUCUUAUUAAGCUCCUUCGUUACUUGAUGAGAGAGUAUCGUGACUAGUAGUUCAACCUCUCAUUCGCACUUUAAAAAUAACAUUUAGUAGGUUUCUUUCUAGUUUUGCAAGUUUUACAAAACAAGACUUGUAGAAAGACUUUCAUAGAGAUUUGUGGCAGUGCUUUCUUCAGGGAGCAAAACUAAAUUUAUGUCUAGUUGAGGAGUAAUCAGGCAUAGUUUCAUGAUCAAUUGUGAGAUCUUUUAAUUUUUUUCCUGUUCUUUAUUUUAUAUGUUCAUGAGUAUUUAAUUAUAUUCUGUAUUUUAAUGAUUACUAUCAUUUGGGUUUAAUUGAAUAAUUUGGACAACUAUUCAAUUGUCUGAAUGAUUUAAUGCCAAUUAAGACAUCAAGUUCACAAUACUUGAUAGUUUGAUAUUAGUGGCAAAUAACACAGUUUCACUACCUCACAAGUAGUCUAAUUUGUAUCAUGGGAAUAAUUAAUCUAGUUUAAAUGAACUUGUAUGUGUAUUUGUUAACUAGAAUUAGGUCUCUCUAAAUUUUAAAAUUGUAAAUAGAUUAAAUCUUAUGAGCAUCUCUAAAAUUAUCUACUUUACAAGGGAAGUAGUUAAUGAGCGUCUCUUGACUGUCGAGAAAUUAAGGAGGGAUUGGUAGUUCGGGGGUUGUUGAAUUGUUAUAACCAAUUAAUUUGUGAACAUAUAAGUUAUUUCUGAUAUCAAUGAUCAAUUGAGUGAAUCGUUGCGAAGAUUAUUUCCUUGACUAGAUUUUGAUAAUUAAUUUAUUCUAUUGCAUUACUUUAUUUUAUUUUAUUAUAUUUUCAAAGAAAUUCUAUAACCUUUUCCCCCUCCAAUAUCCAGUGCAUUUCUCUGUGAGUAAUAAAUCUACUAGUUCCCUAAGGAGACGAUCCUACUCAUCACUAUGCUCAUUAACUUUUGGGGAGUAGGUAAUUUUAUUUUUGGUGGUUUGACACCCACCAAUUUUGGCGCCGUUGCCGGGGAACUAGUGCUUGAAAUUAUUUGUUACUUUACAUUUUGAUUAUUUUCUAUUUUAUGCCUCGAUCUUCCCAUACAGGAAAGCUUGAAUUUGAUCCGGAGAUCAGGAAAAGAACCAAGAGAUUGGCUAAGGAAGCUAAAUUGCGUAAGCAAUAAGAUUCAUCACCAUCUUCUCCUGGACUUGACUUUGGUUGUUGAGUUAAGCAGAUCAUUUUGUGAUUUGGAAGAGGAUAUAAGGGGAUUGGAGGAAGGGAUGGUAGCUCAAAGGACUUUGAGGGAACUCACAACUCCAAAUGUUAACUAGCAGCCAUUAUGCAUCACAUAUCCUGAAACUAAGGAAGCUUUCGAACUUAAAUUUAGUUUAAUUCAUUUAUUGCCUACUUUUCGUGGUAUUGUAGUUGAAGACCUACACAAACAUUUGAAAGAGUUUCACGUAGUAUGUUCGACUAUAAAAUCUCAAUGUGUUAUGGACGAACAAAUCAAGCUAUGAGCUUUUCCUUUUUCUUUAGCAGACAAGGCUAAAGAUUGAUUGUAUUACUUACCAUCGGGAUCUAUAACCAAAUGGGAAGGACUCAAAAAGCAGUUUCUUGAAAAGUUCCUUUCGGCUUCCAGGGCUGCUAACAUUACGAAGGACAUAUGUGGUAUGAGGCAAACUAUAGAAGAAUCCCUCUACAAAUACUGGGAAAGGUUCAAACAAUUGUGUGCUAGUUGCUCACAUCACCAGAUACCCGAUCAACUAUUGAUUCAAUAUUUUUAUGAAGGAUUGUCACCGAUGGAUAGAACCAUGGUAGAUGCAGCUAGUGAUGGUGCUCUAGUCAAUAAAACAACAGAUCAAGCCACAAGGUUGAUUUCUAAUAUAACUAAAAAUUCUCAACAGUUCAAUGCUAAGACAGAUGGAGUGACUAGAAGGGUAGAUGAGGUAAAUCAUUCUAACCUUGAAAAUCGUCUAUUUGAACUAACUGCUUUGGUUCGCCAAAUGGCUGUAGGACAAUUGUAGGCGGCUAAAGUAUGUGGGAUUUGUAUUGUUCCCGGACAUCCAACUGACUUGUGUCUAACUCUUCAAGACGAUUCUCAUGAACAGGCAAAUGCUAUGGGAGGUUUUUCAGAACCACCGCAAAGGAGAAAUGACCCGUAUGGUCCUCCAUAUAAUCCAGAGUGGCAAAAUCACCCCAACUUCAGCUAGCUUCAAAACCGCCAGGUUUUCCACAACCCUUUCAAGCGAGACCACUAGCGUAGCAACCAUCAACUUCUAAUACAGGUAUGUCACUUGAGGAUAUGGUCAAAUGCAACAAGAAUCACAGAGAUUUCAAUAAGAAAGCCGAGCCAGCAUUCGAAAUUUGGAGACACAAGUUUCGCAACUUGCAUAUUCAAUGAACAAUUUUGAGAAUAAUAAAAGUAAACUACCAGCUUAGGGUAUUUUGAAUCCAAAGGAGAGUGCAAAUGCAAUGACCCUCCGUAGUGGCAAGGAAAUACAGUCCUCGAUACCAUAAGCAAGAAAAAUUAAUGAAGAAAAAUUGAAUGAAGAGCUUGAGAAGAAAGAGCCUUCAACUGAAAAAGUAAGACAUAAAUACGAUGUUUCUAAAAUACUUGAAAUUGACCCUCCUUUUCCUAGCAGGAUGGCUAAAACAAAGAAGGAAAAAUCUGAGAAGGAAAUCUUGGAGACAUUUUGAAAAGUUGAGAUUAAUAUCCCUUUGCUUGAUGCGAUUAAGCAAUUACCUAAAUAUGCAAAAUUUCUGAAGGGAUUGUGCACUAACCAGAAUAAACUUAAUAAUGAUGACAGAAUAAGGGUUAGUGAGAAUGUGUUAGUAGUCCUCCAAAAGAAGUUGCCUCAAAAGUGCAAGAAUUCAUGUAUGUUCACAAUACCAUGCAUUCUAAGCAACAAAAGAAUAGAAAGAGGUAUGCUUGAUUUAGGAGUAUCUAUUAAUGUUAUGCCUUUAUCAAUAUUUAAAAUCUUAAAUUUAGGACCUCUUAAGGAUACAAGGCUAAUAAUUCAACUAGCUGAUAAAUCUAAUGUUUAUCCUGAAGGCCUAGUUAAAGAUGUUCUAGUGAAAGUUAAUGAACUUAUUUUUCCUACUAAUUUUUACAUUGUUGACAUAGAUGAUGACUAUUUUGUCAAUUCAGCUUUAAUUCUCUUGGGUAGACCAUUUAUGAGUAUUGUUAGAACAAAAAUUGAUGUGUAUGAAGGUACUUAUCUGUAGAGUUUGAUGGAGACAUAGUUACCUUCAAUAUUUUUGAUGCAAUGAGAUACCUAGAGAAUAUUGAAUCUGUUAAUUAUGUUGGUAUUACUAGUUCCAUUGUGCAAGCUAAUUUUGAGCAAAAUUUUAUGGAAGAUAAGCUGGAAUUUGUGUUACAGCAUAGCAAGACAAAAGCGGAAGUAGAACUUGAGGAUGAGGAAGCUAUACAAGAAGCAAUUACGGCUCUACAAUCACUUCCUGAAUUUCCUGACAAGUUAGUUAACUCAUUUUUGCAAUUACCACCCUUGAUUGAGAAAAUCUUGCUUUCUGUUGAAUAGGCACCCAAGUUGGAUUUGAAAGAAUUACCAGAGCAUUUGAAAAAUGCUUAUCUAGGAGAGAAUCAAACCUUGCCUAUCAUUAUUGCAAGUGAUUUGACAAUGGUUCAAGAAGAAAAACUUUUAUGAGUUUUGCAAGAUUUCAAACCUGCUAUCGGAUGAACAUUGGCAGUUAUCAAAGGUAUUAAUCUUUCGAUUUGUAUGCAUCGUGUUUUACUUGAAACAUAUGCAAAGCCAGUAACGGAGCAGCAAAGAAAGCUUAAUCCGGUAAUGAAGGAAAUUCUUAAACUAUUGGAAUUAGGAAUUAUUUAUCCUAUUUCUGAUAGCGAGUGGGUAAGUCUAGUGCAUGUAGUUCCUAAAAAGAUAGGAAUUACGAUUGUUCGAAAUGAGAAAAAUGAGUUAGUGUCGAUGAGAUUUCAAAAUAGCUGGAAAAUGUGUAUUGAUUUCAAAAAUCUGAAUGCAGCAACAAGGAAAUACCACUUCCCCUUACCUUUUAUUGAUAAGAUGCUUGAAAGGUUGCCAGGUAAAUGUUUCUUUUACGUUCUUGAUGGAUAUUCUGGGUAUUAUCAAAUUAGUGCUACUCAGGAAAACAAACAUAAAACUACUUUUACUUGUCCUUUUGAAACUUUUGCUUACCGUCGCACGCCUUUUGGAUUGUACAAUGCCCCAGGUACAUUUCAAAGAUGCAUGAUGAGUAUCUUUUCUGACUUGAUUGAGAAUUGCAUUGAAAUAUUCAUGGAUGAUUUUACCGUUUAUGGCAAUUUUUUUGAUCAAUGUUUGCAUCACUUAACGAAAGUUUUGAAACAGUUUUGAAAACGUUGGAUUUGACAAUGAUUGCAUUCAAAUGAAACAAUUUGGGCCACAUUGUUUCAUUUAGGGGUAUUGAGGUUGAUAAACUCAAGGUCGAUUUAAUUACUAAUUUACCUUACCCUACUAAUAUAAGGGAGAUUCGUAGUUUCCUUGGUCAUGCAAGUUUUUACUAGAGAUUCAUCAAAGAUUUUUCUAAAAUUACACAACCAUUAUCUCGUCUACUUCGAAAGGAAGUGUCAUUCCAUUUUGGAGAUGAUUGUAAGUUGGCAUUCAAGUCGAAAGAAAUGUUGACCACAACACUAAUCAUUCAACGUCCAAAUUAGAGUUUAUCUUUUGAACUCAUGUGUGACGCGAGUCAAUAUGCUGUUGGUGUUGUACUCUGACAAAAAAGUAGGAAGUGUAGCCAUGCCAUCUAUUAUGCUUAAAAAACAUUGACCCCAACUCAAUGCAACUACACCACCAUGGAGAAGGAGCUUUUGGCAAUUGUUUUUGCUUUUAAGAAAUUUAGAUCAUAUCUGUUGGGAUCGAAAAUAACAGUUUUUCUGAUCAUGCAACUUUAAAAUAUCUUUUGGCAAAGAAGGAUUUUAAGUCAAGACUCAUUCGUUGGAUACUUUUAUUGCAAGAGUUUGAUUGGGAGAUCAAAAAUUGUAAAGGAGUUGACAAUUCUAUGGUAGAUCACUUGAGUAGAUUGAUUUGAGAAGAGAAAACAAUACCCAUAUCCGAGGUACUUCCUAAUGAGCAUUUAUUUCAUCUUAAGGGUAAGAAGCCUUGGUAUGCAGAUAUUAUUAAUUUUCUAGUGACUCAUAAAUUUCCAAAUGAUAUGAGUAAGGCUAAGAGGGAUAAAAUAAUAAAAUAUUCUAAGUAUUACAUAUGGGAUGAGCCAUAUUUAUGAAAAAUAGGCUCAGAUCAGGUCAUCCAUAGAUGUGUACCUAAUGAAGAGAUUCAUUCCAUACUUAUGCAUUGUCAAAAGUGAGGUGACGAUAAGUCACCAUAGCAUUAUCCUAACGUGAAACUAGUAGGUAACAAUUCUAGCAAAAGCUAAAAGGAUAUAGACAAGCUCUACUCCACUAGUGAACUUCUAUGGGGAAACUGGUGUUCUUGUUUUCUUAGGCCACCACCAAAAGUAGUAAACAUGAGGGUGGACUUUGAAGUGAUAAUAGAUUCUUCUCCGUGCAAUGCAUUAUCGGGAGUCUUACUAUCACUUCACUUGAGGCUAUUCUCUCUUUUGUCCAUCAAAUAAUAAAGUUCCCUAACUACUAAACCUUGCAUAGAAGAAGUGAAAGAGGUUCAAGUUGCUGCUUGGAAAUGCUACGUUGCAUCUCUUAAAGGCAAAAGAAAGAAAAUUUUGUUUACUUGUACAAAUUGGCAUGCACCUAAAAAAAGGAGAGAAAGAGUGGAUAGUCAUGAAGUAAACAUAGAAAAAAAGGGAAUGACUCUGAUGAAGAGCUCGAGCAAGUAUUUGUGGAUAUCCUUGAAGAACAUGAAUGAAGUGAGUAUGGCGAUGAUGACUUCACUAUAGGAGAAAAGAAAACAAAGGAAGUUACUGAGGAACUUUUCCAAGUUAUCAACUUCGUUCAUCUAGUAGAGUAUCUCAAAAGACUUAGCAAAGCAGUUCUUUUUGAGAAGUAGGACAUAAGUAUGAGAGGUUGUGUAGAGAAAUCCUGGAUUUCUAACUCGUUCCAUUUGAAGUUUUAUUUUCAACAAGAGCUUCUAACUCGUUCCUUCUAGGAAUCCAAAAGUUCAUGAUGUAAUCAACUCAGGGAGUGGACAAGUUUCAUCAUCUUAUAUCUUCUAGUUGAUUAAUGAAUUCCUAUUAUAUUCAAAAAACUUGUAAGAAAACUCUUAAAACUUUAGCUAUCUUGGAUUAUUGCAAGACGCUAUACUUAAAUGAGAUCUCGUGAAAAUAAACGGACAACCCUCCUAAAGAUGCAAGCCAAGUAGUUAGCCCUCCCGAAGGCGUAGACUACUAAUCAAAAAAAUAUAGUCCUCUAAAUGAUGCAUGAUACAUAAAAAUUCAUUUGGAAAAAGACUCCUCUAAGUCUAAACUUAGAAAAAAUUAGCAAAGGGGCUAAAAGUUAAUUCCAAAUUUUCUACUACAUUAUAUCAUAGAACUCAUAUUUGGCUUUUUGUGGUAGUUUACAAAAAAAUUCUUGUAGACACCAAAAUUUUACUAUUUUAUUUUUCUUCAUUUUAUUCCUAUUUUUGUUCAUUUUAGUUAAAUUUUAUUUAUUUUAAUUUAUUUGGUUUCAUUUCUAUUUCUUGAGAAAAAUCAUUUUUUUUAGAAAAAUAAAAAAAAAGAAAAGAAAGAAAGGAAUAGCAAAAAAAAAAAGAAAGAAAAAAAUUUGAAAAUUGCAGUUUUUGCCAAAAAAAAAAAAAAAAAAUUGGAUCCACACACGUGUCACCAUGGGGAUGGCUCUUGCACCAUGUUACAAGGGUCAUUUCUUGGCCAUUUUCACUCAUUUUUCUUCCGUUUUUUCCUCCAUUCGAUCACUUCAGUACAAAACCACUUGGUAUUGAUCCAAAACACCAAGAAAGACCUGGAUUCAAGCUAAUCUAAUGGCUCAAAGUGUCCAAGAAAACCAACCAUCAUCUACACCCAUAAUUCUAGGUUUUGGGGAGGAUUUGUGGCUAUAAAAGGGAUAAAAAAACACAGCCCUAACAAGAAGGAGAGUGAGAGGCGGCUGAGCAAGAAAGAAAAAAAGGAAAAAGCAGCAAACCAAGAGAAAACACAGAGAAAAAUUUUUCUGCAAAAAAUUUUCCGACCAAGGCUGACUUUUCAGCCAUGUUGCGACCACUAUUUCUCUCUCAAUAUAGCUUAUUUUGAGACGUUUUUAAUUUCUACACACUCCCUGAAGUCAAGAGAACAACUUGGAUUCUGAAAUCUCGUCCAUAAAACAUCAAGAAAGCCCCCGAAUUCGGCCCCCAAAUCUGCUACUUCGUUCCACUGCUGCAUGCCCGAAAACUGAGCCAGGGUUGAUCGUUUGGCUCACUUGGUGAUCAAAAUCUGAUCUCAGUUGUACCCCUUUGGGUGUGUUCUUUACAUCUGCACCAUCUAUGUUCAUCAGUAAAAAACUUUUAUUCAGAAACUCUUUGGAAGAAACGGUUGAAAGUCUAUUGAAUCUGGGCGAAAAUUCAUCACUCCAUCAAUCUUGAAGUGGGUUUCUAGAAGUUUUCAACUUCAUUUUCCAGCUCUCAGAUUCAUUUUCCUUCGAAGUUUACUACCUCUUCUCAUCAAAGGUAGCUUCUUUUGUUCACUUUCUCACUGUAUAAGCUUGAAUCCUUCCAAAUCCGUCAAAAAGCUGGUUGCAUCAAUGCUUGUUUUGUUUCCUUUUGAUGCACAUUUUUUUAGCUUAGAUUUUUGGGUAUAAUCUUGUGUUAAAUCUUGGAAGAUUGAGUUUUGGUGAUAGAGCUGUAUAAUUUUCUUGUUUUGGUUAGGAAGUUUUGAUGAUUCGUUUGGACUUUUUGCCUGCGUUUGAUAACUCAAAAAAGUGCAAAAGAAAGCCCUUCUUCAUAAUUUUUCAUGUGUUAAGUAGGUUUUGGGUGGAAUAAUUCUAAACUUUAGGGCGUAAUUAGGGUUUAAUAUUUUUAGUUGAUUUUAUCUUGUUGGGUUUUGUAAGAAAAUUUAAGCUUUUAGUUUAAGAUUGGUUGGGUUGGAUUUAGUAAAAGAGUUUUAAUUUGUUUUAGAUGGGUUUUGACUUGGGUUUAAAUGCUAUAGCCCAUGCAUUUUUCGGUUGAGUUUGAGUGAUAAAAGUAAGGGCUUGCCUGUGUUAUUUCUUUUGAACUUUUGGUUGGGCUAAGUAGUUUCUGGCCCAAGAAAAUAAAAAAAUGACCCAAAUGGCCUUUUAUUUCAAGAAGUCUGAUACGAAAUUUGCAUUCGAGCCCUAGACUUUUGAGUAAUUUUACUGUGAUCCUAAAAAUUUUAGAUUACUUUCAAUUAGGUUCCUAAUUUAACUGCAAUUUGAUCCCUAAACUUUAGUUUUCUUUAUUUUGACCCCUAAUCUUUGUAAUAAUUAUAAUUUGACCUAAAAACUUUCUUAAUUUUUGCAAUUAGGCCCCUAAUAGUUUGAUUUCUUAAAUACAAGUUGUUUAUCUUCUUUAAUUGUUAAUUAUACUUUAUUUAAGUGCUUUAUUGGUAGAUUUCAUGAUUAUUUCCAUUUUUUUAUAAUUAAAUUGGUGUCUUAAUCAUUUUGUUGUUUUUGGAGUAUAAAUAGGGCAAAUUUCACCCAUUUAACUACAACUUCAAGGGAGAUGACUUCUUUUAUUAUUUUAAAUUAUUUUAUGUGCUCUAAUAUGUUUUUUAUGUGUGUAAUUGCAUGUUUUGAGUGCUUUUAUUUUAAUUAUUCAUUUUACUCAUUUUAAGUUUCAUUUAUUUUAUGUAAUUUUUUAUGAUUAUUUGAGAGGCAUUAAAAUGCCAAAUUGUAAUAGAUAGGUGCUCAAGACAUGUAUUUAGUUAGCCUAUGUAAUAGAUAGGUUUUAAUUUUUGUUAAAAAUAUAUUUAGUUAGAUAAAUGUAAUAGUUAAGUUAUUAUUUUUUUAAAUUCCCCCCUUAGAUUGUAAUUAGAGCUCCAAAUGUAAUAAUUAGGUUUUUAUUUGCAUUUAUUUGCUUGUAUGCUUGCAUGCUUGUGUGUUUACGUGUUUAUUCGUUUUCAUUAGGGUUUUGCAUCUAGAAAUUAUGCUUACGUGUCAUGUGCUCUAUGUGUAUUAUGUGUUUAUUUGCUUUAAUUAUGUUUCAUAUGAUUUAUUUGUUUGUAAUAAAUGCAUGACGUCACCACACUAGUCCAACGGUAGUUGUGGUCAUUCUUCCCGAUUUUUACUAGUCCAACGCUAGUGAACAUUUGUAGAAAUGAGUUAGUCCAAUGCUAGACCCUUUAUACCGUCUCGCGAUAGAAUCACAUUUUUGUGUGACACUCAUCACAUUUCAUACAUGUUUUUUUAUUUUUAGCGUCUUUUCUCAUCUUGCAUGAUAUUUCCUCUAUAUAUUAUCUUUCUUAUCCCUAUGUGUGCGAAACAUGACAUUUAGACUUGCAUUCCAUUUAAAAAAAAUAGAAGUAGGUUAGUUCAUUUGUUUGAUUAGGUUAGAAGAGUCACCCUUCAAAUAUGGGAAAUGAACGAGUAUGGCUUUAUAGCCUUAGCACGGUCGUUUCCCCUCUUUAAAAAGGAAAAUUAAAGUCACGAAUCUUAGUCUCCCAUACUUAGGGAUGGCAAUGGGGCGGGGGACCCCUCCCCCGCCCCCCGCCCCGUUGCCUAUUAGUUCCCCCCGUCCCCCCGCCCCGCCCCGCCUUGCCCCGCUUCCCCCGCGGGGGCACCCGCGGGGAUAAUAAAAAUUUAUUAUAUAAUUUUAUUAUAAUUAAAUUUUAAUAAAUAAUCAAGUACUAAAAUAUCAACACAUCACUAAAUUAUUAUUCAUUGUAAUUUUACAAUUGAAAGUCAUAAAAACAAUCAAACAGAAGUUAUUUGAAUACAAUCCAAUAUGAUGAAAUAAAUAUAACUAAAAUAGUCAAGUUUUCACUUUUAAUACAAAUGCAAUCACUAAUUCAUUAUUGUGUUUGUGUUUUUUUUGAGAAAAAAGUGUUAUUCUAUUAAGUGUAAUUAGAAAUUUAGUAUAAAUGUAUUAGUAAAUUUAGUAUCACUAAUUAAUAAAUUCUAUUAGUAGACAUGUAUAAUUAUUCAUAUAAUUGAUAAUAUCAAUUAUAUUACAUAAACUAAUAUACAUUAUAUAAUACAUCUAACUAAUAAUAUCAUUAUCAUAAGUUUAUAACUAAUUAACUUACAUAUUAUAUAUAAUUAUAUAUAUAUUUAUAUAUAUUUUUUUUGUUUUGUGGGUGGCGGGGCGGGGGUAUACUCCCCCGCCCCCCGCCCCGUUUCUAAGCGGGGGGAAAAAAUUCCCCCCCGCCCCCGCCCCACCCCCCGCCCCGAGAGCCUCCCGCGGCGGGCACCCGCCCCCAUUGUCAUCCCUACCCAUACUCAUUGUGUUACAUUCCUCUUCUUUAGGUCACGUAUAUUUAUAUAUUGUAAUUCUUCUUUUCUUCAUGUCUCAUCCUUUGCAUAUUUGUGACAUCUUCUAAGAAUCAUUUUGGGCAUCAUAGUUAUUGUGAUUUGCACCAAUUAAACUUUGAAGUGAUAUUUUGACGCUCUCGAUAUCUUUUAGGUUUAAAUUUCCAUCCAUAUAGAAACGACCUAAUGUGAUAAGUUUUAUAGGUUAAAUUAAGAAAAUUAUCGACUAAAUCUCACAAUUAACCUUGGUUAGGUUGAAAGGGUGUCUUAGGUUUGAUCCUAUCAAAUCAUUGCCUUCCUUUUCUUUAAUCGUGACUUCUAAACUCUUUUCUCUUGUUUUCAAAGAUCUGGAGUCAUUUAAAAAGGGUUUUAUCUAUUUUUUUUUAUUAAAAAUACAUUUUUAGGUGACUUGGUACAUCUAAACUCGAUACCAAGUGGCGACUCUUAUUUUUCCUAAAAAUCCUUUUUAGACUAUUAUUUUGGAUCAAAACCGUCGCACUUUUUAAGUUGCAUUUUAGGCCCUUUUUCUUUUGUUUAUUCUCUAAAAAUAAAAAAACUCAUUUUCCAAAUAAAAAAUUCAUUUUUCUAACAUCUAAAUACUUAGAUUUAUUUUAUUUUUCAAAAAAAUGGGGCGCGACAAUUCUUAACUGAAUAGAUGGAACUUGAUUUCCAUGUGAAGCCAUAAUAUAUUCAAGAUUUCAAGUUACCUUUAUUUCCAUUGUAUAUCUUUUAUUCAAGUAAGCAAAAUCCUUUAUGCAUUACUUUUAAGUAAAUAAACUCGAUACCAAGUGGCGACUCUUAUUUUUCCUAAAAAUCCUUUUUAGACUAUUAUUUUGGAUCAAAACCGUCGCACUUUUUAAGUCGCAUUUUAGGCCCUUUUUCUUUUGUUUAUUCUCUAAAAAUAAAAAAACUCAUUUUCCAAAUAAAAAAUUCAUUUUUCUAACAUCUAAAUACUUAGAUUUAUUUUAUUUUUCAAAAAAAUGGGGCGCGACAAUUCUUAACUGAAUAGAUGGAACUUGAUUUCCAUGUGAAGCCAUAAUAUAUUCAAGAUUUCAAGUUACCUUUAUUUCCAUUGUAUAUCUUUUAUUCAAGUAAGCAAAAUCCUUUAUGCAUUACUUUUAAGUAAAUAAAAUUGCGUUGGAGCAAAUCUUGUGCUUAAUGUAAUAUGUUCUUAGUUUUAUCUUUUUCCCUUCAAAGAAAACCAACUAGUAUGGUAGAGGUUUAGCCACCCUACCAGUUGAAUAACUUUUAUAAGUUUUCAUUCCUUGUUUCGUUGUUGUUUUGCGAGAAAGAAGAUAAUUACUUCUGCAUAUUAGGAUUAAACGUUUAUCAUAAGUCAUUGUUGUUUGGUAUGUUGUGUAUAUGUUGUUAUAGCAAGCCUUUCUCCUAAUUCGGGUGAAUGCUAUCACCAUGAUGAUCAAGUAAUUGCUAAGUUUGAAGAUCAAAGGCAGCGACAAAGCUAUAUAUCAAAGAAAUUCCAAUCUCAGUUUGAAGAUUAAAGGCAACAACACAAAUAUCAAUGAAAUUCCAAUCUCUCAUAAGCUAAUACAAAGCUUUACCAUCCAAAAAACCUAUAAAUUCAUCAUCAGAAGUUGCCACACCCUCAAAUGGUGAAUCCCAAAACCCUCAUCCAAGAAUUUGUUUUAAAGCUAUAAAAAUCAUUUCGAUAUAAGGAAUUUCACCUAAAACUACUAAAAUAUUGUCACCAGUAACUUUCAUUGUACAUAAAACCAUAGUCAUAAAUAGUCCCUCCAAGAUACCAUUUUGGAAACCACUUUAGAGUUAAAGGAUUUCGUACUGUUAGAGUUAAAGGAUUUCGUAAUGGUAAGAGGUAAAAGUGCAAUUCUGGAAAGCAAACCUCGACAUAUUAGGCCAUAGUAUGACCCAUGAAUUUGACACCCAUAAUGUCAAGAACUUCAUAAAUGUCAUGUUUUAUUUAUAAUAGACCUUGUUUGUAUGUGUCUAUAAUUAGAAACUCAAACUAAAGUACAAACUUUAGCCAUGUAUUAGUCCUUUGUUAUGUCAUUACCAUCUUGAUGAAAGAUGAAUUGUUUGUUUGAGCUUACCAUGAUUUAGAUGUACCUUGAAAUCGUGUAAUAGCUUUCAAGAUAACUUUAUUAGCCACAUCGGUCAAUAGCAGUUUACAAAAAAAUUCUUAACUGAAUAGAUGGAACUUGAUUUCCAUGUGAAGCCGUAAUAUAUUCAAGAUUUCAAGUUACCUUUAUUUCCAUUGUAUAUCUUUUAUUCAAGUAAGCAAAAUCCUUUAUGCAUUACUUUUAAGUAAAUAAAAUUGCGUAGGAGCAAAUCUUGUGCUUAAUGUAAUAUGUUCUUAGUUUUAUUUUUUCCCCUUCAAAGAAAACCACCUAGUAUGGUGGGGCUUUAGCCACCCUACCAUUUGAAUAAUUUUUAUAAGUUUUCAUUCCUUGUUUCGUUGUUGUUUUGCGAGAAAGAAGAUAAUUACUUCUGCAUAUUAGGAUUAAACGUUUAUCAUAAGUCAUUGUUGUUUGGUAUGUUGUGUAUAUGUUGUUAUAACAAGCCUUUCUCUUAAUUCCGGGGAAUGCUAUCACCAUGAUGAUCAAGUAAUUGCUAAGUUUGAAGAUCAAAGGCAGCAACAAAGCUAUCAAAGAAAUUCCAAUCUCAGUUUGAAGAUUAAAGGCAACGGCAAAAAUAUCAAUGAAAUUCCAACCUCUCAUAAGCUAAUACAAAGCUUUACCAUCCAAAAAACCUAUAAAUUCAUCAUCAGAAGCUGCCACACCCUCAAAUGGCGAAUCCCAAAACCCUCAUCCAAGAAUUUGUUUUAAAGCUAUAAAAAUCAUUUCGAUAUACGGAAUUUCACCUAAAACUACUAAAAUAUUGUCACUAGUAACUUUCAUUGUACAUAAAACCAUAGUCAUAAAUAAUCCCUCCAAGAUGCCAUUUUGGAAACCACUUUUGAGUUAAAGGAUUUAGUAAUGGUAAGAGGGAAAAGUGCAAUUCUGGAAAGCAAACCUCGACAUAUUAGGCCAUAGCAUGACCCAUGAAUUUGACACCCAUAAUGUCAAGAACUUCAUAAAUGUCAUGUUUUAUUUUAUAAUAGACCUUGUUUGUACAUGUCUAUAAUUAGAAACUCAAACGAAAGUACAAACUUUAGCCAUGUAUUAGUCCUUUGUUAUGUCAUUACCAUCUUGAUGAAAGAUGAAUUGUUUGUUUGAGCUUACCAUGAUUUAGAUGUACCUUGAAAUCGUGUAAAAGCUUUGAAGAUAACUUUAUUAGCCACAUCGGUCAACAGCAAUUUUCCAAAAGUUACACCACCUUACACACAAAGGGAUUAUAAAAAUUCAUAAUGGUAAAAUAUUAGUUUAAGACGCAUAUAUUUCUACCCUAAUAUGAUUCUAAGUAUCUAUUAAUUUUUCUUUUAUGUUACUCUUGAGCUAUUGGAUGACAAGAAGCUGGUUACUCAAGGGAAAAUUUAUGAAACUUAAGAGGCUUGAAUCACUGGCUGAACCUUGACUAAAUCUUUCCCAAAUUGGUUUUUCAAAAUCUUUCCCAGAUUUAAGAGGCUAAAAUCUUUCCGAAUUUGGUUUUUCAAAAAUAAUUGAAUUGUUUUCAACUAACUUUUUGGAAUUGAGAACAUAUGUCUAAAAUGUUUGACAUCCAUGCAGACUAACAAUACCAUUUUUGUUGUGAAAACUGGCCAAACACGUAAACACAUGAAGCUGCAAUUAGUAAUUUUGCCACCUAAAUGAUCAGAUAUUGCUCAUUUUCCUGACUAAAUUCAACAGUUAACAAUUGGGAAGGGGAAGUGUAACUCAACAUUCAACAUGAGGUCAUAUCGUCUUAGUAUCUGUUUCUGGGAUCAUUUUAAAGCAUAGACUGUUCAAAGAAAUUAUUAAAGAAAUCGUACGUGAAUGAAGCAUAAUUGGAGAUGUCAAGUGAAUUACUGGCGGAGUCAUGAUGUUAUACGAAAGAAAAUUAAUAUUUACUUAAAUGCAUAUUAGUGUAGAAAUAUAUGUGCAUUAAAUUAAUAAUCUAUCAUUUUGAAUUUUUAUAAUCCUCUUUACUCCUUCCAUCCCAUUGUUAUUGUCAUAUUUUCACUUUAUUGAUGUCUCAAAAUAAGAGUCAGCAUUUCAAAUUUAACACAUGCUUUACAAUCUUGUUAUUUGAAAAAGCAACUUUUAAAAUCCUAAUACACAACUAUUAAGAGAAUAUUUUGAAUUCAAAGGAUGCUUUUGUCAAUUUAUUGAUGCACCUCAUCUAGACAUAUGAUUAACACGUCUCCAUAAAAAAUUGGAUUUCCAUAAGACGACUCUAAUAUUGGGAUGGAGGGAGUAUGUGUAGUGUGGGGAGUAAUGCUUAUAAUAGUCUUCACAUUUUUCAGGAAAAUGGCCAUUUUGAUCCUUCAUCUUUUGCAUUUUGGCCAAUAUAGUCCCUUGUCUAUCUUCAUGACCAUUUUAGUCUCUUAUCUUUACAAAAGAAUGCCAAUUUAAGACCUCUAAUGGAAAAUUAGAAAUUUUUAACAGAAUUAGUCACAGAAUUUUCUAGUUUCUCAUUAAAAGUCCUACAUUGAUUCUAUUUUGUGAAAAUGAGAGUUUAAAUUACUGAAAAGAUAAAAUUAGACAUGCCUUGACUGUAAUAGACCAAAAUAGUCAUUUUUAGCACUUCACAUGGCUUGCACUUAACUAAUUCCGUUAGAGAUUUUCAUUUUUUCUGUUUGAUAUCCUAGAUUAUCUUCUUUUUUUUUUGUAAAGAUAACAAACUAAAAUGGCUACAGUGGUAAAUAAGGGACUAAAUUGAUCAAAACUCCGAAGAUAAUGUACCAAAAUAACCAUUUUCCUUUUUCUAAAAUGGAGCAUCAAAGUUGACUAACCAAGCUUUAAAGACAAAACAGUUCACGAAUUUUUUCUUUCCCUAACUUACCAAAACAAGAGCUUUAAAGUUCAACUAGUUGUUAUGUUAUAGUACAAAUAAUUAAUUUAUGCAGAAGAUACUUUGGAAUGUGGCCAUGCCAACUAUCUCAUUACUAACUAAUUGUCACCUAGUGCAUUGCACGGCAUCUGUUUUGCUUUUAUGUUUUCUUUAGUUUAAGUGAAACUAUGUUUUUUUUCCCUCUAUUAAUUUGGAGAAUGAAUCAGAAAGAACGUAGCAAAGACUAUUAUAAAUAAAAUGAAGAAAUUUCAUCAAUACCUUUUAUUACUUUCAUCAUAUUCAUCCUCCUUAAUAUACAAGGUGAAAUUAUUAAGAUAAAAAAUUCGAUACCUAUUAAGAAAAAAAAUAUGAAGACAAAAAGAAGAGCCAUUACUAAACCCAAAGAAUUUCGAGCAAAAAAUAUGAAGAAAAUAAAAGUUGAAACCUUCCUAACGUACCUGCAAGUGCAAAAGAUAAGAGAUAAAAGAUUUACAUAGUUGUUUAACAUGAAAAAAGCGUCCACGGAGGGCUGAGAGAGAAAUUUGUUGACAAAAAUUUAUCCAGUACUGAAAAAGAUAAAAAUAACAAAAAAAAAAGACUAGAGAGAGAAUAAUGAUGAGGUCUUCUAAGAGCGCCUAUGAAAAAACUCGCUUUGUCAAAAUUGUUGAUAUGUAUCAAAUGAACUCAGGAGUUCCCCCAAACACUUCACCAGGCUGAAUUCUUUAGCCUAAUUGAGGCAGAAAAUAAUUGUCCCCAUUGAAGUGUUUCGAGAGAACUCUAGAGAACAUCUAAUGCUCUAUUAACUAAUCUAUGCUUUUGCCCCUUGUUAGGUCACUUUAUUUAUAGGGCUCUCCUGUCUCCACACAUGCAGUUUCUGCAUGUAAUUACUAUUCACAAGCGACAUGCUGUUUUCUGGAGAAUUGAUGAACCUAGUCAUGAUAUAGGGUCAGAUGAAAGAUAGAUAACCAACAAAACUUGAGAGGUCUUCUUUCUUCAACCUUUUCACUCAGUAGGUAUCCCCUUUGAUCUCUCUUUUUCAACUUUUUGUUCACGAAUAUAACGAUAUUGUUUGUCCAUAGAAAAAAAGAAUGGCGAAUCUGUCAAUCUCAUGCAUGUUAAUUUGGCAGAAGCAUACAACUGCUAAACCUAGUCAGCUAGAUACAAAAAUCUAGUAAUUAUCCAUCUUAAACAUACUAAAAACUGUGGGAUUGUUUGUCCAAGCAAUUCGCAUCACUUUCUAGUUGCAUUAAAAACCAUAAUUUUGCUGAUAAACCUGGGAGUUAAGGAUAUGAGAGUUGGGAUACAAGUGGUUGAGCUCUAGAGGGUACAAGGGUAGUAGGUUUAUUCUUAUCUUUUCACUUGCUACAUAAUUCUGACUAGGUUCAACCUAGAAAAUCCAUCUGGAGACUUGAUUUUUAAGAGAUCAUUUUAGAGGGCCAGUUGUCCUAAUCAGGAAGGCCACAAAUGCAUGCGUACAAAUCUUAUCCACUCAAACAGAAGAUAAUUAUGGAAUCAGCUACACCACUACAAAUUCUCUGCUUUGCAUAUCUGCACUUCACUGGUUAAUUGCCAUGUGAAUUCAGCAAAAUAUGCAUCUAAAAUCUAUCUUUCAAAAAGACUGUCUUUGAGUGGUUGCGUUCUUUAGCCUAAAUUAAACGACAUGACAAUCAAAGACAAAUUUUGUAUUACAAGAGGUGUAUGGUUGAUUAAUCAAAGAAAAAUUUUGUAUUUUGUAAGACAAAUAGGUUUGUAGGAAUCUACCAUUUUCAUUGAGUAAUGAUUAAUGAACUAUUGGCCUUAGAACCACCAUGAAUCUUUUUGUUGCACAAUCAUUGAUUAUGUCUCGUUUUUUUAAGAUCAUCCUAGUUUAAGUCCUUGAGUAAAAACUCACCCAUCUGACCUCCAAAGUGUUUUGAGAACCUUGAAACUACACUCUCUUUACCAGCCAAACUCUCCAAAUCAACCUUCUUUUCUAGUCAAUUAGAUUAUUUUCUACAUAUAAUGACUGACAACCAAAUGGCUUCUGAUCAUUUCUACAUUUCAAAGCAUGACCUCUUGGCGUACUUCUAGCGUAUAAAAUUAACCAUUUGAAUACUAACUGACUUGUUAGAUAAGGAUCCAUUUGAAUGGAAUAAUGAAGUAAAUGCUGGUUUUCAAACUAGAACUGUACUGCACCAGUUUUAGCCUUGCUACAUUUUUUUGAAACAUUAAUUAUAUACCUGUGAUUAAUACUUAUAGUGCAAUAGAAUUGAUGAGUACUAAUUGACUAGCGAUACUGCUAAAGCCAUAAUCUUCUUGUCAGAGUAAUAUUUAUCCAAACACGGACAUUACUCUCAAUUAGUUAAUGCCAUAUAUUCUAAUUGUUGUUUUUGAACUCAUUAUCCAUGAAUUACUCAUUUUCUUUGUCUUUCUCAUUGACAGAACAAGGUUUAGUCUACUUCUCUCAUUGCCUCUCCAAUUCUUGCCUUCCAAUCUCUCUCCCUAUUUCCUAUUUCACAAUUUGUUUUCAUUUUGUUGAGACUUUUGUAGUAUAUGGUUCAAGAUCUUUUGCAUAAUACUAUUCUCUGCUUUGCUCUUGCUAUUUUCCAUCACUAUUAGUAAGUGUUUCUUUUUUUCUUCCUUUUUUGCUUUUAUUCCAUUAUGUUUUCUAUUAAAUAAUUUCUGCUUACAAUUUUUUUCUUUUAUUCCAUUAUGUUUCCAUCACUAUCAGCACAUUAUUACAAAUUUCAUCAAUUUGUUUAUAACUCCUCCAUGUUCCAGGUGCUUCUUAUUAUGAGUGGUUUACCUACUCUUGAACGGCUUCAUCAGUUUUAAUUGAACUUUAAAUCUUUACGGUGCAAUGGUUGCUUUAGUGAACAAGCUUAUAUUUGUUAGCAAGAGAAAAGGGAGGCCAUUAGGCCACAUUUAGUCAUCCAUAUUAAAGUCAUUUUUUUCAUAUUAUAAAAUUAGAACCUUGAGGGUUUACUAUUUUUUUAUUCAUAUUUUUUUUAUUAAAGAUCAUGUAAAAACUAUGUGAUUGCUUUUAUAAUGUCAUUCAAACUCAAUCCUAUGAUAUAUGCAACAUGCUUUAUUUCUUUGAAUUUUGCUUGUUUAAUGUAUUAGUGUGCAAUUGAUCUUCUUAUAAACUUUAUUAUCUUUUCCGUUUUUCUAAUUAUUAUAUGAAUCUUGAUUUCAACAUGUGUCCAUAUUUUCUAAUAACUAGAUUAAAUUUAUUUUUAAUUGUGUUAUGUUCUAUACCUCAUGCAUAUAGAAGGAAAAGUGUGUGUACAUGUUUUCGGACUAUUUUCAUUUUAGAUUGUUACUUGUUUGAGUUAAAUCAUAUUGUAUUUGUAAAAAAAAAAAAAAGCUUUUAAAUACGACUUUGAAAAUUAAAAAUAAGAGUGCUUUAAAGUAAAAGAAUUACAAUCUAAGAAAAAAUAUGGUAAAAAACUCACAACCAAAUCAAUGAGUUAUUAAAACAAUAGAUAAAUAAAUUAAAGAGAUGGAAGAAGUGGGCAAGCUAUUCAAUUUACUAGAGAAAGGCGACAAGAAAUAAUUGGUGGAUAAUGGGUCCAAGAGAAUCAAUGAGAAUAUAUGGUGUUGAAUAGUUGAAGGUAAUGUUGGUAUUUGGAUAAAUAUUGUUCUGGCAAGAAUAUUAUUGCCAGCCGUACUAAUUACAUGUGGUAUAAAAUGCGAAAAUGGAAAUGUUUUAGUUGGAAAUCAAAAAGUAUGGCCCUUGAAGUAUUUCUCAAAUUAAGGGUGACAACAUAUGUGUUUGGUUGGGAUCUAAAUUUUUACCAUCUAAACCCAACCCAAACUCAGCCUAUAAUGCAUAGAUAAUAACACAAAAUAGUAUUAAGAUAAUAGCACAUAUAUAAAUUUUCACCCAUUUAUAUGUAUUUAGGUAAUACCACAUAGAAUCUUGUAUACAUAAUAGUGCAUACAUACAUAUAUGUAUAUGCGUAUAGGCAUGUUUUGUAUUAUAGUUACUACAUAUAUUCAUGUUAACAUGUUUAUUUUUGGAAGAAUCUUUGUCGUUCUUUCACCAUAUAUUUUGUUAAUCAGAAUAUACUUUUCCCCAAAUAAGUUUCAAAACUAUUAAAAUUUGAAUUUUUUCCCCGGACGACGUUUUGUAGAACACUAAUCAUGGUAAAUAAAAUUGGUCAAUGACCCCGCGCUUGAAGACGAUCAGUUUCCAAGGAAAAUUGCUCAGAUGAGUAACUUAAAGUUGUUGGACUUGAGGGUUUGAAUCUAAACAAAUUAAUUUUGGUGUGGAUCUAAGAUGGUCUAAUGACGAAUAGAUCCCCAAGCCCAAAUCCAUUUAGGCUCCGGUAUGGGUUUUACCUCUAGCCCUAUUAGAGUUUGUAUCCAAACAAACUAUAUCUUAUGAAGUUGAGCCCGAAAAUAUCAACCCAAACCAAGCACUAACAUCCUUAACAAAAAUCACGAUACACGUGUGUAAAACCUUUAUCAGGAUUAUAUUGGUUGAUGAUAUGUAAAAACAUGCUAAGCAACUUAUAAAUUAUGAUUCGAAGGAUAUAGUCUGACCGCGGUAGCGAUUGGUGUCGAAUUCACCUAAACUCUAUCCCCAAAAAAAAAAAAAUUGUGUCAGCUGGCUUAAUAUUUAUUGAAAAUCAGACAUAAGCAGUAUAUGGCACGCUCUUUUUGGCUUGGCCUAUGCAUAGGUUCUAUAUAAGAUUUUAAAUCAAGCUAACAAAAUCAUCACAAUCGAUGUCAUCCCAGUAAAGAAUGUGCAUACAAGUUUGUAUAAAAUUCAAUUCCGAAUUUUGUUUGUUGAAUACAAUUAUUGGAUAUUAUAUAUGAGAUUCUUCGUAUUUGCAGAUUAUAAAAUUUUUUCCUUUAAGAGGAAUUUUCACAAGAGCUAUACCUCUUCUUGGUAGACUGCUAUGUAACUGGUUUCUUGGUUUUCUUUUUAAAUGUUGCGUGAUCAUUUGCAUUUGGUAUGUUCAUCUAUCAAAAUGUUAACUGUCAAUCAAAUUUGAAUGCAGAACUCUAAGAUGCCGUAGUGGACCGAGAAGGAUUUUGGCACUGGGGCUAGAGGGCAAAUAUUAGUUUACCAAAUCGAUAAAGGGGCUUACCUCUACUUUUACAAAAAUCUUUCUGGGACCGGGGUGGGAGAGCAGGGAAGCGAAGGAAAUAUAAUGUAAUUUUUUCUUUUAGUGUAAGUAAAAGGAUUUAAAUUCGGAACCUCUCACUUAUAUUUCCUACUUCCGUACCAUUCAAUCCAUCUCACCUCUGGGAGUAUAAUGUAAUUUUCUUAAAGACUUGUCUAGGAACUUUUCACUUUUAGAAUGCAGGAAAUAUAGUUUUUAAAGUCUUGGAAGGGUUAAUACUUAAUACCCCUACCUGGCACUUGACAGGAAUUACCCCUUUUGCUUUUAAAAUCAUAAACUCAACUGGUAUGUUGCAAGUCCAACUACAAAAAUUGCAACAAAGGUUUCCUUGUUUUACUUUUAGCAUUGCAACAAAGCUUAAACUCAAGAAAAUUUAUUUGUCUUUAUUAAUGAAAAAUGUAGAGUUUCAAGAUGUGUUAGCAUUGGCUUCUUCUAACAUUCAUAAUCACAAAGACACAUCGUAACCUAUAAUAUACCUGCGGCACGAUGAUCAAAGGUCAUCAAGAACAGAAAAAAGAUCAAUGCCUUUGCCAUCUUCUUGUUUUUGGUUUUUUUUUUUUUUUGUCUUUCUCGCUCUUGGUUAAGCUAGAAUACUACAUCCUACAAGUGUUCCAGAAGGUCUUCUUUAUAUUGAAACUUUACCCACCAUAAAGAUUUGAUUAUUAAUGCCAAAUCUUGUAUUUAUGGUAUUAAUCAAAUAGCAUAUGUUACUUUAGUAAGUGAAUCACUAAAACUGAGAUGUGAUUUUAUAAAAAUUAUAUCAUGUCUAAUAAGAAUAGUAAAAUAAUUGCAUCAUUAAUUGUGUAUUUAUCAAAUUAAUGCUGCUAGAAUUGGUUACCAAAUUUUCUCUCCACAGAUGUUUUAGAAACUGUGAAUGGAAAAGUUACAUCAGGCAACAUGCUGAUACUUCAAUACACAAGCAUCUAUACCAGUAUUUGGAUAACAGAUCCAGUACAUGAGCAUUUCAGUUCAUGAAAAUAUUUUACCUCAUUUUUUGAAAAUUAUGAUAACGAGUCUAUGAACUUAAAAAAAAUCGAUGCUUGAAGGAUUAUCUAGUUAGUAGUGGGAAGGGUACACCCUUCAUUGGGUUUAAAUUAAGAAAAAUUAACAGAAAGUUAUUAUAUGAAUUUAGGACCUGUUUAAUGGAUUCAAAUCUUAAUAUAUUCAAAUGUGUCUGAUAACUAAAAAUUGAACAUCUCAUUCAGCACUUAAACCUAAUGAAUUCAGAUUUUAAUAUAUUUAGAUGCAUUUGAUAACUAAAAAUUAAAUAUCUAAAUUAAUUAAAUGGCACUAAAGUUUUUAGGCACAAUUGGCUCCCAAUAACAAGUGAUAAACUAUUCACUUAUUAUUAAUGUGAUUUACAAUCAAAUGUAUCAAAUUUAGUAGUUAAAAAUUCAAUUAAUUUAAUAGAUUCAAAUUUCAGACUUCAAUUUUAUUAAACGCACCCUUAGAGAAUAAAAAAUAAAUUGAGGAUAGGAAGUUAAGGAAAAUUAAAAGGUAUUAGGACACUUGUUUAGCGAGGGCAUUGUUAGGAAGCACAAAAAUGUUACAUCAACGUAUCUGUUCUCACUAUGUUAAAGUUGAAACAAUGGUGUUGCUCUUGCUUUUAUGGUGCCAUAAAAGGAAGGUCAAGUCAACAGAAGAAAUAUAUCCAAGAAACUAUUGUGCAUUAUGUUGAAAUUAAAAUUGAAAUUUGAAAUGACUCAUUUCAAAUGAAAUGCUGCAAUAAUAUAGCAAUCCAUGACUAAGUUCUUAACAGAUUAUGACUUGGGUGCCAGCAAGCCUAGGAUGUGUAAUCCGUUGAUUAUAAAUGCUAGAUGACAUUUCCUCUGAUAUUUCUUGAAUAUACCGUAACAAUAACAUUUUCUUUAAUGAUAUCAACACUAAUGCACUGGAUUCCAUCAGAACUUCAAAAUUAAACGUGCUUAGACUAGAAUAGUAUAAGAAAGGAUAACAAUAACAUUAUACUAGGCCACCUAGCUGAUUGGGCAAUUAGGCGGCAGGAUAGGAAGCAUUCUGCAUGGUAACACGCAUAGUGGCAAAGCCAGGAUUACUUUUAAGUGGAGACACAAAUAAACUGCAAAUUCCUUUUGAUUCUUGAACAUUUACAAUUUUUCGGUUUGAACUAUUGAUAAGUGCAUAUUCUAUGUGUUUUUAGUAUGUUUUAUUAAUUAGUUUUGGCAUGCUUUAACCACUUUUAUAGUUAAUUAACUAGGAUUUUAGUGAAAAUAUGCAUUUUGUGAUUUAAGUGGUAAAAAUUGCAUUUCUAUGGAUUUUAAUGAUGAAAACUUCAUGUUGGCAUGAAUUGAGAAGAUAAUUGGAUGAUUGAUGAUAAUUUGAAGUUAUUUAAAGAAGACAUGAAGUGCAAAACGUUUAAAGGAAGAAAUGCAAGUUAAGAUAGCUUUGACACCUUAUGGUAUUUCAGCCAUAUCUUGAGCUACAAGCAUCAGAUUAAAGUGAUUCUUAUACCAUUUUGAAGCUAAGAGAAAUAUCUACAUUUAGUAUGAAGAAUCAAGUCCAUUGAGAUCGUUUUCCUAGCUGAAAAGUCGAAAUACAGAAGUGCAAUUUCAUAAUCGAAAGCUGAAACAAGGUUCUGACUAGUUGCCUGUAUUUUGGUCAUUUAUCAGUCCACAGAGCUCCAAAUUAGAUUAUUCUUGAUGCAUUGGAAAGCUAACUCAAAGGACUACAACUUUUAUGUUUUACAAAAGAGCUAGUCCAGCCUCUAACAUUAAGAAAAUAUUAGUUGAAAUUGGACCAAAAAUAGAGUAAAGAGGAAUUUUGCCUAGAAAGUGCAAACCUGCAAAGGAGAAAAUGUGGGGUUCGGUCGCGUUUUCAAGUUGCAUAUUCUUCAUUUUCUGCUGCAACUUGCUUUGCAACUUAUUUUGCAUUCACACAACCUUUUCAACUCAUCUACAACUCUAAAUUUCGGCUGUAUUUGACCAAGAAGAGUAUGAAAAUUUGGAGAACAACUCUUGGUGAGUUCAAAAGCCAACUUUGCUAACCAAGAAACAGCUCAUCUUGAGCUUUAAUCCUCUAUAAAUAGCAGCCUUUGGAGAAUAUUUUCACAACUUUGGAAGGCCAGAGAAACUCUACAAAGAUAAAGUCUUCACUAGAAUUUCUUUUAUUCAUUAAUUAGAGUAGUAUAGUAUAGUUAGUCUAGUUUUUCCUUCUUGUAUUUGUAGUUAGAUUUGGAUGAAAAUUUGAAGAGCAAAGAUGGAGAAUUAGAGUUCAUGUGACAAGGGUAACUUCUGUCCUAUCACUUUUUUUUUGUAUUUGAUUUCAUGUUUAACUAUAAUAUAAGUUUUGUGUUUGUUUUCAUGUUUAGUUAAAGUUUAUGCCUAAAGUAUGGAUAAACUUUCUAUAUCUUAUUUGUGAUAUUUACUUGGUCAAUUGGUGAUAUUAUUUUAAGCAAGUUAUUUAUCACUUUUGUUUUUCUAAUCAUGAUUAACUGGCCAUUAAUUGUGAUAAUCUUAAAGUGUUAAGUUUGCAAUGAGAAUUGAAAUUUAACACUAGUUCAAGGAAGUAAUAAACCUAGGGAGUACACUUGUGAAAGUAAAGAUGCACCUUUCUGGUUUAAGUGACUUGUUUCAUGUAAUUUCAUAGAAGAAAUAAGUUUGUAGUUAAUUUCAUAACCACGAGAGUAGGUAUGGUUCAACUGUAAGUAUAGUUGAUUCACUAUGAGAGUAAGUUUCACAUACAUUAGAAAAUUACGCCAUAAUCAAUCAAGAUAAUAGCAUUCACUUAACUGGUAACUUCAUUUACAAGAAUAGUAAGGAAUUCCAUACCUCUAUGAGUUUUCUAUUGUAUUUUUUGUUAUUUUUACAGUGUAGAUUUAAUUUCUUGCACUUAUGAUAGUCUAAAUAAUAAAGGAAUUCGAAAAUCACUGAUAAUUGAAAAUCUUCCCUGUAAGUUCGAACCUUAAUACCCUAUACUGUGACGACUCCACUUCUCCUUAAGGCAAACCCUAGGGUUUCGGCGGGCCGCCUGCCUAACUCUCGCUAGGACUCGAUACAAGUCAAGAUUAUAACUUAGAACUAAACAACCAAUAAGAAACUAAUAUAAAGAAAAGUCACUUCCUUUGAUAGUCAUCCAAUUGUACAUCAUAAUAUUUUCAAAAGUUACACCAAAUUUUCCCAAAAAUACGACCACCAAAAGUUGACUAUAUCAUUUACAUCCACAAUUGGACCAAAAGACAAUCAAAGCCAGAUUCUCCAAAAUCUUUCCACUUCAAGUUCCUGCUAAGGAAAACAAACUUAAAAGGGUGUGCUAACACUCAGUGAGGCCAAGAAAAGCAGGCAGCAAAUAGGUACAUCUAGCAAUAAUAACAUAUAAAUAAAAGGCAACCAAAAUAUUCAUGUAAAAUCACAAAAGGAAUUAAAAACACAACCAAUGAAAAUACGGGAGCUCUCAGGAGCUAAAUCCACACUGCUUCAUCGAUAAUCUUGAUCCAUAAUUUCCAAGUUGACACUCCGUCAACCGAGCAAGUAACAAGUCUGUAGAACCCCACUUUUCACCAAUUUCCGUCCACCGUUACACCCCCUAACCGGGCCCGAAAGUCAAAAGUUUUGAUAUUACUCGAGUAUAUCGAGGCAAGUAGUGUAUGAGCCCAAGGUUCACCAAACUCCUCAACCAAGCCCUUACUGGCUUGAGUUGAAUGGCUAGCCAUUGGGUUUGGGCGUCCCCACGAGUAUGAGUGAUCGAUGAGAUUGCUCUCAAAUCGACGCCAAGUCAAAUACAUGUAUAAUUAUCAAGUACGAGCAGAUCAAUUAUCAAGUCAAGUAAAAGAGAACGAGUGCGAUAAAGUACACACUCGUCUCGACAAGUCCAAUUUUCAUAUUCAACAAGAAGUAGUUCAAGUAUUAUGCAACAAGUCAUGGUAUUAUACAACAAGUCAUGCACUUGACACUCACCAGUUUAAAAAACAAGUGAGCAAGAAAUUCCUUUAAAGUUCGUCGCCGGAAUUCCUUUCGAAUCCCUCUUGAGUACCUGAAGAAAUAUUAACCAACCAUCACUCACGGAUACCAUAGGUUAUCGAGCAUACAAAAAAGAAAGUUCGUUUGCCUAGAAUUAGGAUAAUGCAUCAAAAAGGGUUUAUUUCAUUGAAAACAGAGAUUCACAAAUGAAGGUUUAAGGUCACAAGUUCAAGUCAAGUUAAAGGCGCUUUUCUCGCUAAAUGAUUGAAAUAAUGCUCAAAGAGAACUCAAAAGUCAUUUUUGAUUCAUGUCAUAGUAAGUAAAUCUCAAUUCCAAAAGAAAGUACCAUAUUUACUUUCGGAAUGAAAAUUGAGAAAAAGAUAGAUGGUUUUCAUUCCUCAAAACUUCUAAUCUCAUGUCCGAACUUUAAAAUAUAAAGAGCGUUCACAUUUUCAAACUAAUGGAGUCAAAACUCGUCCAAAACUCCACUCAUUUCAUCGUAAAUGUCAAAGCCAAAGGUUCCAAGUUUUGAGUAGAAAACUAGUUAAAAUUCUCCAAGAUUUUCUCUAGUUAAAACGCUCCACUUUUAAAGUUAAAUGUCAUGGAAAUGAAGGGUAUAAGCCUAGGGACUGAAAUCCAUAACUCAAGUAUAAAAUGAAGUGCUAUUAACCAAGGAAGUUAAACAACCAAGUAAACACAUUAAGAGAGGUUUAAUUCUUUAGAAACUAAGAUUUAAAAUGAAAGUUUAAAGCUCAAAAAAACCUUGUAUCCGACCAUGAAAUUAACUUAAAACAAGCCAACAAUCACAAAGGAAGGUUGGAAGUGCUUAAAAGAGUACUUUGUAUGAAACCAGAAAUUUCCAGUUUAGUGCGACACUAAUUGGAAAAAUCAUAUCUCAAGCUACGUAAGUCCAAAAGUUGGGAACUUUAUACCGUUGGAAACUAGACUCAAGGAACUAAAACUCUCUAGAAGAUACUUUUCUUAGACUCCAAUCCGAAUUCACUCAAAUUUUAGCUCAAAAUCACUGUUCCAGACAGGACAGGGCAAAACAGGCUUGCAAUUUUAGUAAAGUUUGGAAAUUCGGUAAAAUUCGUAGGAAUGGAAUCAACCCUUGAAAUUUAUACUGCUAAUAGAGUUUGAAAUUUAGUUUCAAAUGCAACAAACAGAACCCAAUUCGGACCUUUCUACAUCAAGAUACAAUGGUUUUAAGAAAGCUGAAUUUUGGAACCUGUUACACUAAAUUUCCAGUUUUGAAGGCUUAAGAGUUUCAAAAUCUGAUCAUAACUAGAGCUACACAACUCAAAAUUUAGUGUUUUUUGUGGCAUUGAAAACUAGAUUCAAAAUUCUACAAAUUACUAGAAGGAACUGUCUUAAAAUUCGUUUCGCAAGAUAGGUAAAAUUGAGCUACAAACUGCAGCUAGGACUGUUUCUCGGAUGAAAGCAGUGAAGAAAUUCAGUCAUAUUUGCUGGUUCACUAUGGCUCAUAGGAAAUGAAUUUGGAGGUGCAUUUUAUACUGACAGAAAGCUCUCGAGUCUAGUUUUGGCUGCCACAAACGGCACUCAAUUUCAACUCCCAGACAAAAAGUUAUGACCCAAAACGUGAACACUGGUCGGUGCUCCUGGUCAGAAAAUUUCCAUAUUUCUUCCUCACCUAAACCCUACUUUAACUCAACCAAUUGUAAAGCUUUUUGGGAGAUUUUUAACACACAUAAACACAUCAUAUAACAAACAUUAUAGCACCAAAAUAACAUCAAAUUUUGAAAUUAAUAUGAGGGUUUCAUCAAGCCAAAUUUCGGACAGCAAGCAUCCUUCAUCUUCUAGUUUUCUUUUCCAACUUUCCAACUAAAACUAAGCCAUAUCUUCUAAAAAUAAGCAUCAAACAAGCAAGUAAAUAUACAAAAUCCUCAAGGCCUCUACCUAUAAAGUCACCUCAAGUCUUCUAUCUAAUGUCAAGGUUCUUGUGAACCCAUCAACAACCCAACAACUAACUAGCUAGACUAACUAAUCUAUCCAUAAGUUGAAGGAAAAGAUGAGAGCUUUAGGAGUUUUACCUUUCUUCCAAGAAUGAAGAACAACCACUGGUAUAAGCUCUUGAAUCACCAAAGUUUCUACCUUGUUCAAGUCACCUUCCUAGCUUGUAUGAAGAACCAAGGAAAGAAGCAAGUGUGGAGAGUUUUCUUGGAGCAACAAUGGAAGAAGCUAGCUGAAUUUUUUGGGGAGGAAAUGGGGGAGGGGAGUCUGCCAAGGUGAGGAGAAGAAGAGAAGGGUUUUGGGUGGUAGUUGGUGAUUUGAUUGAGUGACAAGAAUAAUGACAUAAAGGUGUUCUUGACCCCAAAAGUCAACAAUUGUUUAGUGAGCAAUUAGUGUUCCUAAUUGAGUUUAAUUUAACUUACUCACCUCUAAUCCCUCAGUUAAUUUUUUUUAGUCUACUAUUGAUCAUUCUUAAUUCUCCAAGAUUAAUGUACUCUCGGUCCGAAUUUGCCUCAAAAAACGUGCAUUGGCUAUUUCUCGCUAAACAAGCCGCAGAAAAAUUAAAUUCGCUAACGAAACGUUUUAAAAAUAUAAAUGAGACAUUGUUCCAUACAAAUGGAUUUAAAAUGGAUGAAAUAAAUUAUUCGGAGUAAACGGGUAAAUAAAUAAUUAAAUAAGCCAGUAAAAUAAAAAUAAAAGUAAGUAAAAUAAAAAAUUCGGGUCCUCACAUAUACUCAAUCGCGACUCGUAUACUUGGAAAAAAUCGCGUGUGGGGUAUUUAGAAUUUAUAAAUGUAAAAUUUGACUGUGAAAUGAGUUUAUUGUUAUAUGUGUAUCCCGCGUUGGUCAACUAUGAAUCAACCAAUAAUUCUUUUAGAGCAACGGAAUAACUGUAAUAAGCAUGUUCACCCUAGAGCUUUUAUUAUCUUUUUUUCCCUAAAGAUUGCAAAUGGCAAAGAUUUUUUUCUUCGAAAGUACUUGAUUUAAAUGAAUAUCUUACUUGAAGCAAUGGGCUAAUAAAGAGACGUGUACAUUAUUUGACAUGAAAUUAUAUAGUUACAGGACAUUUUACUACAUCGUGCUCCCACAAACAAAUUGAUUAUGGUGUGGAAGAAAGAAUUUAUCAUACAUAUACUUCAUUGCUAGAAAUCUGAAAAUUUUAUUAGAUGGAAGAUGGUGCAUCUCCAACAAUUGUCGAAGAAGAAAAGAUGGUAGAGAAGAUUUCCAUAUACGUCUGAUGUAGAACAAGCAUUCCCGGCGAAUAAUUGAGCAGCCACUUUUGGAUCCCUAGGAUGUCCAAUUGGCCUCACAAGUCCCAAGUAAUAAAAUUCUAUAGAUUAACAAAGAUACCAUAUAGCAGAAGUCCAAUUGGCUGAUAUUUUUAAGCAUAUGUUGAUGAUGUAUGUGUGUUAAUUAUACAGAUACUGCACGAUUUUAUUUUAUUUUUUUGCUUUUUUAGCAGGGAAUUUUUUUUAAUUUUUUUUAAUUUUUUUUUCUAACAGGGGAGGGGUAGGAUUCAAAAAGCAGAAAGGAGGAAGGGAGGUUAGAAUCCAGGACCUCUAAUUUCUAAGCACCUCAAUUUUAGUCACUAAACCUUGGUGGAUUUAUGUAACGCAUUAGUAGGAAUUUGUUUCAGAACUUUUUUCCUUGAAAUCAAGUUGCUUCUGCCGUGCAUUAUGUGCUAGUGUGUUAGCAAAGAUAACUUAAUAUAUUAUUAUAUAAAAAAAAAAAGAUAACUUAAUAUAUAUUUUUUAAUCUUUCUAUCCCUCCUUACACUCUUUCCAUCUCUAAUCGUCAGGUAUCAAAUUCAAAUCAUUUUACCCUCACAUCCCUCCCCACACUCUUUUCACCACAACUAUCAAGUAUAAACUUCGAACCUCGAACCUCACAGAGAGAACUCUAAAAAUUUAGCUUUUUUAUUUUUGUACCUCUUUUUUUUUCCUGUUUUCACAAGAUUGUUCUAUGAUUGAGGGUAUUUAUGGUAACAAACAGGUACUGUAUUUUGGCGGAUGGCUGAUUGCCCUACUUGUAAUAAAACAACUUAAAAGAAGAACAGAAAUCAAGAUUCUAAUUUUUCCCCACUGGACAACAUUGAGAUUUCCAUUUUGCAAAAUUAAAAGAAUUAGCAUUUUUUAGUAUCCGUUAGCACAUUUAAGGUAGACCUAACAUAUGACGUCAAUACACACAAUUACAAUUAGGGUUAAUUUCAUAUACCUCCCCUAAAGUUUUUGACAAUUGCAGAAAGCUCCCCUCAAGUUCUAAAAAUUACACCUACCUCCCCUAUUUUCACUACUUAAGUAACAUUUUAACCCCAAAAGGCUAUACUUUUUCUCAAAAUUCCUAUAAUGCCCUUGAGUUACAAUUCACAAUAAAAAUGUAAAGGAAAAAAUGGUUCACAGUCUCUAUUUCGUUUAUCUUUACUUGCUAUCACUAUUACCUACUCAUCAAUAUCCAAAUCACUAUUAAAUAAAUACUUAUCUUUGUUUUAAUGUUUCUCUUUUACCUAAAAAUUUAUAAUGUAGACUAUUCUAUCAACUAUAAACGCUAUAUCAGAUACACAAAAACUUAUCUACCAUCUCAUAUCAAUAUCAGAUUUUACUUAAUACACAACAAUAUUCAUCAAUAUCCCUAAAUUUUAAUUCUAUGGCUGUCACCUUUUUAAUACAAAAUAAUUUAACUUAUCACUACUAAUGUCAAUAUCCAAUAUAUUCCAUUAGCACGGAGCUCAAAAUCAAUCAAAUUCUCUUUAUAGGAAUAACAUCAAUAAUUGUAAAUAAAAAAUAGAAAUACAAUGUAGUUAUAAAUAUAUACCAAGAACAUUUUUUUUUCAUGACAACCAUAACAGCAUAACCUAUAUUUAGUUUCUAUCCCACUUCCUAUCCUUAAUUUUUAUGUUUUUUUAUUAUUGUAACUAUCUUCAUCUCCAUCUAGUUUGAUAAUGAAAUUAGCACUCAAUUUGUCAUUUGACAAUUGCAAUUUGCUAAUGCCUAUAAAAAAUUGGAAACAAAAAUGGGCCCAAGGAAACUAUUUAAUAAUAAUGAAAAAUUGAGAAUUGGGAAUAGAUACCAAAAUAUGUAAGUAUUGGUGGUUUGUGUGUACGGUGAUUUUAUUAGUAACGAUAGUACAUAUUUGGUUAAUAAUAAUAAAUAAAUAAGUUUGAAAUGAAAAUAGAUGUAGGAGGAAGAGCAUAGAUAGUUAAAUAUGAAAGACUGUAGUUUGAAUUAUUGGUUGAUAAUAGAUGAGAGAACUUUAAUAUUUGAUAGAGUUUUUCAAUGAUUUGACAAUUAAUGAAAGGCAUUUUUGUCUUUUUAUUACACUAAGGGAGGUCUCCGUAAUUAUGUAAAUCUCAAGAGAGCCAAAUGAAAUUGUUAAAAAUCUCAGGGGAGGUUUCUGAAAUUAUCCCUUACAAUUAUUGCACUCCUAUAUUUAUAUGCUUUCUUAAAUUAGCUACACUUUUUUAACAAAACUAAUAUCUCCGCUCUUAUUCAGUGCCUUGUGCUCAUAUUUGAAAUCGUGGAACCUGCUUGUAUGAAUUUUUACAAUGUCAAUGUAUAAUAAAUUAAUCAUAAUUAAAAUGCUAUAGUUCAAGGAACAAAGUAGCUUUUUUUCCCUUUUUUCGUAAGUGGGAGGUUUUGAAUUCAAAAUCUUCUACUUUACAAUUUUUCCUACCUCACUGCUCGACCCAGACACCUCCCCCCCCCCACCCACCAACACCACCACCAAAACCCCAACAAGGAACAAAGUAGUUUAUUCUGAAUAACAAGAACUAUAAAGGGUUUUUGGUCAAAUUUAAUACUAGAACAAGUUUAAAAGCCAAUGGCUUGGAGUAAUUUUAAAUUCAAUCUUGUAAACGGUUGCCCAAAACACAUGGGAUAAAACCCGUAUAAUAAGAUACUUGAUCACUAAUCCUGGAAUCUACCAACAUUUAAUUCAAGCAAAACUUCUACAACUUAUAUUUAAAUGCCAAUAAAAUCUGAUAUAGAAUACUUCAAAUCAAUUGCAAUAUCCAAUGCAUGAAAUCAAUGAAUUAAGCCUAAUUUGCUGGAUCCCCCAAUGGCAGCCGGUGGCGAAUCAGGAUGACGGUAGCAGCAUCGAUGGGUAUUGGGCUGCAAAGCGGGGGCACAUGAGAUAUUACGUCGACCGUGAUUUUCAUUGUUGCAUUGGUUGAUGCAGUCGAGUCCGUUAUUGCUUCCCUUAAAAAAAAAAUAACUGUUAUUGCAUGUUCCCACGUAUGUGGGAUUGCUGCUCUCUUCUGCUUUGCUGUCUGCAUCAACCACAAUACGAGCUUUUUAAUAGGGUUGAUUAUAGAAGCCGCCCUGCUGGGCUUGCCCCUGUGGGGGUUCUUUCCCACAUCGGUAUUAGGGGGUUUGUGGGUUGGGUUAUAAGUCCCUCGGGUGCCUUCAAAAGUUGCCGGCUUUUGAAGGUUGCUCGAGGAAGUAGAUUUAUUGCCGAAUUCUUAAGUUUCCUUAAGAAAAUGUCAGAGAAAAAAUAGGGUUGAUUAUACGUUAUACAAAUAAUAAUGUCAACUUUUCAUAUGAAUAAACAGGUACAAAAAGAAAUACUGGCCUUGUUUCGAUCACAGUUUUCAAAAAUUUUUUUUACAUUUUUUAUAAACAUAUAUCCUAAUCACUUUUUUACUUCACAUAUAUUAAAUCAUUACAUUAUAUUUUUUUUAAUAAAAGCUUUAAUAACUAGCCAAUCCAAACAGGAGCUAAGGAUCUUGAUUCUUUUGGAGCUGGUAUUAGGUUUAUGCUCCGGUGCAAAUCUAACCAAACUUGAGAUUUCUGCUUAACUAUUUUCUUUCUUUCUUUCUUCAUUAUUUUCUACUUAACUAUUUGAUAAAAAUCCAAUAAUUUCAUUUUCUCAUUAUUUUCUUAUUAUUUUCUUUCUUUCUUCAUUAUUUUCUACUUAACUAUUCGACAAAAAUCCAAUAAUUUCAUUUUCGUAGUUCUAGGCCUUGUUUCAUUUGAUAUCAUUUGCUGUCGACAAAGCUAUUAGAAUUAUGAAGCUCAUAAUAAUCUUUCCAGUCUCCACAUUCAUUGUUAAGUUACUAUUUAUCUUGCUUCCACUAGCUAGGUAAUUUAAUCAUGAAAUUGUAACCUUGCACACUUCAAAUGUUUUUGCAGGCUUGAAUGAAUGAAUUCACAUCGUUCACCACAUGGUUCAGUCGAACAUUUAUCAGCAACUAGUCAUGUUGACACAUGCCUGGCCCUCCUGAAUAAAGAAAUUGGAAGCCUAUGCAUAGACACCAAAGAUGACUUCCAGCUACAAAUGUCUGACGACAAGAAUCGAAAAUUGCUUGUAUUUUGCUUAUUAGACAUUGUUUUCUUUGUGAUUAUUUUCCAUAAAGUGAAAUUUUCCAAAAGUUGGUUUUAAUAAGCAUAUUGAUAUUAUAUUAAUAAGCAUAUAGAUAUUUCAUGCAAGAAAUCAUGGGUAUAGUUAUCAUUCACCUUCUACUGAUUAUCUUACCAAGAAUUUAUAUUAAGCAUAUUACUAAAAUUUCUGCAUCACAUAGUGAAAUUUGUCCUUUAUUAUUCAAGUAUUACAUGAGGAGGUCUAAUAUCCAGCGUAUUUUCAUCAUACUGAUUUUAGUGUUAUCUAAAUUACUUUCUGGGGUUUCAAAAACUUUGGCUUAUAUCUGAUUCAUGUUGAUUUUCAUUGUAUGGACGAUAGAAGAAUUUGAGCUUUGGAGAGGUAAUAUGUAAAUGGCUACUGCCCAUGGGACGUCAUUGGGAUCAAUCAUCCCAAGAGGUGAGAAGUCAAAUUGAUUUGAAUUAUGAACACAAUAUUGUCAUUCUUUUUUUUCUUUUUUUUUUUUACAAAAAAACAGAUAGCUGAGCCUUUCCAUUAUCAAGUAAUACAUGCUUAACUAUUUGAAGGAGGGAAAGUUAUUUGAAGGGAAGUCCAGUGGCACAGCUAGAUUUUAUGCUUAAUACUAAGGAGUGCAGUUUUGCUAUAAAAGUUUGAACAGUUUCACCUAUCAUGUGCAAAGGGUGUGCAAUUUUGCAUUAGGAUUUUGAAUAUUUUCGCUUUUUCAUUAUUUAUUGUCACUCGAACACUUUCACUUGUUAUCCUCAAAAGGCAUGCUUGAUUUUUAUUUUUUUUUGUAUAAAUGGACGAGCAUUGGCAAGAAAAUAAAAGGAGAGAGAAAAAAGGAACAAAGAAAAUUGGGAUUUUGAAUAGUUCUUCCGAAAUUUUUUGUAUCCUUUAAUUAAGGAGUAAACUUUAUCAGCUACUUAUGAAUUUAGACUAAGAGGGAUAUGGACACGUAUUUUUUACUGUGCAUAUUUCUCUUGUCUGCGUAGGCACACUAGUAUAUAUGAUGUAUUAGAUUAAAGAGAAAUAUCGUUGUUAAAGUUGAGAUUUUAUAAUUUAAGAGUCCGUUUGGUUCACGGACUAGAUGACAUGGAAUGACUCAUCCUCGGAUUAUUAAUCUUGGGUUGAGUCAUCCUCGGACAAAUAAUCCAAGUUACCUAGUGUUUGGUUGGUUCUCAAUUGGAUAGGAUAUGUUGGAAAAUAAUCCUAUCACGUGUUUGGUUGGAGAUUAGAUGAGGAAGGAUUACUAUUUUAAUGACCAAAGCAUCCCUUAAUUUAUAGAUUCUUUUUAAUAAAAUAAUUUACUAUUUUAUGAAAUAUUAAUAAAAUAAUUUAAUAUUAUUUAAUAAAAUAAUUUAAUUUUUAUAAAUUUUAUUAAAAUAGAGUAGUUUAAAACUUUAUAAUUAUAAAGUAAAUCAAGGGUUUUGAUAUAUAAAAAUUUGCAUUCAUUCAAAUUUAGCCCAUUCGGGCCUUUAAAAAUAGAUUUUGUCCAAGCUUUUGAACCUAAAUUUGAAAUUCAAUUAAAUAAUGGGCCAAGUUUUGGCUAAAUUAAGGUUAAAUCGAUUAAAACCUAACUCAUUUAAGAGCUUUCAAUGAGUCGAACUCAGGCUAAUAUAGAAGAUUUUUCUUUGGAUCGAGUUUGAGUUUAUUGAAGUCCUCAUUCACCAAAUCCAAUUAAUAAGAUUAUAUAUUUAUAUAAAUUUCAUUUAGAAAAUAAGGUUAGUAAGGGUAACUUAGUCCAAGGGCAAUAUAGUCCUUCUAUUAUGAUGUUAGUAUGGCAAAUUAGUCAAAAAUUUUAAAUCAAUUAAUAAGGGUAAGCCAAAAUUUUUAAAAUAAUGAAUAGGGGCAAAUUAGUCAAAAAAUUUAAUAAAAUUAGUGGGGGCUAAUUGGUCUGUUUAUUAUGAUAUUAUUAUGAGAGUAUGGUUAUAUAAUAGCUAAUUUGAAUUUGAAUCAUUCAUAAGGAUAAAUUAGUCCAAAUAUUGUUAUAUUGGUAGUAGGGGCAAAUUAGUAAAAAAAAUUUAAAAUUAAAUAGUAGGGGCAAAUUAGUCUAUUCAUAUUAUAUUAUCAUGUGAGAGUAGGAUUAUAUAAUUAUAAGAGCAUAAAUUUGUAUUUUUUGUAAGGAUAAAUUAAUCUAAAAUUUUAUCAUCCUAUCUGUUAGUCAUCUAGAGAUGACUAAUCCCAUCUCCUCCAUGGGAUUAUUUUAUCCCAUGAAUAGAGGAUUAAUUCGGUUAGGUAGAAUGUAUCAUCUCAUGUAUAAAAUACAACCAAAUAUGGGAUGACACAAGAUAAUUAAUCCAAUUCUGUGUCAUCUCAUGAACCAAAUGGGCCCUAAAGGUUUGGGAAUCUAAUCCUCCCCGCCUCUGCAUCUUUUAAAUUCCAUUCCUCCCCUGUUCGAAAUAAUUUUUUUUUACAAAAAAAAGAAAGGCAUAACAAAAAUGCGUUCAAACUGUUCAUUUCACCCUUUUCCAUUCCGUAUUUCCAGCAUUUUAAGGAAUUAGCGGUAGAUCAUAUCUUCAAAUUUAUUUUGUUUAUAUUAUUAACAAAGAAAAUUUUGUCUCUCUACUUAAAAGCUUGUUAUUUUCUUACAUGAACAGUGAACAAAAAUUGUACUUCGGCAACCACAAAAAAUAAGACAGGGAGACAAUUUGAAGAUCCAAAUGAAGUUGGAGAGAGUUUGACAAAAAAAAAAAAAAAGAAGUUGGAGAGAGCUCAUUUCAGAAUGAGAUGAUUGAUUUUCAUCAGUGAGAGAAGUCGACUUUACUUGAAAGAGUGACGUAAAGAAUCAUGUGGCCAAUAUUUCAUUGGAUUUGCAGGCUAAUACAGCAGCUUUAACAGUGAAAUUACAUGUAUGCAUCUCAUAUUUUUGUGAUUAUUUAUUUAAGUGAAAUGUCUAUAUCAUUUAUUUUAAGAAUAUAUAAUAAUUAGAUUUUAUUUAUCUGAGUUCAAUUAGGCUCAAACUUAAGGUUGAAUUUCAGCGCAAGUUUUACAGAGUUUUACAUUGAGAGCUCAUCAAGUUCGCCCUCGAGUUUAAAUUUGAUAAAAUUGAGUCGAAAUCAAAACUGAAUUCAGCUGUCCCACUUGCUGCCAUAAUAAUCGUUAAAGAGCUUGUGACGCCCCCACUUCUCCCUAGGGCGAAUCCAAGGGUAUCGGCGGGAUGCCUGCCUAACUCUCGUCAGAACUCACUACAAGACGAAUUCAACUUAUGGAUAAACAAUCAAUAAUGAAAGUCGAAUGUACAAAGAAAAGGGUCGCUUCCUUAAUAAUUAUUCAAAUCUUACAUUACAAGUUACCAAAAGUACAUCAACUUCUCCAAAAUGUGCAACCUCCAAAAGUCAUCUAAUGAAUUACAUGCAAAAUUCUAAUCAAAAGGUCAACAGGUCGGCUUCUCCAUAAUUCUUUCCAUUUCGGCUCUUGUUAAGGAAAACAAAACUAAUGGGAUGAGCUAACUCUCAGUGAGGCUAAGAAAAGCAUGCAAACACAUAGUUCAAGUAACAAUAGUACUUAUACGAGAAAUAAAGUUAUAACGUUCAAGUAAUUCACAAUUAAAGUAAAACACACUCAAUAAGGAUACAGGAGCUCUCAGAAGUUAGAUUCCACUUGCUUUGCCGAACCUCGAUCAUAUACCUCCGCCUGUGACAUUCCGUCAACCGGGUAGGUAUAUUUAGUCCGUAGAACUCCACUUACUUCACGAAUCCUGUUCACCGUUACAACUCCCUGUUCUGGGCCCGCUCAUCAUUUAGAAAGGCGAUACUACUCGAGUAUGCCAAGCGAAAUCUCUCAAAUAGAUCAAGCUUUACGAAUUUUCUCAUGGCUCACCAAGCUUCUCGACCAAAUCCAUGCCGGCUCGAGUCGCAAGGUUAGCCUAUGAGUUUGGGCGUCCACCGAAUAUAAAUAUAAGUCGAUGAGACAACGCUCCAAUCGACGAUUUCAAAUACAAAUCACAAUAGCAACACUUCACAUUAGUGGAAUAUCGAUUCACAUAGCCAAAUUCGAAUAUAAUUUCAUGUGAAAGAGAAUGAGUGUGAUAAAGUACACACUCGUCUCGACAAUUCCAAUCUCACAUAGCGGAUGAGAAACAAUUCGAGUACUUAGCAACAAAUUCAUGCACUUGGACUCACCAAGUCAAAAAGUGAGUAAGUAAGCAAAUAACCUUUUAAGCGUCCGCUCCGAGAUUCUCUUGAAGAUCCUCUUGAGCGCCUGAAGAAAUAACGAGUAAUUAUCACUCACAACCAUGCAUCAACCAAGGAGAGUAUACUUGUUUAGAACCAAAACAAUGUCUUAAAAGAGAACUUAAUCUCUCGAAAAUUGGAAUUCAAAAGUGAGGAUUUAAAGUCUCAAGAGAGACUUGCCUCUUACAUGAAAUCGAGUUUAAAACAGUUUAUCAAUAUCAAGAGAGAGUGAAAAGUUCUCAAAACUCAUUCCCUAAGAAAUCGAAAAAUUUCAGCUUUACGCGACAAAGUUGAAAAAAUCAGAUCUUGAGUUUAGCACAUCCAAAAAUGGAAAAAUUUAUACCGUUGGAAUCUAGGUUCGAGUACUAAAAGUUCUCAGAAGACACCUUUCCAAGAUUCCAACUAGAAAGCAUUCACAAUUCAGCUCAAAGUCGCUGACUCAUUAUGACAAGACAGAACCAACCUUGGUUGUUAGCAAUGUUUGGAAAUUCGACAAAAUUCACAGGAAGUGAAUCGGCCUCUGAAAUUUGUAACACAAAAAGAGUCCCAUACAAAGUUUCAAACACGACAAGUGGAGCUAAAUUCGGAGUUUCGAGCAUCAAGAUAUAACAGUGGAAAGUCGGCUGGAUUUUUGCAAACUGUUCAGUGGAUUUCCAGAUUUGAAGAGCAAUCUUUGGAGCAUUAUUUGGGUAUUGAAUUGGCAUUGAAAUUACACCAAAUUUGGUACACUUAAACUUCCAUAUGUGGACUACUUCUCUAUCAAAUUUUAGGCAAAAACUCACACGGGGAGGCAGUUAACAAACUAUCAAAGUUUGGGGAAUUCUCAAGGCUAAUCUGCCAACUCGCCCCUUUCUUUCCUUUCAAAAGUUUGGUACAAUGAAAUCAGCCCCAAAUCAAUCCAUUUUUUAAACCAAGGUUCUAGAAACAUUUAAUAAGCAAUUGAUGGGUAAUUGACAUCAAAAUUUUUGAAACAAAACAUCCCAAAACAAACUUGACCAUUCGGCCAGCAAGAAGGGAAAAACUUUCCAGUUUCCAGCUUUGUUGCACUUUCGAAAUCAGACCACAUCUCACUCAAUACAAGUUCAAUUUAAGAAUGGUUUAUGGCGUUGUAAACUAGGUUCAAAAUGAUACAUUUCAUAAGAAAGAUUAAUUUCCAAAAUCAGUUCACAAGUGAGAGAAAAUCGAGCCACAAGAUGCAGCUUCUCCAUUCCUCUUGGACAAACAGUCACAACAGGACAGACGACUUUGCUGAAUCACUACGGUUCACUCAGUUCGAACUAGUAGGUGAUUUUUACACCGUUAAAAAGCUAUGAAUGUCUAGUUUCAAAUUCCGCAAACGCAAAUUCCGCAAACGACACUCGAUUUCGAAUUUUGUACAAAGAGAUAUGUUCAGACAAAUAACUACUAUUCGGCUACACUGAUCACCUAUUCCAGAUUUCUUUCUUUUUUCGAAAACCCUAGUUUUGAGCAACCAAAUGAAACGAUUUUUGCAAGGUACAUUCUACACACAAUAUACAACAUAUUAACAUCAAUUUCACAGCCAAACAAGCAUCAAAAUUUCGAAUUAAAAUAGAGCAACAUGGACAGAAUUUUCGGCCAGCUCUAAUCUCACACAUUUCUCAACUUUCUCUCCACUUUCUAACCGUAAUCCUCUCAUAUAACACAUAAACAACAAUAACCAAGCAACAAAUCCUCAAGGCAGCUACCUACAAGCCUCCUCAAGACCGCUAGCCUAGAGAUUAAAGCAAGAAAUGAAACUCCUCAAGUCCACUAAUCUAUUUUUUGCUUAGGGUUUCAAACCCAUGCAAAACUAACCAUGAUUCUUGAAGAAAAUGGAAAGACUAAAAGAGUUAAAGGGGUUACCUCUAAUCCUAGAUGAAAAAUCAGAUUUUUCCACCACAAUCCUCCAAGAAUCUCCACAAGAUGUUGUCUUUCUCCAAGCUAGAACUAAUCUCCAAAUAUUUUGUGAGUUGGGUGAAGAUUUUCAAGUGAAAUGGAAGCAAAAUUGGAGCAAGAUGAAAAGAGCUUUCUUCCCUUCUUUUCUUUCUUUGGGUGCCGAACAAGGAGUGAGAGAGAGAGUGUUUUGAGUGAUCAAUCUUGGUUUGGAAGCUUGAAGAAAAUGUGACCAAGAAACUUUACAAAAGUCAACCUUGAAUAGUGUUCAAAUAGUGAGAUGCACUACCACUUUUUUCUCUUGUUUGUUGCACUAGUGCACUAAUCCUCCAAUGAAAUUCCUUUAACACUCUAAUUACUCACUCUUACUAGUCUAAUAUAAAUUUCUCAAAUCUCCACUUAGUCGUUUCGACGUGGAAUGCGCGAACUUUCAACUCGCACGCGACAAAGCGAAAUUUAAAAGAAAUUCAUGCAACGACGAUAUAAUUAACUAACUCUAGGGUAAAUAAUUAUAAAAAUGACUAUUUUAAGAAUAAAAACAUGAGUCCUCACAAGGGGUGUCAACGGUCCGGGUCUGGAUAUCAGAGGUCCAAAAAGUCCAUCUCCGGCGAUGCUCUCUCCAUCUCCAUUCUCCAGCUCCAAAGAAGCCAAACCCGGUCCAGUCUCAGUCUCUUCUCUCUUGCUGUCUUGCACUCUCCAUCUCUGACGCCGGCGAGCUCUCUCCAUCUCUGACUUUGAAUAACUUUGUAAUCAGGUUUAAAACAUGUGAAACAUUUGUAAUUUUCGUGUAGCAGAGUAACUUUGCUACGUGGUUUUAUUGGUUAGGUGUUUUUCUUUUAGUUGGAUUGUGCAAUACUAUGCUUACCAGGUUGAAGAUCUGUGAACACGACCAAGUUUUCCUGUUGAAAGAAUUCCUUUUUCAACUGCUAAGUGUGGUAGGAUAAGGUUUUACAUGGGCCAUUUGAUGGUUUUAUAUGGUUGGUGUUUUUCUUUUAGUUGAAUUGAGAAAAGAGAAAUUGAAGCACAUGGAUUUUGCUCUCCUCUCUCUGAUGAAAGGUCUAAAUUUGUGGCUAUUUAUGAAGGGAAUUUGAUCAGAAUUCAAUCACUUGACUCAUAGAUACAGAUCAAUUGUGUUGUUUGCUUGUGUGAUAUACGGUUUUCCCAUAUGGAUUAGGAUGCAUUUAUCUGUCAAAGUUCCAUUCUGAUGAUGUAGCAAAAUCAGGAUUCUUUGACUGGUCUUAUCCAAGUAGGCCCGACCCGGACCCGGGACUAGUCGAAUGCGGUUCCGGGAUAAAGAAUAAGAGACCCGUCGGGUAUUCAGUCCGGGUCCGGAAUUAAUACAGUGCUACGGGUCCGGGUCCGGAUUUAUUAAUUCUGACCCGGACCCGACCCGUUGACAGGCCUAGUGAGCUUUUGUUACCGCGCAUUCUCGGCUUAUGCCUCCUAGUUUGAAGAAACGGUUAAAAACCACUGAUGAAAAGUUACAACAUAGGAGAACUUGCACAAAUACAGCAGGGAAUAAAUUCAAAGGAUGACAAAAUUCUAGCGCUGGGACAGUGAGAGAGUUUGUAUUGAUGGAAACUUGGUAGCGAUCGUUAAUAUUCCUGCUAAACUACCAUUCACACUAGAGGCCAAUUCCUCUUAUUAUUGUCCAAAAAUAAAAAGAAAAAAUUACAAAAAUAAUACUAUGCCUGCUGGGCUGACUAAACACUUUAAAUACCGGGCUAUCGAGCUGACAAAGCCCAGUAGUGAAUGGGAUCUUUUUUUUUAAAAAAAAGAUGAUCCUGGCAGCCAUCAAGAAAAAGCAAAAAAAAAGUGAAAAAGACUGGCCGUGUGAGGCCGGCAAAGAACAUUUUGUGACGGAUAAGUACAAAAUGCUUUAGUAUGCAAUCAUGUUCUCUCCCAGAAUGGAUAAAGUUUUUAUGUGCACCCAAGUGGGUUUUUAUCAACUUUCCCUUCUUUUGGUACAAAUUUCUAUCAACUUUCCAAUGUGCCUUCUAAUGUUUGGUCCAUUCCGUGGCUUAUGUUCUGUUAAAAUCAAUUAAAAGCCAAUAUCACAAGAAUGCCAUGAUACACUGGAUAGAACCCUAGCUAAGAUAUGUAAAGCGCUCGGGAUAAGUGUGUACUCUCCGUUCUUUAAAUGUUCUUUAGCAAAACCUAACUUUUUAAAAGGAUUUUAUGCUAAAAGUUUUCCAUGAAAAUAAAAGAAAAAUAUAUGCAAAUGGGCUUUUCAAAAUGAAAAAAUCGUUUAAAACGUACCUCACAUUUUGUCAAAUAAGUUUUUCACUUUCAAAAUGUUAAUUUUACGUUCCUUAUAAAUUCAAGUUAGUAAAUAUUGGUCCCAACCUAAAUUUCUGGUCACGUUUCAGCUUGAAUCAGUAUUUGACCACAUGCAAUCAUUCUUCAUGUACAAAAAUGUCAUAUUCCACUUUUUCAGAGGCAAAAAUAAAUACAAGUUAGGUCAGAUCCUACUUUUUUAGUGAAAAUAUAAAUAUGGUUAAAAUAAGAUCCUACUUUUUUGAAAGCAAAAAUGAAUAUAGAUCUGGUCAUUUGUCUAAAUAUAAUUGAGAUCUAACCAUUUUGUCCUUAAAAGAAAUGACCACACAUAGGUCACAUGAUAGAUUCAAGAUAAAAAGUCAUCGAAAAUCUAGGAAGAGAGCAAAUUUUAUCGACUUAAUUUUGUAUAGAAUGUAAAGUUACAAUUUAAAAAAUGAAGAACAAAAGAAUUUCAUUUAAUGAAAUUUGAGAGACAUUUUGAACAAUUUUCAGUUUUAAAAUUAAAUUUGCUUAGGUCUCAAAUUAUCUGAAAUUGUGUAAAUAAAAAGGGAGAACAGCUUAAAGUGUUUGUAUCUUUGACAUAUCUAGCUUUGAGAGCCAGUCUUUUUUUUUUGGCCUUUUCAUUCUUAUUUUUUUUUAAAAAAACCACAUUAGCUGCCGGGCUUUGUAAGUCCAGCAGCCCAAUAUUUUUUUUUAAAAAAAAUUUUGCCUGCACUAUCAUCAUAUCAGAGUAUUAUUUUUGUGAUUUUUUUUUUACAAUAAUCAGAGGAAUUGGCUCACACUGGAGGAGAAUUGUCGUAGUAAGUAGCAGCCAUGCCAUUGGGUAGUUAAACUUAAACAGGCUCUUGCUCUUAUUGGAUGAUUUCUCCAUCUUUGAUGUCCCUUGCCUCCUUGGACUUAAAUUACUUUUUCUGAAACCACUAUCGGUCCAUCCUUUAGAUAAUGAGUGUAUGGUUGGGAAUGUUUGGAUUGAGCCUUCCUUUCUAUUGUAAACAACACUUUUUUAAAAAAAAAAUUUUAAAAAAGUGUUGUUUCAUGAAGUAAUUAAACUUUUUUAAAAAAGUGUUACGAAAUUUUCAAAGGUGUUACAUUCCCAAAUUUUCAAAGGUGUUACGAAAAGCAGUUCCAAAAGUUUUUCAUUUCUAAGGGAAAAAAAAUUAAUGUAGAGCAAUAAUUUUGAAGAAACAAUGGCAUGCAUGACCAAAUUGGGAAAAAAAAAGUGAUGGAUCAGCCAUGCAUGUUACGUGGGGCACUUUCUUCUGCACCUUUGUGAUAAGGAUCCCAACAUUUACUUCAAGCUACAUUCAAUCAAUUUCCAAGCAUUUGGGGAAUUGCAUCCCUGAUUUGUAACACUAACAUUUCAAUAGCAUUAAAAUAGGUCAAGAAGCCCCCUUCUUUAUGAACACUAAAAAAAAUCCAAUAACAAAAGAAAAUAUUAAAAUCAACUGAAAAGAAAAAGAAAAGGAACAUUGCACUGGAUAUAAUGAAUGCUACCAACAUUGCACUGGAUAUAAGACCCUCGACUGUUAUUUAGUUUAAAUGUUUCCUUAAUAAUACGGCACAGCAACACAAUUUUACAUAUUCUACGGGCACAUUUUCAACCAUCAAGGAUUUAUUUGAUACUGAACCGGCUGUUUCCAAAACUAAACUUUGACUAUGAGUUAUAGUAGCGCUUGCAUCAAUCAAAACCACACUAUACUAUACAUUUGCUACAAGAAAAAAAAAAAGGACAGAGAGAGAAAGAAGAACGACACAGCAUGCCAGACUCUUGUGUCCUCUGAAAUGAAUAUUUUAGGUUCAAGCCUCAAGGUUGGUUUGUUGAUUAAAAAACCUUACCGUCCAGUGGGAUUCAGAAUCUCAGAGAAAACACUGUCACACCUUGAAGUUGUCACUGCUUGCCGUGGAUGUCCAAGUUGUAAUGCCACCAUCUCAAUCUUGCCAGCAGAAUCUUGAUCGCCUUCUGAUUCAGACAUCACAUCUGUAUCAUCAUCGGUCAUAUUUUGCACAUCUCCUCCAUGCAUAUGCAAGGGAAAUGGAUCAGGACGACCACCCUCAUUUUCAGCUGCCUCCUGGACUUGCAAUGCAAAUUCAAGGCCACCAACUACAUCAUCCAUUCCCGGUCGUUGAAUCCCUUGAUCUUUCAAACAAUUAAUGGCCGUUUCAGCAAAAAUCCUCAAACAUUGGGGUGCAAUCUCGCCCUUUACAUCUGGGUCCACAAGUCGAUGGAUAAUCCCUUUUUUGUAACACUUCUUGGCCCAUUCAGCCAAGUUCACCUGCUCCUGGGGUAAGUCUAGAAUAAUAGGUGCCCGACCACACAAAACUUCAAACAAAACCACCCCGAAUGAGUACACAUCAGACUUGUCCGUCAAUUGCUGUCUCGUGUAGUACUCCGGAUCUAUGUAGCCAAAACUCCCCUUGACCUGCGUGCUGAUAUGGCUGUAAAUCCCACUCGGACCGAGUUUGGAUAAUCCGAAAUCUGAAACUUUGGCCACCCAUGCCUCGUCCAAUAAUAUGUUGGUUGACUUGACAUCGCGGUGAAUGAUAGUGUGCUUGGUGCCCGUGUGGAGAUAAUCCAACCCUUUGGCGGCGCCAAUGCAGAUUUGAAGGCGUUUUUUCCAUGGGAGCGGUCGAUUGUCUGUUCUGUAGAGAUGAUCGCGGAGGGUGCCAUUAGCCAUAUAAUCGUAAACCAAGAUCAUCUCACCCUUUUCAUCACAGUAGCCUAUCAAGGAAACCAAAUGAAGAUGUCUUAAAUUUGAUAGCAUCUCGAUCUCGGUUUGGAAUUCACGGGCACCCUGUCUUGAUGAAGGAUUUAAUCGCUUUAUCGCAACCGUGGUUAGAUUGUUGUCUAUGUACCCUUUGUACACGUUUCCAAAUCCUCCCGUCCCAAUCAAUAACUUGGAAUCAAAGUUGGCCGUAACGGAUCCAAUCUCCUCCAACAAAAAUCUUCUAAGCGACGAUGAACCUGAUGCUCCAGUCUUUGUUGAACUUGCCGGGGUUGAAAGUGGGGUCCAAGAUGGCUUUGGAGCACUUUUCUUGUCCACGUCUUUUACCCCUCUCUUCCAUCGCCACCGGAAAAACAAGAAACCAAUGAUUAAAACCAUAGCAGCCCCUCCUGCUGCCCCUCCUCCGACGGCAGCAAAACGUACUCGAGAUUUUCCACGAUUCCCCUUGGGAUCAUGAUUGGUCCCGUCAAGACUGCCGUCGGUGUUAUUCAAUUUGAACAAUUCUAAGCCAUUCAAGAUUGCAUCAGCAUACUUUGGUUUGACAUCAAGAUUCGGGUGCAGAGCAAGAAACAAGUCUUGCUUGGUCUGGCGAUCGUCUGGUGGGUUUGGAACGAACACGAGGUAGUCUCUGAAUACCGGGACUUCUGGGCCGCCUGCCCAAUGUAUAACAUCAGCUUCUGGCUCAGCUAAUCUAUCACCGAUAAAUAUUAUGAACACCCGUUCGUUCUCCGCUGUUAUCAAAUCGGGAUUAAUCUCACAAAAAUGCAACCUCAGGAGAUAAUAAAACCCAGAAUCAACAGGAAACAUCCAGCUCAAGUUGAACGAGGUGCUAAACUGUCCCAUCACCCUUGCGGUACUAUAAACUAUCGGGGGUGCGGUGAAAUUUGGGGUUUCUUUAGUGUACUUGAUGGCCCGAUCAUAAUCACUCAACUGAUUUCCUUCAUCUGCGCCCCAGAGGAAUUUGAAAUCGGAAGUCCAUCUGCGGAACAUCCCACUAUCGUCCACCUCAGAAACAGCAUUACCUCCUACGUUGAGCCUGUAAAGAGCUUCAAAGGCAGUCUUGUUCUGAUCAAACUCAAACUGAACAUUUGGAUAAUCCACGAAUUUAAGGGGAUUGCUGAGCAUAACAUGUUUACCCAUGUAGAGAUCUUCCGGGGUUGAAACAACUUCAAUUCCAUUAACGAAAGCGUAGGAAUUCGAAGAGGGCAAAAAGGUAACGUUGAGGAACUGAUUCAUAUCCUGAAUAUUGAUGAUAUAUUCUUUAACAACCGAAUUGAUUAUAUGUUCUUCAAAAACAAAGGGUGGCGAGAAUCCCUUGCUAGAAACUGUGAGAUAUGCGCUAAAGUUACUGAGAAGAGUGAAGUUAUUAGCCUUGACAUUGAAGAAAGACUCCGUUGUGUUGAGACCGCCGGAGUACGAGGUAGGGUAGAAGUAAAGGCGGAGGAACUUUUUGCCUAGGCUGACAGGGAAGGUAUAAGAGAAUUGAGAACGGAUGAUUCGGGCACUUGAAAAAGGGACUCCGCUGACUGAGGAGUCUAGCUCAUCAGUGGCUGUGACUGCUGAUGAAAUAUUUGCCAUGUCGUUCGGUGAGAAUUUUGAGCCCACGUCGCCGUCCCAUUUCCGGCCAUCAACUGAGGUUGAAUUCGAGGAUGAGCCGCAGUUGAUCAGGAUAUAAUCUGUGGGGGUGUAAGGUUGAGCACUGCCAGUGGAAGCGAUGACAAACAACAAAUUGAAGAGAAAGCAGAGGUAUACAAGAAAAAGGAACAUUGGAGCAAAGACUUGCAGGGAAAAAUAAACAAUACUCCCUCCGUCCCACUUUGAUAGUUCUGGUUCUUUUUUCACACAGUUUAAUAAAAAAUAGUUAACUUUGUUGGAACAAUCAAUUUAGGUAGCUAUUUUCCUAAAAUACCCUCACAUUAAUUAGAGUACAACUUUAUGGGAACUUGAAUUGAUGGUAAAAAAAGAAUCAACUCUCAUUAAAUGGGGUAGGUUUAUAGUAACAACAACUUACAUUGAAUAAGGGUAUUUUAGGAAAAUUAAAAUACAACUACAUUCUUCAAUUGGAAAGUGGACUACAAUUUGGGACAGACGAAAAAGGAAAAUAGGACUAUCAAAGUGGGACGGAGGGAGUAUAUUUUUUCGGCUCAAAUGGUAACUCACUUUUCUGAUGGAAAAAUUGGUCGUUAUUCCAUUGAAGCGUAGGAUUGGGAUUUCGCCAUUUGCCUUUAAGAAAUGUCGUGGAAUUUAAAGUCCCCAAUUCAGAUGAAUAAGGAAACGGUAGUAGAAUUAACAUCAUGAAGUGAGGAUGGCAGUUUUAGUGUGGACUUGUUAAGUUGGAAAAGUCAAUUCAUUGGUUCCAUAACCCAACUCCGACCAAGUUUCUGGCUUAGAGUCAUAUACCCCACCACAUGCAAUUAUAGCAGGGGCAAAAUGGAAAAACAAAUUCUUCCCAAUCAAAACUAAAAGAGAAAAUGAUGAAUUUCAUCCCUUAUAUUUUUGCAAAAUAUUUUUUAUGUCUCACAUAUUUAAAGCUUGUAAAAUCUAUACCCUUACAAGUUAGAGAUGUACUACUAAUUUCAUCCAAAAAUCGAGUUUUUAUCAACUUCUAGGCAAAGGGUUGCACACCCUAGCUACAUUACAAUAUUUCAAGGCUAUUAAUCAACUAAAUGACCAAAACAAAAGCAAACGGCGAAUUAAACCUCGUUACUUCGCUGACUGAUACAUGUUUCAUUAUUUGAAGGAAAUAGUAAUGCAUAGCCACCAAGCCAGAAAAAUUCGACUGCAAAUUGUUGAUGUAGUAAUUUGUAAAAGCAAGAUAAAAUUCUUCUAUGUUUCAAUGAUGUUUACUUUUUUUUUUCGCUUGCUCUACUUUUACACUGCUCUCAUCUGUUGUUUUAUCAACAGAUUCAUAGACGAAUUUUUCCUGUUCAUAUUUUCUUCAAAUAAUCAACAUGCAUUAACUAGUGAAGCAACGAGAUUCUAGUGCGACAUCUACUUUUGUCUUCGUCAUUUGGUUGACUAAUAGGCCUUGAGAUGAUUUACAUUUAGUUGGAUAUGAAAAUAUAUAGAGACAUGCUCAGGCUGAAUGUUCUCGGGUGGAAAGUUGAUUUAGAUUUCGUUGUGGGAUGAAAUUGGUACAUGUUCAAAAUGACAGGAUGGUUUUUUUUUUUUUUGACAAACGAUAACAUUUUUAUAGAUAUUAACACUUGAUAGUCCAAGGGCUAAUUACAAAAAGGGGUAACUACCCCCAUAUCUUUCCUAGCUAAUAUUGAAAACCAAACUGGGAAUGAAUCUUCCCAUUCAAAAUUUCUAGUUGCCUUGACUGCAAAUUGCGCCAAUUCAUGGCUACAACUAUUAGCAGUUCUGGGGACAAAAGAGAAAUUGCAACUUUCAAAUCUUUUCUUCAGGACAUCAAUGUCUUCCAGGAGAGUUUGGAGUCUACCUUCCUGGACAUUGUCCGUAUUGAUGAGGCUCACAAUGUACUUGCAGUCAGAUUGGACUUCUAUAUUUGUCCAUCCUGCACCUUGAGCCAUUUCCAGCGCAUUUCUGAUUGCUAGAGUUUCCUCUCUGGCUGCAUCCCCUUUCCUCCUGUCAGUAAUUCCCUUCGCUUUCACUAUCACCCCUUGCCAGUUCCUUGCAAUGAUCCCCAAACCUGAUCUGACCAUUUUAGCUGAAAUUGUUGCGUCUGUGUUGAUCAUCAUUGUUCCUUCCUUGGGAGGCUCCCACCACUGCUGGACCUGUCGUUCCAUUUCAAGAGCUGAAGUUGUUCUCGUGUCUGAUUCAUUUGCUGCAUCGUACUCUAUCCAUUCCUGCUAUGCCUUGUCAAUUAUUUCUUUUGCAUCCACUACCUCACACUAGAAUGUUAACUUGUUUCUCGCUUUCCAGAUCUGCCAUAAAAGGUUCACCGUAAGCCUGAUCCUAUCUGCUCCUUGUGUCUCCUUUGCUACUUGCAUCACGGCUUCCCACCAUCUCCACAAGUUACCUUGUAGUGCAACUAAGACUUCCCACCUUACUGGAGCUAACUUCCAUACCACUUUAGCUUUUGGGCAGAAGAAGAAAAUGUGCUCGAUUGUUUCCGUUUCCUCUCCACAGUAGUAUCAUAUCUUGUUGUUGGUUCCAAAUCUCUUGUAUAGAGCUUCAUUUGUGGCCAUUCCAUUUUGCAAACAUCUCCAUAAGAAAUGUUUCAGUUUCAUCUUCACAUUUAAGCUCCACAAUCUUUUCCAUACUGUAUGCUUUCUAACUUCCCAGCUGGUUUCCGGAUCAGGUGCAAGUCUUCGAUUCCCUUUUUCACUUUGCUCCUUCGCCACAGCAUAACCAGAUUUCACAGUGUAAAUCCCAGACUUGCUAUAAUUCCAAAACAACCAGUCUUUUCUAUCAUAUAAGCUAAGGGGGAUAUUAGUAAUGAGAUUUACAUCACAUAUUCUAUUAUGAAGUCCUAAUUUUGAAUUAUCUUGUUUAAAAAAAAAAAAAAUAGUAAUGAGAUUUACAUCAGUUACAUUAAACCAGUAUUGCAAGAGAUCAUUCUUCCACUUUCCCCCCUCUAUUAGCUCAUGAACAAACUCGAGCUGACAUCCUAUUGGCUUAACCGUAGUUACUCUUCCAUCAGCCAAUCCAGGUAUCCAUCUGUCAUGCCAAAUCUUCACUGACCUUCCAUCUCCCACUCUCUUCUAUAGCCCCUGUUGAAGUAGUUCUCCCCCCUUAUGCAUACUUUUCCAGCACCAAGAAGCAUUAUUAGGUGGCUGUUGUCCUAACCAGCCCUCCUCUUUCAUGUACUUAGCCUUCAGGACUUUGCUUACUAACAAAUUUGGAUUGGUAACAAUUCUCCAAAUUUGUUUUGCAAGCAGAGCCAUAUUGGAGGCUUCCAGGUCUCUAAAACCCAUCCCCCCUUUCCCUUUGACCCCAGAAAGUUUGCUCCAUCUCACCCAAUGUAUCUUCUUUUCAGAUUCCCCCCCACCCCACCAGUACCUUGCAAUUCUAGCACUUAUGGCCUUACACAAUCCUUUGGGUAAUUUAAAGUAGGACAUAAUGUAAGAAGGCAUGGCCAUGAUGACUGAUUUGAUCAACACCUCUUUACCCCCUUGGCUAAGCAACUUUUGUUUCCAGCCUUGAAGCUUACUACAAAUGUUACUUAUCAAAUACCCAAAGACCUGGUUUUUAGCUCUCCCAAUGGUCAUCGGAAGGCCUAGGUAUUUACCACUAUGAGCCUCCCUCAUGUUAUCCAACACUUCACUAAUUUCCCCUCUAAGCAUCAUGGGAGUAUUUCUAGAAAAGAACAUGGCAGAUUUGUCAAAAUUUACUACCUGUCCCGUGGCUUUGCCAUACAGCUGGAUUAUCUCCUUGACCUUCUGAGCUUCUUGUUUGCUAGCUUUACAACACAAAAGGGAGUCAUCUGCAAAAAAUAAAUGUGAAACCAUGGGUCUGUCUUUGCAGAUUUUUAUACCAGUUAUGUCUUUAUUAUCCACAGCUUUCUUGAUUAGAUUUGAGAGCCCUUCCGUGCAUAUGAUAAACAAAUAAGGAGAUAGAGGAUCUCCUUGUCUAAUACCUCUGGAAGGUUUGACACAUCCUACCUUUUGUCCAUUUAAAUUAAAGGAGUAAGAAACAGUGGAAAUACAAGUCAUGAUCCAGUGAACAAAAGUAGGACAAAAACCCAUGUGUAUCAUAAUUCUACCAACAAAAUUUCCACUCCACCCUAUCAUAGGUUUUAGACAUAUCAAGCUUAAUGGUCAUGAAGCCUACUUUGCCAGAUCUCUUGCUUUUCAGGAAAUGUUGAAGUUCAUGAGCGAUGAUAACAUUGUCUAGAAUUUGUCUACCUGGAACAAAAGCAGAUUGGGAUGGGCUAAUGCUGUGCUUAAGAACUUUUUUCAGUCUAUUAGCCAAAAGCUUUGAAAUGGUUUUGUACAAAACAUUGCAUAGACUAAUAGGUCUGAAAUUAGUUAACAUCACGGGGUUAUCAACCUUGGGAAUUAGGGAAAUGAUGGUCUCAUUUAUAGACUUAAGGAGAUUACCCGUAUGAAAAAAACUAGUAAUGGCAUUGACCAUGUCACCUUUUAUAAUACUCCAGUAUGUUUGAAAAAAGCACGGGGACAUACCGUCAACUCCAGGAGCUUUGUUAGGAAACAUAGAAAAAAUGGCUUGUUUGAUUUCCAACUCGUCCACAGGUUUAAUCAACUGAGCGUUCAUGAGAUUGGAAAUAGUGCGCGGUAUGCCUUGUAGCACUUCAUCAAAUUCUGUUGGAUUAUUGGAUGUGAAGAGCUUCUUGUAGUGCUUACACAAUUCUUCCUCAAUUUCCUGAUCGCUCCUACACCACUCCCCAUCAUUCUUUUGGAGGAUGCUGAUCCUGUUUCGUUUCCUUUUGGCCAUGACACUUUGGUGAAAAUACGCAGUAUUUUUGUCCCCCUCCUUGAGCCAUCUACUUCUUGAUUUCUGGCUCCAGUAUAGCUCCUCCUCCUUAUAGGCUUUGCUUAACUGAAGCUUCAAAGCUGUAAUGACUCCCUUAUUGCACAUCUCAUCCGCCUCUCUAGCUGCCUUCAAUUGCUCCUUUGUCUCCUGAAUUUUUGCCUUUGCAUUACUUUUGCUGUCCCGUUCCAAUCAAUCAAUGCAAGUCUGCACUCCUUAAUUUUCCUCACUACUUUAAACAUUCUGGACCCUUGUUGUUCUCUCCCCCAAGCCGUUUUAAUUACCACUUCAGAUGCUUUGUCUUUUGCCCAUCUUUGAUCAAAGAAAAACCUUCUUUUUCCUCUCCUUUGUUAUGGGUUCGUAUCCACCAGAAGAAGGCAGUGAUCGGAUGCCUCUUUUUCAAUAUGCUCACAAGUUACAUUUUCAUAUAGCUGCAUCCAUCCAACACUCCCUAAACAUCUAUCCAACCUCUCCUUUACCUCACCCUUCCCGUCCCAUGUAUUACUCCAGGUCCAAGGAACCCCUACAAAUCCUAUAUCCACCAGCUCAUUCCCAGAAAUGAAGUUAUUGAAGUCCCUAAAGCUACCCUCUGAUCUUUCUCUCCCUCCCCAUUUCUCUCCAUUAGAGCAAAUAUCAUUAAAAUCUCCCAUUACAGCCCAUUUAUCACCCCAAUCCCUCUUUUUUUUCCUCUAUUGUUUUCCAUUGGUGUUUCCUAACUCUAUCCUCCAUACUAGCAUACACGCCUAUCAGCCACCAGUCAUCAUUUGUUUGCUUAUCUACUACCUUCGCAGCGAUGUACCAAUCCGCACCUUGUACCUCCAGCCAAACCACAUGACAGGGAUGGUUUUGCUUUCCUUUGAAUGUGAUGCAUGAAAGAAAAUAUUUUCAAAUAUGUGAGGGACAAAGUUGGUCAUUUCCUCAUUUAAUUUUAAAGGGGAAGAGUUUUACCUUUCGAUUUUGCCCCUAAUAUAUUAAGCGCGUGAUUGGGGUAUGUAAUUCUUAGCUGGAGAGUUGAUCGAAUUUGAUUUAUGGGAUUAAAGUGGUAUAUUUCCAAAAUAUAAGGCAUUAUUUUAUGAAUUAAUUUUCUAUACACCAACAACAUAUACACUUUCACCAUUAGAUGCAUGACAUGUAAUCCGAAUUUAAAUUUGAAACUCAAAUUUUGCAUAUGUGUCGUAUAUCCGAUCGUGAUAGUGAAUACAUCGUCAGUGUAUAAAAGAUUUACUCUUAUUUUAUACCAUUGUAAGUAUGGGGCACGAAAAAAUCUUUUCUAAAAAAUAAGGGACUAAUUGGGUCUUUUUUUUUUAUUUUUGGGCGAAGGUGCUUGGUACAAAAAUCUAUUUACCAUAGCUGUGAGAAUGAAAUAGGAGGAUUUACAUUAAUUGAUCAGAACUUGAUUUUGGGGUGCAGAGAUGCUGAGAACAUCCAUGAUAAUUUAGCAAGAAAGAAGGAAUAAGGACAUAGAAGUUUUCUCCUUUCUAGUGGUGGGGUUAAAUUCUUAUCAUUUCUUGUCAUCCUCGAGCAAGUCUUUUGAUCAACGUUACUUUUUUUUAAAUUCAAAUGAUCGUCAUUUUUAGAGGACAAUUGUAAGUUAUCUUGGAAAUUAUAAUGAAUAAAAUUAUCUUUUUCAAUUGAAAAAAUAUCAAAUUAUACUGUAAACAUUAAAUUAUUAUGUAUAUCUUGGUUCAGGUGCUCAUUUCCCUUUAUCAUACAAUAUAAAGGAAUGGUCUGUCCUUUGGAACAUCCAAUAAAAUUGGAACGAUAUAGAGAAGAUUUGCAAAGACUAUGCAAGUGUGACACACAAAAAUGAGAAAAAAAGGAUGGUCUAAUUUUUUAUUGGUGUUCGUUGUAGGGUUAGGUAUUAAAAUACAACUCAAAAAAAGAUUGAUGGAUAAAAUCAAAAGAUGCGUGAAUAGUAUAGCACACUUAGCAAUUUCCUUUGUCCUGGGCAUUGGUCUCCAAAAGAAUCCUUUAAUGGCAGAAGAAAUACCAACACGAGUUGAUUUACAAGUUACAACUCAUCGGAUCUACAAGUUACAACUCAUGGAAUUAUGUACUUUUGAUUUUAAAACUUCAAUCUUAAUUACAUGACUACUUCACAAAAGACUCAUUUGCUAGGAAAAAAAAAACUUGGCAAGCUAGAGUGGUGGCCUGUGGGUACUAGCAGUGAUAUACUGAUAUUACACAAAAUAAAGUAGUGGAUGCUGCCGCGCCGGGGGAGAACAUCUUUUGUUUUCUUUUGUUUUCUCUUUUCGACGUGUUUGCAGGAAAGUUAAUGAGCUAGGAAAAGGGCCAAAAAAAAAAAAAAGUUAUGAAGUGAGAUAAAAGCGGACGAAUAAAGUGGGCUUCUAUUAUUAGUGUUUUGAAAAGGGAAAGUGUCUCAACAUAAGAAAGCAAUAGACAUGAGUGUCUGUAGUAAAAUGAUAAAUCGUAAGAAAAAAUAUUAAAAAAUGGAUUAUUCAAUUUAUUUUCUAUAUUUAAUAAUCAACUUAGCUAACGGUUGGUCAAUGAGCACUCGUCACAAACAUUCAAAUGUUAGUUUUUUUUUUUUUUUUUGAAAAAAUACAGUGAAUUUAGGAAGUGUUUAAAUAAAUGGGGCUCAAUAAUUAUGAUUGAAUUUAUUCAUAGGGUAAUUUAAGUGUAAUUUAGUUGUACUAACAAGUUCUACAUUAAAAAAAUCUUUUAAUAAUUAUAAUUUUUUUUAAUGAGAAUGGGUAUUAGCUAAUGCACUUGAUUUAUACCAAAGAUUACACUGUGAAAGCACGUACUUACGCUCCUUGUCCUUCUUGAAUUCAAACACACUUUCCUUAUUUAAUUUUAAUUUACUAAAUAGCUUGCGGAUGAGACCUCUCUUGAUGGGUCCAAGUGAUGAAUCCAUACUUAGGUUCAUACCUUAGAUUUUCAUAUAGGAGAUUUCUAACGAGUGCCUAUACACCUAAAUCAUACCUUAUUAGCUACAUAAAUUCACAAUAUAUUUUUUCUAAUUAAUAUUACUUUUUUCAAAAUAUGAACACUUGAAAUCCAUUAUUGGACAUUCCUUUGACAGACUCUUUCAUAUAUAACCAUUCUACUCUGAAUAACUAACCUGUGAUCAUUAAAAAUUGAACCGAAAUUCAAAUUAAAUAAAAUAUUUUUAUUGAUUAAAUGCUAGUCAAAUUGAUUGCAAAUUCAAGCAUCGCAAUAGGCAGACCUUUCUGGGAUCUACAGCUUCUUUUAUCUUGGAUCAUGCACAAUGCAGCAGCAUUGAAGACCACUAAAUCCAGGAACGCAUAAAAAUCAUUCACAUGAGAAGAAUUAUUCGUAUAUGACAGGAGACAACAAAGCAACCAAUUAGUUUGAAAAUUUUAGGAUUAGCUUCCCCUCCCCGUGAACGGGGUUUGCUUUUAAAAAAAAUGUUUGGAAGCCAAGACAUCAACAUGCCAAGGGCUUAGAAUCUGUAGAAUAAACAAAUAAAUUGAACUCCAUUUGAAAUUCCAACUUGAUAAACUUGAGACUUAAAUCAAACACCCAAUUUCAUUUGCCAAAAUCUUUGAUCAAAGGCUCGAUUGAUUUGUGAACUCCACUUUCGAGUUUCUAUCAAUGUAUGAUACAGCUUAGGUAGAAGCAUUACCAUUAGAAUAUCCAGAAAGAACAAGAGUCACGAGGAUGAGUGAAACCAAUUGAACGCUCCUUGAUGCCAUUGUGCUGUUUGUUGAUGCCAAACCAAUAUGAACAGCACAUACAACAGAACUAGCCUUGCCUAUUUAUAACGAAAUGAUAUUGAUAAUUAGAAACGUGUCAUCACUUAUGUGGUUCAGAUUUAGGUUCAGGUUGACCUGUAUACACACUUUGACAAAUGGCUUAUCCGUAUAUUAAAGCUUUUGAAAAUCCGAUUCAUCAUCUUCGAGUGAGACAAUUGACAGAUUAAUUGGCUAUUGUCGUUUUUUGCUUUUUUUUUUUUCUCUUGAGUGGUUUUUUAUGUGGAACCGUUUCUAAAUGAAACUGAUAGAAGACCAACUUUCAAAAAAGAUUUACCAACCGUUUGGUUGGUGGGUUUUCUACUCUUCAAUGGGUAGAGAAAGUGCCUUAUACCCAUAUAUAGAUGAUGUUUGAUAUACUUCUAUGGGUAUUGUUCAAUCACAAUCAAAAACCCAAAAGUAGGUAAUGGUCAUUACUGACCAAUUUGUGGGGGGAAAUGAACCCCAUUGACGAAUUUAAUACUAAAUGACAUAAGAAAAAUACAAAAAGAAUGAAGAUACGGCUAUCUGUCCAUAGCGACACCAGUCUUUCUUUCUUCUUGUACUCUUUUUUUUUCUCCUUUUUCCUUUUCUUUUUGUGUUUUUGUAAGCAUACUGAUGUUCCUUCCUUUCCUUUAUUCUCUCCUCCAAUCUUUUUCUUCUUCUUUUCUCUUGAUGGCCAGUAGGUGGCGGUGGUCAGGGACGGAGCCAGAAAUUUAUUUUUGGGGGGGCUGAAGUGUAUUAAAAAUUUUUUUUUGUGACGAAAUAAAUAUAUUUAUUAGUAAAAUUUAGAAUCAAUAAUUAUAAAAAUAAUAAAAACAUAUAAUUAUACAUACCCAAAAAUUUGUUAUUGAUUAACACUUGAAGUAUUGGUAGUUGUUGCACUCGAAUAACGAAGAGGAGGCAAUUGCAUUCUGCGAGUCUUCAUCCGUUGAAAACGUUGCAAUAUUUGCUCAUUUUCAAUUGUUGCAAAAAUAUCCUUCUCGAUGUAUACAACCAGACAGUCAUUCAUCCACUCGUCUCCCAUUUUGUUGCGCAAAUCAGUCUUGACAAUAUUCAUUGCAGAAAAUACUCUUUCAACAGAAGCAGUCGCAACUGGUAGAACUAAUGCCAACUGGAUCAGACGAUAAACAAAUGGAAAAACUGUAUUUUUACCAGUUUUAACCAUUUGUUGAGCAAGACUUCCCAAAUCUCCAACUUCUGAAAAUUGAGGAUCGCGUUGCACAUUAUAAAUAUAAUUUCGAAGUUGAGACUCAAGAUAUAAAUAAUCGUUACUUGAGAAGUCUUCAGGAUAUAAAUCAGCAAGACGGAGUAGUUUCUGCACAUUGAAUUGAGAGAAAGAACUUUUUGGAUCAAGACAUGCUAUGCAACUAAGCAAUUCCGUGCUAACUUCCGAGAAACGAUUAUUCAUCUCUUGUAUAAUUAAAUCAACAACCUGACAUCACAACAAUAAUAAAAUUAAUAACUAAGAAAAUCUGCUAACAAGUAACAAAUGUAAUGAAAUAAUAAUUUCAAAAAUAAUACCUCACAAAAAAUUUCCACGCGAUAAUGAUGAAAAUUAGUGAUGGUUUGACCUCUGCGACUGCGCCUGGCAUUGCCACGGAUUGCUAUACUGUCUUCCAUAUCAAUCACGGGAAUCAUAUUCAACUCACAAAAAUUGUUGACUUCAUCUAAAAUUAUUUGCCAUCCCUCUUCCCUAAAGUCUUGCAAUUGAGAUUUCAUAGUAUCAAUCAAACUCAUGGCUUGGACAAUAUUUUGAUCCCUUUGUUGCAAAACAAGUGACAAGUCAUUUGUGAUUCCCAAUAAAUACUUCAUCAGGUGCAAUGCAAAAACAAACUCAUAAUCAUUCAUUCUAUCAAUCAAACCCCUGGCCAUACCUCUAUUGUCAGAAGUGGAGGCAUCAUCUUGUAUAUUUCCCAAUAUUCCAAUCACCGAAGCCCACAUAGAGGAUAGACGAAGUAAUGUUAGAUAGUGUGAUCCCCAACGAGUAUCCCCUGGUCUUGCUAAACUAGUUUCUUGAUUUUUGCCUUUUCCACUAAUAAUAUCUCCACUGUCUAAAAGUGUAACAAUCUUAUCAUGUUCUAUUUGUCUUAAUUGAUCUCUCCUUUUACAUGAUACUCCAGUUAAAUUGACAAUCAUAGAGACAUAGACAAAGAAUUCACUGACAAUGAUAUUUCCCUUAGCAACAGCAACAAUAACUAACUGGAGUUGGUGAGCAAAACAGUGAAUAUACAUCGCAUAGGGAUUUUCUUGUAAUAUAAGGGCCUUCAAACCAUUGAACUCACCUCGCAUAUUUGAAGCUCCAUCAUAUCCUUGACCUCUCAAUUUGGAUAAUGAUAAUCCGUGUUGCGCGAAUAAAGAAUCAAUUGCAUCUUUCAAACAAAGAGAUGUGGUGUCAGACACAUGUACAAUUGCAAGGAAACGUUCAAUCACACGCCCUUCUUUGUUCACAUAUCUCAAAAUAACUCCCAUUUGCUCUUUCACUGAACUGUCUCGAGACUCAUCAACUAUUAGGGAAAAAUAAUUGUCUCCAAUAUCAUUGAUUAUAACACUUGUGAUCUCUGAGGCACAAGCAUGUGCCAGCUCUUUUUGAAUCAUUGGAGAAGUUAGUUGAUUAUUUGCAGGAGCAUUUUGAUUUACAACCUCAAAAAUCUCAGUAUUUCGCUGGCUAUACCACUCAAACAAUUCAAGAAAAUUGCCUCUAUUUGAAGAACUAGUUGACUCAUCAUUUCCACGAAAAGCCAAUCCUUGCUUCAAAAGAAAGCGGGUCACAUCCAGAGCAGCAGUUAAACGGGUGCGAUAUGCAAUAUCUAUUUCGCGCCCACAAGAUCGUAGCACAUUUGACACACUAUGCCUUUGAUCUUGAAAACUUUCAAACUGUAUUCUAGCAUCAUUAUGGCAACUAUUCACAGCUCCAAUAUGUUCAUUAAAUCUUUCCAUUGCCUUUUUCCAAUUAUUGAAUCCCGUUUUUGUAAAGGCAUCCUCUGCAUAUCGACCUCCCUUAUUUUGUGUUUUGAAAAGAAAGCACCAAAAGCAAAACGCCGCAUCUUUCGAUAUGCUAUACUCUAACCAUACAAACUUUUGAUACCAACUAUCUUGGAAACUUCUAUGUUGUUUACCAAAUGAUGUUUUUGGAUACAUAUGGCCAAUCGGUUGGCAAGGUCCCCUAGUCAAAUACUCUCUUCGGACAUGGUCUCGAAGAGAAAUAUCAAAUUUCUCAACUGAUUUUCGUAAUCCCGGAUCACUAACAAUAUCAUUUAAAUUCAAUUCCACACAAGAUUGAUUUUGAACUGGUUCACUAAUAUUAGGCUCAUUUGAAGAUUCACCACUACGGACUCGUUUAGGUUUAAAGAAUCUCUCCAUUUUCUGUCACAAUUAAAUAAUUGUGGUUAAAUUCAAUAAAAUUAUGCAAUUCAAUAAUCAAUUAAUUUAAAAUUCAUAUAAAUAAUUCUUUAAUUUAAUAAUAAAUUCAUAUUACUUAUAUUUCUCAAUUUAUAAAAUUCAUUAUAUAAAAUUAUCAAAAAGUUAAAAUAAGGUACAACUAAAUACCCAUAUAAUUUCUAAUUCAAUCUCAUAAAAUUUUGAAUUUAUAUUUACAUUCAAAAUUUCUAAUUCACAUAAUUAAUUCUUAAAAUUUCAAAUAUAAAACUAACAAAAUUUUAAAAACUAAAUACAACCUAAAAUCUAUACAAUUUCUAAACUAAUUUCUAAUUUAAAUUUAAUAUCAUUAAAUUUUUUAAUGUAAUCUUUCAAAUUCUUAAAUUACAUUAACAUAAACUAAAUAAAAAUUAAUCUUAAUCAAAUUAAUAUCAAGAUACUCAAAAUUCAAAAAUAAUUUAAACAUAUAAUUAACAAAAAUAUAAAGAUGAAUAUUGUAAUUUAAACCAAAAAACUAACCUAAAAGAUUUAUGUGAAUGGAAUGGUGGAGAGUUGGAGUCUUGGAGCCUUGAAUUGAAGGCUUGAAGCAGGAUGGUAGAAUCUCAACUGAAGCUUCUUGGAGUUCUUGGAGCCUGGCGUGAGUGGCGUCUUCUUCUUGGAGUUGGAGACUUGGAGUCUUCGUGAGUGGCUUCGGUGUUUGGCCUUUGGCCUUUGGCAUUGGCGGCGUGCUUUUGCAUCAGAUGAAGCCUUAGGGCUUCAUCUGAUGUAUUUUUUUUCCCUCAUUAUACAAAACGACGUCGUUCCACUAAAAGUGAAACGACGUCGUUUUGUAUUUAGAGGGCAAAAAAAAAAUUCAACAUAAAUUGGGUCAUCUUCUUCCUCGGACCUCAGCAGUCAGCAGACUCAGCAGUCAGCACGGCAGGCUGGCAGCGGCUUUCCAGGCCCAGCUCUUCUUCACUUCCUCUGCAGCAUUCAUGGAGGCAUGGAGCCAUGGAGGAUGGUAGAUCUGGAUCACCGUGGGGGGACUGGGCUGGGCUGGGCUGGCCGCCGGAAUCCCCUAUAUGGCUAUAUAUAGGGGAUUUUCCGGCGGCUUGGGGGGGGCUUAAGCCCCCACCAGCCCCCCCUUAAAUCCGUGCCUGGCGGUGGUGUUGGUGGCCAUUGUGAAUUGCUUGGGUGAAGCUUUUGGUUUUUUGGCAAUUAUUGUGACUUUGACAAAUUUUUCUUUAUGAAACCUUAACACCCGUAAUUUUGUGAUUUGCAGGCAAAACAUAGCAUCACCUUGUGUCUGUCUGUGUGUUUUUUUUUUUUUUUUGGUCUUCAAGAUUUUAAGUUUGACUCCAUGUGUUAUUGGACAAUUCGAUGUCAAAUUAAUUUAAAUUUUAACUUCUCCAAAGUGAGAUGAUUUUUUUGAUAGUCAUUUGGUAUAUAAAUUUUUUGAACUAGUUGAAGUGGCUUGCCACUUUAGUGGUGAUGGUGGUUGAAAGUGGUUAAGGUUUAGUAUUGGAACUUAGGAAGAAGAAGGGAAAAUAAAAAAAAAAUUGAAAACCCAUUCCUUUUGAUUACAAUACCAAACAAUCAAUAAGUUUUUGGCAAUACUCAUUGCCAUCGAAGAAUUUUUAUAGCCAUUGCUACUGCUAUUCCGUAGGGUAUGCCAAACGGGUGGUUGGAUAUGGCAACCAACACGCCUGAGGAUGGAGAAAUAAGGCAGGGGUGGGAGUGGGGGAUUUUUUAACCCCACCUCAAGUGGGGCAAGGGAUGGGGGAACAUAUCACGCUCCAUCCCCCGCCUAAAUUUUGACGUAGUAUAACAUCUAUGUAUGUUUAUAUAUAUAUAUAUAGAGAGAGAGAGAGAGAGAGAAAACUAGAAGGAAUUAGGCUGUGCAAGCACAGCUUAGCCCUACCUAUAAAAUUCUGGUUAAAUGCAUCACAUUAUAAUUGCUUUCAAAUAAAGAGCAAUUACAAUUGCUAAAAAAUAAGGUUUAUUUUUAGUAGAAUGUUCCAAAAGUUUGCUCCAACUUGCUUAUUGUAAUGUAGUAGAGAUAUAUUGUUGUAUUGUAUGGACAAAUAGCGAUAAAGAAUUUAAAAACCAAACACAUGAAAAAUGCAAAACCAGUUCAAAAUGACAGGAUGGUUUUUUUCGGCUCAAAUGUUCUGAUGGAAAAAUUGGUCGUUAUUGCAUUGAAGCGUAGGAUUGGGAUUUCGCCAUUUGUCUUUAAGAAAUGUUGUGGAAUUUAAAGUCCCCAAUUCAGAUGAAGGGUCUGUUUGGUUGGAAGUAAAAUGUUUUCCUUGGGAAAAUAUUUUCCGUGGAAGUAAUUUUCCAUGAAAAUCAUUUCCCUUUCAUCAUUUUCAGGUGUUGGAAAAUCAUUAACUCUCUAAGCGUGGACUUGUUAAGUUGGAAAAGUCAAGUCAUUGGGCAGAUUUAAUGCAUCAAGUCAUUAGGCCAAUGGCCACUUGCCAUUUGGUCCAGUGGUCAUCACCAUAUUUGGUGAUGCUGGAGGUCAGGGGUUCAACCCCUGCCUCCCACAAAUUUGCCACAAUAUGUGGCUGUAGGGAUGGCAACGGGGCAGGGUUGGGGCGGGGGACCCCUCCCCCGUCCCCCGCCCCGUUGCCUAUUAGUUCCCCCCAUCCCCCGCCCCGUCCCCCGCCUCCCGCUCCCCCCGCCCCGCCUUGCCCCGCUUCCCCCGCGGGGGCACCCGCGGGGUUAAUAAAAUUUUAUUAUAUAAUUUUAUUAUAAUUAAAUUUUAAUAAAUAAUCAAGUACUAAAAUAUUAACACAUCACAAAAUUAUUAUUCAUUGUAAUUUUACAAUUGAAACUCAUAAAAACAAUCAAACAGAAGUUAUUUGAAUACAAUCCAAUAUGAUGAAAUAAAUAUAACUAAAAUAGUCAAAUUUUCACUUUUAGUACAAAUGCAAUCACUAAUUCAUCAUUGUGUUUGUGCUUUUUUUUGAGAAAAAAUGUUAUUCUAUUAAGUGUAAUUAGAAAUUUAGUAUAAAUGUAUUAGUAAAUUUAGUAUAACUAAUUAAUAAAUUCUAUUAGUAGACAUGUAUAAUUAUUAAUAUAAUUGAUAAUAUCAAUUAUAUUACAUAAACUAAUAUACAUUAUAUAAUACAUCUAACUAAUAAUAUCAUUAUCAUAAGUUUACAACUAAUUAACUUACAUAUAAUAUAUAGUCAUUUAUAUAUAUAUAUAUAUAUUUUGCGGGUGGCGGGGCGGGGGAUGGGGCGGGGGUAUACCCCCCGCCCCCCGCCCCGUUUCUAAGCGGGGGGAAAAAAUUCCCCCCCGCCCCCGCCCCACCCCCCGCCCCAACCCCCGCCCCGUGAGCCCCCCGCGGGCACCCGAGCUACAUAAAUUCACAAUAUAUUUUUUCUAAUUAAUAUUACUUUUUUCAAAUAUGAACACUUGAAUCCAUUAUUGGACAUUCCUUUGACAGACUCUUUCAUAUAUAACCAUUCUACUCUGAAUAACUAACCUGUGAUCAUUAAAAUUGAACCGAAAUUCAAAUUAAAUAAAAUAUUUUUAUUGAUUAAAUGCUAGUCAAAUUGAUUGCAAAUUCAAGCAUCGCAAUAGGCAGACCUUUCUGGGAUCUACAGCUUCUUUUAUCUUGGAUCAUGCACAAUGCAGCAGCAUUGAAGACCACUAAAUCCAGGAACGCAUAAAAAUCAUUCACAUGAGAAGAAUUAUUCGUAUAUGACAGGAGACAACAAAGCAACCAAUUAGUUUGAAAAUUUUAGGAUUAGCUUCCCCUCCCCGUGAACGGGGUUUGCUUUUAAAAAAAAUGUUUGGAAGCAAGACAUCAACAUGCCAAGGGCUUAGAAUCUGUAGAAUAAACAAAUAAAUUGAACUCCAUUUGAAAUUCCAACUUGAUAAACUUGAGACUUAAAUCAAACACCCAAUUUCAUUUGCCAAAAUCUUUGAUCAAAGGCUCGAUUGAUUUGUGAACUCCACUUUCGAGUUCUAUCAAUGUAUGAUACAGCUUAGGUAGAAGCAUUACCAUUAGAAUAUCCAGAAAGAACAAGAGUCACGAGGAUGAGUGAAACCAAUUGAACGCUCCUUGAUGCCAUUGUGCUGUUUGUUGAUGCCAAACCAAUAUGAACAGCACAUACAACAGAACUAGCCUUGCCUAUUUAUAACGAAAUGAUAUUGAUAAUUAGAACGUGUCAUCACUUAUGUGGUUCAGAUUUAGGUUCAGGUUGACCUGUAUACACACUUUGACAAAUGGCUUAUCCGUAUAUUAAAGCUUUUGAAAAUCCGAUUCAUCAUCUUCGAGUGAGACAAUUGACAGAUUAAUUGGCUAUUGUCGUUUUUUGCUUUUUUUUUUUUCUCUUGAGUGGUUUUUUAUGUGGAACCGUUUCUAAAUGAAACUGAUAGAAGACCAACUUUCAAAAAAGAUUUACCAACCGUUUGGUUGGUGGGUUUUCUACUCUUCAAUGGGUAGAGAAAGUGCCUUAUACCCAUAUAUAGAUGAUGUUUGAUAUACUUCUAUGGGUAUUGUUCAAUCACAAUCAAAAACCCAAAAGUAGGUAAUGGUCAUUACUGACCAAUUUGUGGGGGGAAAUGAACCCAUUGACGAAUUUAAUACUAAAUGACAUAAGAAAAAUACAAAAGAAUGAAGAUACGGCUAUCUGUCCAUAGCGACACCAGUCUUUCUUUCUUCUUGUACUCUUUUUUUUUUCUUUUUUCCUUUUCUUUUUGUGUUUUUGUAAGCAUACUGAUGUUCCUUCCUUUCCUUUAUUCUCUCCUCCAAUCUUUUUCUUCUUCUUUUCUCUUGAUGGCCAGUAGGUGGCGGUGGUCAGGGACGGAGCCAGAAAUUUAUUUUUGGGGGGCUGAAGUGUAUUAAAAAUUUUUUUUUGUGACGAAAUAAAUAUAUUUAAUAAGUAAAAUUUAGAAUCAAUAAUUAUAAAAUAAUAAAAACAUAUAAUUAUACAUACCCAAAAAUUUGUUAUUGAUUAACACUUGAAGUAUUGGUAGUUGUUGCACUCGAAUAACGAAGAGGAGGCAAUUGCAUUCUGCGAGUCUUCAUCCGUUGAAAACGCUGCAAUAUUUGCUCAUUUUCAAUUGUUGCAAAAAUAUCCUUCUCGAUGUAUACAACCAGACAGUCAUUCAUCCACUCGUCUCCCAUUUUGUUGCGCAAAUCAGUCUUGACAAUAUUCAUUGCAGAAAAUACUCUUUCAACAGAAGCAGUCGCAACUGGUAGAACUAAUGCCAACUGGAUCAGACGAUAAACCAAUGGAAAAACUGUAUUUUUACCAGUUUUAACCAUUUGUUGAGCAAGACUUCCCAAAUCUCCAACUUCUGAAAAUUGAGGAUCGCGUUGCACAUUAUAAAUAUAAUUUCGAAGUUGAGACUCAAGAUAUAAAUAAUCGUUACUUGAGAAGUCUUCAGGAUAUAAAUCAGCAAGACGGAGUAGUUUCUGCACAUUGAAUUGAGAGAAAGAACUUUUUGGAUCAAGACAUGCUAUGCAACUAAGCAAUUCCGUGCUAACUUCCGAGAAACGAUUAUUCAUCUCUUGUAUAAUUAAAUCAACAACCUGACAUCACAACAAUAAUAAAAUUAAUAACUAAGAAAAUCUGCUAACAAGUAACAAAUGUAAUGAAAUAAUAAUUUCAAAAAUAAUACCUCACAAAAAAUUUCCACGCGAUAAUGAUGAAAAUUAGUGAUGGUUUGACCUCUGCGACUGCGCCUGGCAUUGCCACGGAUUGCUAUACUGUCUUCCAUAUCAAUCACGGGAAUCAUAUUCAACUCACAAAAAUUGUUGACUUCAUCUAAAAUUAUUUGCCAUCCCUCUUCCCUAAAGUCUUGCAAUUGAGAUUUCAUAGUAUCAAUCAAACUCAUGGCUUGGACAAUAUUUUGAUCCCUUUGUUGCAAAACAAGUGACAAGUCAUUUGUGAUUCCCAAUAAAUACUUCAUCAGGUGCAAUGCAAAAACAAACUCAUAAUCAUUCAUUCUAUCAAUCAAACCCCUGGCCAUACCUCUAUUGUCAGAAGUGGGCAUCAUCUUGUAUAUUUCCCAAUAUUCCAAUCACCGAAGCCCACAUAGAGGAUAGACGAAGUAAUGUUAGAUAGUGUGAUCCCCAACGAGUAUCCCCUGGUCUUGCUAAACUAGUUUCUUGAUUUUUGCCUUUUCCACUAAUAAUAUCUCCACUGUCUAAAAGUGUAACAAUCUUAUCAUGUUCUAUUUGUCUUAAUUGAUCUCUCCUUUUACAUACUCCAGUUAAAUUGACAAUCAUAGAGACAUAGACAAAGAAUUCACUGACAAUGAUAUUUCCCUUAGCAACAGCAACAAUAACUAACUGGAGUUGGUGAGCAAAACAGUGAAUAUACAUCGCAUAGGGAUUUUCUUGUAAUAUAAGGGCCUUCAAACCAUUGAACUCACCUCGCAUAUUUGAAGCUCCAUCAUAUCCUUGACCUCUCAAUUUGGAUAAUGAUAAUCCGUGUUGCGCGAAUAAAGAAUCAAUUGCAUCUUUCAAACAAAGAGAUGUGGUGUCAGACACAUGUACAAUUGCAAGGAAACGUUCAAUCACACGCCCUUCUUUGUUCACAUAUCUCAAAACAACUCCCAUUUGCUCUUUCACUGAACUGUCUCGAGACUCAUCAACUAUUAGGGAAAAAUAAUUGUCUCCAAUAUCAUUGAUUAUAACACUUGUGAUCUCUGAGGCACAAGCAUGUGCCAGAUCUUUUUGAAUCAUUGGAGAAGUUAGUUGAUUAUUUGCAGGAGCAUUUUGAUUUACAACCUCAAAAAUCUCAGUAUUUCGCUGGCUAUACCACUCAAACAAUUCAAGAAAAUUGCCUCUAUUUGAAGAACUAGUUGACUCAUCAUUUCCACGAAAAGCCAAUCCUUGCUUCAAAAGAAAGCGGGUCACAUCCAGAGCAGCAGUUAAACGGGUGCGAUAUGCAAUAUCUAUUUCGCGCCCACAAGAUCGUAGCACAUUUGACACACUAUGCCUUUGAUCUUGAAAACUUUCAAACUGUAUUCUAGCAUCAUUAUGGCAACUAUUCACAGCUCCAAUAUGUUCAUUAAAUCUUUCCAUUGCCUUUUUCCAAUUAUUGAAUCCCGUUUUUGUAAAGGCAUCCUCUGCAUAUCGACCUCCCUUAUUUUGUGUUUUGAAAAGAAAGCACCAAAAGCAAAACGCCGCAUCUUUCGAUAUGCUAUACUCUAACCAUACAAACUUUUGAUACCAACUAUCUUGGAAACUUCUAUGUUGUUUACCAAAUGAUGUUUUUGGAUACAUAUGGCCAAUCGGUUGGCAAGGUCCCCUAGUCAAAUACUCUCUUCGGACAUGGUCUCGAAGAGAAAUAUCAAAUUUCUCAACUGAUUUUCGUAAUCCCGGAUCACUAACAAUAUCAUUUAAAUUCAAUUCCACACAAGAUUGAUUUUGAACUGGUUCACUAAUAUUAGGCUCAUUUGAAGAUUCACCACUACGGACUCGUUUAGGUUUAAAGAAUCUCUCCAUUUUCUGUCACAAUUAAAUAAUUGUGGUUAAAUUCAAUAAAAUUAUGCAAUUCAAUAAUCAAUUAAUUUAAAAUUCAUAUAAAUAAUUCUUUAAUUUAAUAAUAAAUUCAUAUUACUUAUAUUUCUCAAUUUAUAAAAUUCAUUAUAUAAAAUUAUCAAAAAGUUAAAAUAAGGUACAACUAAAUACCCAUAUAAUUUCUAAUUCAAUCUCAUAAAAUUUUGAAUUUAUAUUUACAUUCAAAAUUUCUAAUUCACAUAAUUAAUUCUUAAAAUUUCAAAUAUAAAACUAACAAAAUUUUAAAAACUAAAUACAACCUAAAAUCUAUACAAUUUCUAAACUAAUUUCUAAUUUAAAUUUAAUAUCAUUAAAUUUUUUAAUGUAAUCUUUCAAAUUCUUAAAUUACAUUAACAUAAACUAAAUAAAAAUUAAUCUUAAUCAAAUUAAUAUCAAGAUACUCAAAAUUCAAAAAUAAUUUAAACAUAUAAUUAACAAAAAUAUAAAGAUGAAUAUUGUAAUUUAAACCAAAAAACUAACCUAAAAGAUUUAUGUGAAUGGAAUGGUGGAGAGUUGGAGUCUUGGAGCCUUGAAUUGAAGGCUUGAAGCAGGAUGGUAGAAUCUCAACUGAAGCUUCUUGGAGUUCUUGGAGCCUGGCGUGAGUCUUCUUGGAGUUGGAGACUUGGAGUCUUGUUGCUUCGGUGUUUGGCCUUUGGCCUUUGGCAUUGGCGCGUGCUUUUGCAUCAGAUGAAGCCUUAGGGCUUCAUCUGAUGUAUUUUUUUUUUCCCUCAUUAUACAAAACGACGUCGUUCCACUAAAAGUGAAACGACGUCGUUUUGUAUUUAGAGGGCAAAAAAAAAAUUCAACAUAAAUUGGGUCAUCUUCUUCCUCGGACCUCAGCAGUCACAGCAGUCAGCACAGGCUGGCAGCGGCUUUCCAGGCCCAGCUCUUCUUCACUUCCUCUGCAGCAUUCAUGGAGGCAUGGAGCCAUGGAGGAUGGUAGAUCUGGAUCACCGUGGGGGACUGGGCUGGGCUGGGCUGGCCGCCGGAAUCCCUAUAUGGCUAUAUAUAGGGGAUUUUCCGGCGGCUUGGGGGGGGCUUAAGCCCCCACCAGCCCCCCUUAAAUCCGUGCCUGGCGGUGGUGUUGGUGGCCAUUGUGAAUUGCUUGGGUGAAGCUUUUGGUUUUUUGGCAAUUAUUGUGACUUUGACAAAUUUUUCUUUAUGAAACCUUAACACCCGUAAUUUUGUGAUUUGCAGGCAAAACAUAGCAUCACCUUGUGUCUGUCUGUGUGUUUUUUUUUUUUUUUGGUCUUCAAGAUUUUAAGUUUGACUCCAUGUGUUAUUGGACAAUUCGAUGUCAAAUUAAUUUAAAUUUUAACUUCUCCAAAGUGAGAUGAUUUUUUUGAUAGUCAUUUGGUAUAUAAAUUUUUUGAACUAGUUGAAGUGGCUUGCCACUUUAGUGGUGAUGGUGGUUGAAAGUGGUUAAGGUUUAGUAUUGGAACUUAGGAAGAAGAAGGGAAAAUAAAAAAAAAAUUGAAAACCCAUUCCUUUUGAUUACAAUACCAAACAAUCAAUAAGUUUUUGGCAAUACUCAUUGCCAUCGAAGAAUUUUUAUAGCCAUUGCUACUGCUAUUCCGUAGGGUAUGCCAAACGGGUGGUUGGAUAUGGCAACCAACACGCCUGAGGAUGGAGAAAUAAGGCAGGGGUGGGAGUGGGGGAUUUUUUAACCCCACCUCAAGUGGGGCAAGGGAUGGGGGAACAUAUCACGCUCCAUCCCCCGCCUAAAUUUUGACGUAGUAUAACAUCUAUGUAUGUUUAUAUAUAUAUAUAUAGAGAGAGAGAGAGAGAGAGAAAACUAGAAGGAAUUAGGCUGUGCAAGCACAGCUUAGCCCUACCUAUAAAAUUCUGGUUAAAUGCAUCACAUUAUAAUUGCUUUCAAAUAAAGAGCAAUUACAAUUGCUAAAAAAUAAGGUUUAUUUUUAGUAGAAUGUUCCAAAAGUUUGCUCCAACUUGCUUAUUGUAAUGUAGUAGAGAUAUAUUGUUGUAUUGUAUGGACAAAUAGCGAUAAAGAAUUUAAAAACCAAACACAUGAAAAAUGCAAAACCAGUUCAAAAUGACAGGAUGGUUUUUUUCGGCUCAAAUGUUCUGAUGGAAAAAUUGGUCGUUAUUGCAUUGAAGCGUAGGAUUGGGAUUUCGCCAUUUGUCUUUAAGAAAUGUUGUGGAAUUUAAAGUCCCCAAUUCAGAUGAAGGGUCUGUUUGGUUGGAAGUAAAAUGUUUUCCUUGGGAAAAUAUUUUCCGUGGAAGUAAUUUUCCAUGAAAAUCAUUUCCCUUUCAUCAUUUUCAGGUGUUGGAAAAUCAUUAACUCUCUAAGCGUGGACUUGUUAAGUUGGAAAAGUCAAGUCAUUGGGCAGAUUUAAUGCAUCAAGUCAUUAGGCCAAUGGCCACUUGCCAUUUGUCGGUCAGUGGUCAUCACCAUAUUUGGUGAUGCUGGAGGUCAGGGGUUCAACCCCUGCCUCCCACAAAUUUGCCACAAUAUGUGGCUGUAGGGAUGGCAACGGGGCAGGGUUGGGGCGGGGGACCCCUCCCCCGUCCCCCGCCCCGUUGCCUAUUAGUUCCCCCCAUCCCCCGCCCCGUCCCCGCCUCCCGCCCCCCGCCCCGCCUUGCCCCGCUUCCCCGCGGGGGCACCCGCGGGUUAAUAAAAUUUUAUUAUAUAAUUUAUUAUAAUUAAAUUUUAAUAAAUAAUCAAGUACUAAAAUAUUAACACAUCACAAAAUUAUUAUUCAUUGUAAUUUUACAAUUGAAACUCAUAAAAACAAUCAAACAGAAGUUAUUUGAAUACAAUCCAAUAUGAUGAAAUAAAUAUAACUAAAAUAGUCAAAUUUUCACUUUUAGUACAAAUGCAAUCACUAAUUCAUCAUUGUGUUUGUGCUUUUUUUGAGAAAAAAAUGUUAUUCUAUUAAGUGUAAUUAGAAAUUUAGUAUAAAUGUAUUAGUAAAUUUAGUAUAACUAAUUAAUAAAUUCUAUUAGUAGACAUGUAUAAUUAUUAAUAUAAUUGAUAAUAUCAAUUAUAUUACAUAAACUAAUAUACAUUAUAUAAUACAUCUAACUAAUAAUAUCAUUAUCAUAAGUUUACAACUAAUUAACUUACAUAUAAUAUAUAGUCAUUUAUAUAUAUAUAUAUAUAUUUUUUUGCGGGUGGCGGGGCGGGGGAUGGGGGGGGGAGUAUACCCCCGCCCCCCGCCCCGUUUCUAAGCGGGGGGAAAAAAUUCCCCCCGCCCCCGCCCCACCCCCCGCCCAACCCCCGCCCGUGAGCCCCGCGGGCACCCGNNNNNNNNNNNNNNNNNNNNNNNNNNNNNNNNNNNNNNNNNNNNNNNNNNNNNNNNNNNNNNNNNNNNNNNNNNNNNNNNNNNNNNNNNNNNNNNNNNNNNNNNNNNNNNNNNNNNNNNNNNNNNNNNNNNNNNNNNNNNNNNNNNNNNNNNNNNNNNNNNNNNNNNNNNNNNNNNNNNNNNNNNNNNNNNNNNNNNNNNNNNNNNNNNNNNNNNNNNNNNNNNNNNNNNNNNNNNNNNNNNNNNNNNNNNNNNNNNNNNNNNNNNNNNNNNNNNNNNNNNNNNNNNNNNNNNNNNNNNNNNNNNNNNNNNNNNNNNNNNNNNNNNNNNNNNNNNNNNNNNNNNNNNNNNNNNNNNNNNNNNNNNNNNNNNNNNNNNNNNNNNNNNNNNNNNNNNNNNNNNNNNNNNNNNNNNNNNNNNNNNNNNNNNNNNNNNNNNNNNNNNNNNNNNNNNNNNNNNNNNNNNNNNNNNNNNNNNNNNNNNNNNNNNNNNNNNNNNNNNNNNNNNNNNNNNNNNNNNNNNNNNNNNNNNNNNNNNNNNNNNNNNNNNNNNNNNNNNNNNNNNNNNNNNNNNNNNNNNNNNNNNNNNNNNNNNNNNNNNNNNNNNNNNNNNNNNNNNNNNNNNNNNNNNNNNNNNNNNNNNNNNNNNNNNNNNNNNNNNNNNNNNNNNNNNNNNNNNNNNNNNNNNNNNNNNNNNNNNNNNNNNNNNNNNNNNNNNNNNNNNNNNNNNNNNNNNNNNNNNNNNNNNNNNNNNNNNNNNNNNNNNNNNNNNNNNNNNNNNNNNNNNNNNNNNNNNNNNNNNNNNNNNNNNNNNNNNNNNNNNNNNNNNNNNNNNNNNNNNNNNNNNNNNNNNNNNNNNNNNNNNNNNNNNNNNNNNNNNNNNNNNNNNNNNNNNNNNNNNNNNNNNNNNNNNNNNNNNNNNNNNNNNNNNNNNNNNNNNNNNNNNNNNNNNNNNNNNNNNNNNNNNNNNNNNNNNNNNNNNNNNNNNNNNNNNNNNNNNNNUUGCGAGCUGUUUGUUUGGGCCUAAAAUGCCCUCCACAUGCAAACGAAUGACAAAAAUUUAAAAUGGAGUGGAAUUCACCUGCACUCACACACCUUCUUAGUACCUGGUCCGAACAUUGCCUCCAUAGGUAGGGGUCGUCCCAAAUGUAGUAUUUGGCAUCACUUUUCAUCUUGUCUCUCCUAGUCUUGGGCCAACUUACAGGCAAUUGAUUAGUUACUAAGAAAUUUACUAUAUCAGCAUACCAGGGUGCGGACGAAUCAACGGCAAAUAGUUGCUCCUCUGGAAAUGUCUCUCUCAAUGGUUGCUCUUCCUUGUGUGCAAGCAAGCGGAUCAAGUGAUCAACCACCAAGUUUCCGCCCCACUUUUAUCUUUGAUCUCCAAGUUGAACUCUUGAAAGAGCAGGAUCCAUCUAAUGAGCUUGGGUUUCGCGUCCUCUUUGUCAUCAAAUACUUUAGGCGGCAUGAUCAGCGAAAACUGUUAUUUUUGCACCUAACAAUAAGGUCUAAAUUUUUCUAAUGCAAAAACACAGCUAGUAUUCUUUUCUCAUUGUAGAAUAAUUGAGCUGAGCUACAUCAACGCCUUCGAUGCAUAGUAGAUUGCAUGUGCCGCCUGUCAAUUCUUUGCCCCAACACCGCACUUGCGUCACACAUUAUUUCAAAUGGGAGGCUCCAGUCCGGCGGUUGAUGACUGGCGGUGAGAUUAACGAUCCCUUCAAUUUGUCAAAUGCCAUCCUGCACUCCUCGGUAAAGUCAAAUGCUACAUCCUUUUGCAACAGUUUGAACAUGGGCGCUCCAUUUUGAAAGAAAUCUUUGAUAAAUCUCCUGUAGAACCCUGCAUGACCCAAAAAGAACGCACUUCCCGUACACUUACGGGUAAGAUAAAGCAGAAAUAAUAUCGACCUUUGCUUUAUCUAUUUCUAUGCCCUAGCCGACACUACAUGUCCUAAAACAAUAUCAUGUUCCACCAUAAAAUGGCAUUGCUCCCAAUUAAUGACCAAAUUCGCUUCUAUAGAUCUUUUCAAAAUUAAAACUAAAUUAUCAAGACAUUCAUCAAAACUAUCCUAUACACACUAAAAUCAUCCAUGAACACCUCAAUAAUCUUUUCUACAUAUUCGAAAAAGAUACUCACCAUGCACCUUUGAAAAGUCGCUGGAGCAUUGCAGAGGCCAAAAGACAUCCUCCGGCAGGCAAACGUACCAAAGGACAGUGAAUGUAGUUUUCUCCUGAUCCUCCGGUGCUAUCGCAAUCUGGAAAUAACCUGAAAAUCAUCAAGAAAAUAGUAAUAGACAUGACCAGCUAACCUCUCUAUCAUCUGAUCAAUGAAAGGGAGAGGGAAGUGGUCCUUUUUCGUCACUGCGUUUAGUCGCGGUAGUCGAUACACUGGCCCAUCCUGUGGGUUUCCUUACCAGACCAUCUCACCUUCCUGGUUCUCUUCUACCGUUACUCCCGUCUUUUUCGGGACUACUUGGACCGGACUCACCCAUGGACUGUCUGAGAUGGCGAAGAUGAUUCUCACUUCCAGGAGUUUUAGUAUCUCCUUUUUUACUACCUCCAUCAUUAGUGGGUUCAAUUUUCGCUGCGCCUGUCUUACCGGCUUUGCAUCAUCCUCAAGCCGUAUCCGGUGCAUGCAUAAGGACGGGCUAAUUCCCUUAAUGUCUGCGAUGCUCCACCCAAUCGCCUCCUUAUGAUCUCGAAGAAGACGAAUCAGGUUGUCUUCUUGCCUUGGUGACAAGGUGCAGAUAUGGUGACCGGCAGUGUCUCUUUGUCCCAGAGAAAAGCAUACUUCAUAUGCUUUGGGAGAGGCUUGAGCUCCGACUCAGGUGCCUGCACAACAGAAGGCAACAAUUUCGCCUGAGUUUCUGGUACAAAGAGAGAAGUAAGCUCAUACCUUGGAGAAAUUGGUGGGAGCGAAUGCAGUGCUUCAACUGCACGGUAUAAGUCAUCACUUAAUUCUACAUCUGGAGUUGCUCCCAACUCAAGAUGUUUGGCUAAUGCCACUGCCAGUGCAUCGUCCCCAUCCAAUUCGAAAGUUUCCUGCACAAGAGGCUCAAUAACACUUAAAGCAAAAACAGAGUUAGCCUCAUCCGGGUAUUUCAUCGCAUCAAAGAUAUUAAAAUUUACAAUUUUACCAUCAACUCCAUCGACAAGGUACCCUCAUUUACAUCUAUUUUUGUCCUAAUAGUGCUUAAAAAUGACCUACCUAACAAAAUAGGUGACGGAUUUAGUGCCCUUUCAUCCCUAUGUGUAGGACAUUGAAAUCUGCAGGAAAGACUAACUCAUUGACCUGUACCAAAAUCUUCAACUAACCCUUAGGGAUAAGCAUUGGUAAGGUCUGCAAGUUGGAUUAUAAUGCCUGUGCCUUUUAAUGGGCCAAAUUAAGGGACGCAUAGAUAGUCUUAGGCAUUACAUUAAUUGACGCCCCCAAAUCCAACAUCGCUUUCCUAAUUGGGGUAUCCCUAUUUUACAUGGAAUUGUGAACAUACUUGGAUCUCUACACUUGGGAGAGAGUUUUCUUUGGAGUAUUGCCGACACAUUUUCUCCCACCGCCACUCGUUCAUCUCCUCUUAGCUUCCUCUUGUGAGUGCACAAGUCUUUCAAAAAUUUGGCAUACUUUGGUAUCUGCUUGAUUGCAUCCAACAAGGGGAUGUUGAUAUCCACUUUCCGGAACACAUCCAAAAGCUCUUUUUCCUUCUUUACUUCUUUGUCUUCUGUAACCUGCAAGGAAAAUGAGAUAAGUUAGAUUUGAUGGGAGGUGAAGGAUUGAAUGUUACCUUAGGGUCUUCGCAGAUGCGCCCUUCCUCUUCGAUCUCCUUUUCUAUCUCCUCCUCACUUUUUCUUUUUGAAUUUUUCACUUUAGGCCCUUCCAGUUCCUUGCCACUCCUCAGUGUCAUGGCACUUAUAUUCUUGGGAUUUACCUCGGGUUGCAAUGGUAAUUUCCCAUAAACGUGGGACUCCAGGCGAUUGAUGGCAGUUGCCAUUUGGCUCAUUUGAGCCUUCAUAUCUUUCAUGCCUGCUCUGGUGUCCUGCGGGAACUGAGUAGUGCUCAUGGUUAAGGCUCUAGUUUCUUGCUGGAGUUGAGCCAUAUUUGUAGUCAAUGAUCUGGUCUCCUGCUGGAGUUGUUUAGUCUCUUGCUGGAUCUGAGUAGUAGUCGUGGCCAGACUCUUGACAAAAUUCUCCAAAGAACUUCCUGAGUUGGAAGAUGAAGGUUGAGGCUUAGGUUGCCAUGGUUGCUGGAACCCUGGUGACGAUUUGGGAGUGAAUUCUGCGGCCUGUUCCCAUAACUGAAAUUGGAAUGGUCUCUCCAACUGGGGUUGUACGUGUUAGAGUACGGGUCAUACUGCCUACGGGACGCGGGCACGCCUCCGGUCAUGUUCACUUGUUCCGCCCCAUCCUCUUGCAAAAGGGGACAUGUGUCCGUAUAGUGGUCCAUACUUGUACAGAUUCCACAGACCUUCGCUCGCUACACGUUCCCCAUGGCUAAUUGCCUAACAAGCGACGUCAACUCUGACAGCUGCUGCUGAAGAGAUGACGUCUCUACCUCGUUGACCCUACGGGUGGGGUUGUUCUCGCGGAAGCCAAAUUGCUGGGAGUUCUCUGCCAUGGCUUCGAUAAGCUCCCACGCUUCCUUCGGUGUCUUGUUUGCCAGUGCUCCUCCACUCGCAGCGUCAAUGAUACUCUAUCAGUUGAUUGGAGCCCUUUAUAGAAGUACUGGAUCAACAGUUAUUCAAUAAUUUGAUGCUGCGGGCAUCUAGUGCACAACAUGUUAAACCUCUCUCAGUAUUCAUACAAGGACUCCCGGGAUACUGUUUAAUGCUGCAUAUCUCCUUCUUCAAACUCGCAGCCCGGGAUGCAGGGAACAAUUUUUUCAAAAAUUUCUUUUUCAACUGUACUUCAUGUGGUAAUACUACCUGCUGGUAGGUAGUAUAGCCAAUCUUUAGCUGCAUCAUUGAGAGAGAAAGGGAAAGCUCUCAGUCUAAUUUGCUCUUCAGUGACCCUAGGAGGUUUCAUGCUAGAGCAAAUCAUCUCGAAUUCCUUGACGUGUUUGUGGGAUUUUUCACCAGAGAGACCAUGCAAAGAGGGUAAGAGGUGAAUCAACCCCGACUUCAGCUCGAAGGUGGUAUUCUCUGCCAAAGUGGGGAAUGUGAUGCACAAGGGCUUGUGAGUCAACUCCGGAGCAGCCAGCUCCCUUAAUGUUUAGGUGUUGGUCAUCCUAAAUUCAUCUUCUACUGACUCGUUUGUAGUAGAUAAGUGCCCUUCUUUCUGUCUCUUGAUCUCUUGCCUUCGCCUACGCGCUGCCUUCUCAACCUCAGGGUCGUAUAUCAAUUCACCUGUGCGAGAAGAACGGGGCAUAAACUAGCAAAAAUACAAGAAAAAAAAUUGAACCAAAAAGAAAUAAAUAUUUCAAAUGCCAGUCCCCGACAACGGCACCAAAAAUUGACAGGUGCGAAUCUGUGCAAUAAUAAUAAAUAAAACCUAACUACCACCUGAAACAGUCAAUAAUCAAUUCUAGUACUGGAGUAGGGACUCUAGGUGUGCAAUAGAUUACUUGAUUCACACUGUUCCCAAAAGUUUGCUUAAUCCGAUAUACCUGAAUUAAUUAUUUAACUGAUUUCACUAACUAGUAGACAGUGGCAGUAGGGUCGUCUCCUUAGGGACUAGCGAGAAAUUUAUUUCUCUUCAAGUCAAAACAAAUAGGGGGUUUUAGAAUAAAAUGCUAACUAAAUAAUUUAACUGCUAAAAAAUAAUUGAUUAAAGGAAAUAAUUAGGAGAGUUCUAGCCAAGGGUACACUUCAGAAAUGGUUCAUGCACUGAUCAUCGAUUCACAGAUAAUUCUGACAUUUAUUAAUAGAUUAGUUAUAACUGUCAUGCACGCGAUAAACAACCAACCCUUCCUUAAUUUAUCGAUUGCUAAGGUACGACCGUUAACUAUUUUUCUAACCAAAAAACAACCCUAGGUACGACCGUAGGAUUUAAUUUCUAGCUUGCAUUAACACUUAGAAAGGCCCAAUCCUAACUAACAAACACGCUACGAGAGUUUGUUUAAAUUAGAUCAUAUGUUCCCCUGACAUAAACCCGAUUACGCCAGUUGCUACUAAGAUAGAGAUAACGAAUAAUUACGGAUUCAAUUACCCUAUUUAACGAAUAGCCUAUAUGAAUAAUUAAUUAUUGCGCACUAACCAAUCAUACACAAGGCUAUAACAAUUAAAAUCAAGGAACAUAUAAAUAUCAAUAAAUGAAGAAAAUAAUUAAAAAUGGUUUAGAUCUCACAGUAAUCGUUGAACCAAUUCGUCAGUUGCCCCCUUGACUAGAAUUAUGGAAUUAGUCCUCCAUCAAUGGAGGACAAAUCGCGUGUGUUGAUUUGGGAAAGAUUCGCGCACUGUCUCCUCCAACUUCGGUCAACAACAGGAGGAAAAAAGACAAAGGAUUUUAUUACGUCCAAUUAUCUCCAAAAAUCCAACGUAAAGAGAGUCUGAUGCCCUCUUUCACUUUCGGUCAAAGCCAAUUGAAAAGCAAAGCCCAAGGGUCAAUAAUGGCGGCUCAAUUGUUUUCUUCUCCUAAUUGCUCACAAACGUACGAGAAAGGCUUUGCUUCUUUUGUUCUUUCAAUUUCAAUCAACCCACAAUAGAAUUGGGAUUGCCAAAGUCAACCAAAGAUGGAAAUAAAAAACAACACAAAGUCAAUAACGGAGGUUGCGAGCUGUUCGCUUGGGCCUAAAAUGCCCUCCACAUGUAAACGAAUGACAAAAAUUUAAAAUGGAGUGGAAUUCACCUGCACUCACACACCUUCUUAGUACCUGGUCCGAACAUUGCCUCCAUAGGUAGGGGUCGUCCCAAAUGUAGUAUUUGGCAUCACUUUUCAUCUUGUCUCUCCUAGUCUUGGGUCAACUUGCAGGCAAUUGAUUAGUCACUAAGAAAUUUACUAUAUCAGCAUACCAGGGUACGGACGAAUCAACGGCAAAUAGUUGCUCUUCUGGAAAUGUCUCUCUCAAUGGUUGCUCUUCCUUGUGUGCAAGCAAGCGGAUCAAGUGAUCAACCACCAAGUUCUCCGCCCCACUUUUAUCUUUGAUCUCCAAGUUGAACUCUUGAAAGAGCAGGAUCCAUCUAAUGAGCCUUGGUUUCGCGUCCUUCUUUGUCAUCAAAUACUUUAAGGCGGCAUGAUCAGCGAAAACUGUUAUUUUUGCACCUAACAAAUAAGGUCUAAAUUUUUCUAAUGCAAAAAACACAGCUAGUAAUUCUUUCUCCAUUGUAGAAUAAUUGAGCUGAGCUACAUUCAACGCCUUCGAUGCAUAGUAGAUUGCAUGUGCCGCCCUGUCAAUUCUUUGCCCCAACACCGCACUUGCGUCACACAUUAUUUCAAAUGGGAGGCUCCAGUCCGGCGGUUAGAUGACUGGCGGUGAGAUUAACGAUCCCUUCAAUUUGUCAAAUGCCAUCCUGCACUCCUCGGUAAAGUCAAAUGCUACAUCCUUUUGCAACAGUUUGAACAGGGGCGCUCCAAUUUUAAAGAAAUCUUUGAUAAAUCUCCUGUAGAACCCUGCAUGACCCAAAAAGGAACGCACUUCCCGUACACUUACGGGGUAAGAUAAAGCAGAAAUAAUAUCGACCUUUGCUUUAUCUAUUUCUAUGCCCCUAGCCGACACUACAUGUCCUAAAACAAUAUCAUGUUCCACCAUAAAAUGGCAUUGCUCCCAAUUAAUGACCAAAUUCGCUUCUAUAGAUCUUUUCAAAAUUAAAACUAAAUUAUCAAGACAUUCAUCAAAACUAUCCUAUACACACUAAAAUCAUCCAUGAACACCUCAAUAAUCUUUUCUACAUAUUCGAAAAAGAUACUCACCAUGCACCUUUGAAAAGUCGCUGGAGCAUUGCAGAGGCCAAAAGACAUCCUCCGGCAGGCAAACGUACCAAAGAGACAGGUGAAUGUAGUUUUCUCCUGAUCCUCCGGUGCUAUCGCAAUCUGGAAAUAACCUGAAAAAUCAUCAAGAAAAUAGUAAUAGACAUGACCAGCUAACCUCUCUAUCAUCUGAUCAAUGAAAGGGAGAGGGAAGUGGUCCUUUUUCGUCACUGCGUUUAGUCGCCGGUAGUCGAUACACUGGCGCCAUCCUGUGGGUUUCCUUACCAGGACCAUCUCGCCUUCCUGGUUCUCUUCUACCGUUACUCCCGUCUUUUUCGGGACUACUUGGACCGGACUCACCCAUGGACUGUCUGAGAUGGCGAAGAUGAUUCUCACUUCCAGGAGUUUUAGUAUCUCCUUUUUUACUACCUCCAUCAUUAGUGGGUUCAAUUUUCGCUGCGCCUGUCUUACCGGCUUUGCAUCAUCCUCAAGCCGUAUCCGGUGCAUGCAUAAGGACGGGCUAAUUCCCUUAAUGUCUGCGAUGCUCCACCCAAUCGCCUCCUUAUGAUCUCGAAGAAGACGAAUCAGGUUGUCUUCUUGCCUUGGUGACAAGUGUGCAGAUAUGGUGACCGGCAGUGUCUCUUUGUCCCAGAGAAAAGCAUACUUCAUAUGCUUUGGGAGAGGCUUGAGCUCCGACUCAGGUGCCUGCACAACAGAAGGCAACAAUUUCGCCUGAGUUUCUGGUACAAAGAGAGAAGUAAGCUCAUACCUUGGAGAAAUUGGUGGGAGCGAAUGCAGUGCUUCAACUGCACGGUAUAAGUCAUCACUUAAUUCUACAUCUGGAGUUGCUCCCAACUCAAGAUGUUUGGCUAAUGCCACUGCCAGUGCAUCGUCCCCAUCCAAUUCGAAAGUUUCCUGCACAAGAGGCUCAAUAACACUUAAAGCAAAAACAGAGUUAGCCUCAUCCGGGUAUUUCAUCGCAUCAAAGAUAUUAAAAUUUACAAUUUUACCAUCAAACUCCAUCGACAAGGUACCCUCAUUUACAUCUAUUUUUGUCCUAAUAGUGCUUAAAAAUGACCUACCUAACAAAAUAGGUGACGGAUUUAGUGCCCUUUCAUCCCCUAUGUGUAGGACAUUGAAAUCUGCAGGAAAGACUAACUCAUUGACCUGUACCAAAACAUCUUCAACUAACCCUUAGGGAUAAGCAUUGGUAAGGUCUGCAAGUUGGAUUAUAAUGCCUGUGCCUUUUAAUGGGCCAAAAUUAAGGGACGCAUAGAUAGUCUUAGGCAUUACAUUAAUUGACGCCCCCAAAUCCAACAUCGCUUUCCUAAUUGGGGUAUCUCCUAUUUUACAUGGAAUUGUGAACAUACUUGGAUCUCUACACUUGGGAGAGAGUUUUCUUUGGAGUAUUGCCGACACAUUUUCUCCCACCGCCACUCGUUCAUCUCCUCUUAGCUUCCUCUUGUGAGUGCACAAGUCUUUCAAAAAUUUGGCAUACUUUGGUAUCUGCUUGAUUGCAUCCAACAAGGGGAUGUUGAUAUCCACUUUCCGGAACACAUCCAAAAGCUCUUUUUCCUUCUUUACCUUCUUUGUCUUCUGUAACCUGCAAGGAAAAUGAGAUAAGUUAGAUUUGAUGGGAGGUGAAGGAUUGAAUGUUACCUUAGGGUCUUCGCAGAUGCGCCCUUCCUCUUCGAUCUCCUUUUCUAUCUCCUCCUCACUUUUUCUUUUUGAAUUUUUCACUUUAGGCCCUUCCAGUUCCUUGCCACUCCUCAGUGUCAUGGCACUUAUAUUCUUGGGAUUUACCUCGGGUUGCAAUGGUAAUUUCCCAUAAACGUGGGACUCCAGGCGAUUGAUGGCAGUUGCCAUUUGGCUCAUUUGAGCCUUCAUAUCUUUCAUGCCUGCUCUGGUGUCCUGCGGGAACUGAGUAGUGCUCAUGGUUAAGGCUCUAGUUUCUUGCUGGAGUUGAGCCAUAUUUGUAGUCAAUGAUCUGGUCUCCUGCUGGAGUUGUUUAGUCUCUUGCUGGAUCUGAGUAGUAGUCGUGGCCAGACUCUUGACAAAAUUCUCCAAAGAACUUCCUGAGUUGGAAGAUGAAGGUUGAGGCUUAGGUUGCCAUGGUUGCUGGAACCCUGGUGAACGAUUUGGGAGUGAAUUCUGCGGCCUGUUCCCAUAACUGAAAUUGGAAUGGUCUCUCCAACUGGGGUUGUACGUGUUAGAGUACGGGUCAUACUGCCUACGGGACGCGGGCACGCCUCCGGUCAUGUUCACUUGUUCCGCCCCAUCCUCUUGCAAAAGGGGACAUGUGUCCGUAUAGUGGUCCAUACUUGUACAGAUUCCACAGACCUUCGCUCGCUACACGUUCCCCAUGGCUAAUUGCCUAACAAGCGACGUCAACUCUGACAGCUGCUGCUGAAGAGAUGACGUCUCUACCUCGUUGACCCUACGGGUGGGGUUGUUCUCGCGGAAGCCAAAUUGCUGGGAGUUCUCUGCCAUGGCUUCGAUAAGCUCCCACGCUUCCUUCGGUGUCUUGUUUGCCAGUGCUCCUCCACUCGCAGCGUCAAUGAUACUCCUAUCAGUUGAUUGGAGCCCUUUAUAGAAGUACUGGAUCAACAGUUAUUCAAUAAUUUGAUGCUGCGGGCAUCUAGUGCACAACAUGUUAAACCUCUCUCAGUAUUCAUACAAGGACUCCCCGGGAUACUGUUUAAUGCUGCAUAUCUCCUUCUUCAAACUCGCAGCCCGGGAUGCAGGGAACAAUUUUUUCAAAAAUUUCUUUUUCAACUGUACUUCAUGUGGUAAUACUACCUGCUGGUAGGUAGUAUAGCCAAUCUUUAGCUGCAUCAUUGAGAGAGAAAGGGAAAGCUCUCAGUCUAAUUUGCUCUUCAGUGACCCUAGGAGGUUUCAUGCUAGAGCAAAUCAUCUCGAAUUCCUUGACGUGUUUGUGGGAUUUUUCACCAGAGAGACCAUGCAAAGAGGGUAAGAGGUGAAUCAACCCCGACUUCAGCUCGAAGGUGGUAUUCUCUGCCAAAGUGGGGAAUGUGAUGCACAAGGGCUUGUGAGUCAACUCCGGAGCAGCCAGCUCCCUUAAUGUUUAGGUGUUGGUCAUCCUAAAUUCAUCUUCUACUGACUCGUUUGUAGUAGAUAAGUGCCCUUCUUUCUGUCUCUUGAUCUCUUGCCUUCGCCUACGCGCUGCCUUCUCAACCUCAGGGUCGUAUAUCAAUUCACCUGUGCGAGAAGAACGGGGCAUAAACUAGCAAAAAUACCAAGAAAAAAAAUUGAACCAAAAAAGAAAUAAAUAUUUCAAAUGCCAGUCCCCGACAACGGCACCAAAAAUUGACAGGUGCCGAAUCUGUGCAAUAAUAAUAAAUAAAACCUAACUACCACCUGAAACAGUCAAUAAUCAAUUCUAGUACUGGAGUAGGGACUCUAGGUGUGCAAUAGAUUACUUGAUUCACACUGUUCCCAAAAAGUUUGCUUAAUCCGAUAUACCUGAAUUAAUUAUUUAACUGAUUUCACUAACUAGUAGACAGUGGCAGGUAGGGUCGUCUCCUUAGGGACUAGCGAGAAAUUUAUUUCUCUUCAAGUCAAAACAAAUAGGGGGUUUUAGAAUAAAAUGCUAACUAAAUAAUUUAACUGCUAAAAAAUAAUUGAUUAAAGGAAAUAAUUAGGAGAGUUCUAGCCAAGGGUACACUUCAGAAAUGGUUCAUGCACUGAUCAUCGAUUCACAGAUAAUUCUGACAUUUAUUAAUAGAUUAGUUAUAACUGUCAUGCACGCGAUAAACAACCAACCCUUCCUUAAUUUAUCGAUUGCUAAGGUACGACCGUUAACUAUUUUUCUAACCAAAAAACAACCCUAGGUACGACCGUAGGAUUUAAUUUCUAGCUUGCAUUAACACUUAGAAAGGCCCAAUCCUAACUAACAAACACGCUACGAGAGUUUGUUUAAAUUAGAUCAUAUGUUCCCCUGACAUAAACCCGAUUACGCCAGUUGCUACUAAGAUAGAGAUAACGAAUAAUUACGGAUUCAAUUACCCCUAUUUAACGGAAUAGCCUAUAUGAAUAAUUAAUUAUUGCGCACUAACCAAUCAUACACAAGGCUAUAACAAUUAAAAUCAAGGAACAUAUAAAUAUCAAUAAAUGAAGAAAAUAAUUAAAAAUGGUUUAGAUCUCACAGUAAUCGUUGAACCAAUUCGUCAGUUGCCCCCUUGACUAGAAUUAUGGAAUUAGUCCUCCAUCAAUGGAGGACAAAUCGCGUGUGUUGAUUUGGGAAAGAUUCGCGCACUGUCUCCUCCAACUUCGGUCAACAACAGGAGGAAAAAAGACAAAGGAUUUUAUUACGUCCAAUUAUCUCCAAAAAUCCAACGUAAAAGAGAGUCUGAUGCCCUCUUUCACUUUCGGUCAAAGCCAAUUGAAAAGCAAAGCCCCAAGGGUCAAUAAUGGCGGCUCAAUUGUUUUCUUCUCCUAAUUGCUCACAAACGUACGAGAAAGGCUUUGCUUCUUUUGUUCUUUCAAUUUCAAUCAACCCACAAUAGAAUUGGGAUUGCCAAAGUCAACCAAAGAUGGAAAUAAAAAACAACACAAAGUCAAUAACGGAGGCUUUUGUCUCCUGCCUCUCUACAAAGCUCCAGGCCACCCCCACCCCCAAUUCCAAAAGCAACAACCCAAAGAAAACCUAAGCCAAGCGGAAAAUCAACUCUCCCAUCAAAAGCUGACCUCCCGGAGUCUAAUACUCCUCUCACUAGUAUUUGGUCCCACCGAAAUUCAAGGAGGAGAUUUUCCCUUAUCAGAAAUUGGUCUUCCAAAAAUUAAAACAAAACUCCCUAAAAAUAAAAUAAAAUAAAGUCUAUUACAAUUAGUUUCUUCAGUUUCUUAAGUGGACCCCACUGCUUGAAGUGGCCCACGUACGACGAAUCCUCCAAAUUUCGAUUUUAAGCACUUUUCAGCAUCAACUCCUGCAAUUGGCACCAAAACAACAUAUCAGUAGAAUCCACCCAAUUAAUGAGAUAUUUAGUCAAACAAUUGUGCAAUAAUGCCCAAAAUAUCCCACUAAAAUGCACCCUAUCAAUAUGUUUGUUACUGUUGUUGAUGGAUUAUCAUUUUGUCCUCCUAAGCUUCUUGUGGAUUUCAAUUGUUGGCAUUUGCUGGUGUUCUAGUGUUGUAUACUAGUUUGUUUAGAGCAAUGUCCUUUAAUGAUUUUUAUGAAGCUGCACAAUGGACAUGGGAGCUUGGACUGUUUCAUUAAGCUUACAUUCUUGUUUUUGUUGUAAUCAGUGGUUAUUGCUUGUAGUAUGAUCAGAUGAACAAGAUGUUGAUUGGGUCUAUUUAAAGACACUAAGCAAUUUUCUCUUGGUGGAAACUGACCCUUGGAGAGUGCUCUGUUUUUUUCUGUCUGGAACCAUAGUUGUCAAAAGAAGACAUAGUUGUUAGAAUCAAUGUUGCAGACCUAACUGCAUAAUGUUGACAAUAGCGGUGUUGGUGUUGCUGCAAGUUGUGUAUUGAUGUAAAUUCCUAGGAUAAAGGUUUCAGUUAUGAUUAUUUUCUGAUUCAAAAGGUAUGGGUAUUGGUAAUGGUUAUACUGAGGUAUUCUCCUUGGCUUGUUACUUAAGUUGAUCAUCUGCUUACGUCAAAGUCGAAUUAUUCUUUCUUCAAUUUUGUGUCUUAAAUGACUGCAUGUUUUGUGGUAUUCUGCUUGGCUUGUUGCUUAAGUUGGUCCUUAAAGAAGAUGAUAAUUAGUUUUCGUUACCAGAUACCAAAUAUCAAGUUGGUUGAUGACCUGGCUGCACAUUUUGUGGCAAAAAUUAUUUAUGGAUUCUAGUUUAUACAGCAUAAAUAAAGGUUGAUUUUGAGAGAAAAUUGCACAGCUUUCUAAGUUUCGGGUUUUGGAGAAGACGGUGCAGCACUUGAAGAACUUAAGUUUUGUAUACUUGGACCAUGAAAGUUGCCUUCUAAAUUUCUUGGAUUAGUCUUUACAUAUCCAGAAAUAAAGCUUUUUACAGUUGCAUCUUUUUGGUGUCUAGUUAACAAAAUUACUUUCCGAGAUAUAGCAACUGGCAAAAGCAAAAGCUUGACAGGCUAAAUUGCUUGUUAUGUUAUUUUGCAUUUGGGCAUUGACCUUUUUGUUUGAUAUGCUACUUGCAAUUAAGUAAUAUAGAGUCCUUCUUAUGCUUUUGACUUGUACAAGUUGGUUAUAGAUGUGUGCAUCAUUUAACAUUUGACUGACUGAGAGGUCUAAGCUUUGGAUUUGUGGACAUUCUUUCUUGGGUCAUGAUUGUCAGUCAACUCUUCAGUAUUCAGCUUUUAGUAGUUUAGGAAUCAUGCUUAACACCCCUCUUAAGUGCCAUUUCAAUAUAGUGGAAAAUCAUCUACUACCAUAUGUAUUAUAGACUUUAUGGUAAGACUUUGGAAAUAUCUUAUCAUGAUUUGCAGAUUGAAGAUGGUUGUUGGCAUGGUAUUCUAAUCCCUUGUACGUUGGAAUAGGCAAAACCUUUUUGAUUGCUACAUGCCCUCUGUGCGCUCUCUCCCUCCCUCCCAUUUUCUCUCUAUCAUGUAUAUUCAGUGGCUUUGCAUCAAAUAUUUUAGCAGAAAAGGGACACAAGCAGAUUGGGCAGAAACAGUUUGCUUUUGUAUUGUAGUUUUAUCAGUUCGGUCAACUUUGAUUAGUUUUGUACCUUUGUCAUGAGGUACUAACUACAUAGUGCCAACGACUUCUGGUAUCAUGUACCUUUAAUUUGCUACCUUUAGUUGCCAUAGUUCACUUAAUUAACGAUUAUAUGCAUGCAAUCAAUUAAUAGUUAUAUUAAAUUUUCAUAGAUGGAUCCCGGUAGUGAUGAUGAUGAGGAUGCUAUUGUAAUUGGUGCUGCCACUUCAGUCCUAGCAGCAGAAUUGCCUAUGUAUGUAUUGAAUUGUUCCAGAUUUUUGAUCCAACUGAGGCCAACAAUAUUUAAAGCAGGGAUUUGAGUCACUCUAGGCUUGAUUAGGGUGCUUGUGUGUACCAACGGUUCUAAUUCUGUACCAUGAAUAAGGUUUUUGAUUCUAGAGCUUGGUUUAUAUUCCAAUAUAGGAUUCUCUGCAUUUAGGUUCUUCUCCCUUUUAUCACUUUUUAUAUUCCAAUAUAGGAUUCUCUGCAUUUAGGUUCUUUUCCCUUUUCAAAAGAACAACAUAAUGAUAUGAUACUAUACCAAUAAAGAAUAGUGUUCAGCUAGGUUUUCGUUUGAUUUUUAACUCUUCUUUCCCAGCCAAUUCAUUAGUAUAAUUAAUAAUUCCAUUUAAGAAUUCAUGCUGUAAUAUGAAUAAAUAUUUUAUAGAAAUGAUAAUAUGAUUAUAAUGGAUAGAAACUAAAAUUAACUUGUAAUGAAAUGAAUGUUUUGAGAGUAGAAAAAUAUUUACAACAUAUCAACAAACAUAUCAGAAAAUAUUUUCAUUGACAAACCAAACAUCGGAAAAUUAUGAAAAAAGGAAUUUGGAAAAUAUUUUCACUUAAUAACCAAACGCUAGAAAAUUAUGGAGAAGGAAGUGAUUUUACAGGAAAAUGACUUCGAUGGAAAAUAUUUUCCUAGUCCAACCAAACGGACCCUUAGUUUGAAGAUUAAAGGCAACAACAAAAGUAUCAAUGAAAUUCCAAUCUCUCAUAAGCUAAUACAAAGCUUUACCAUCCCAAAAACCUAUAAAUUCAUCAUCAGAAGCUACCACACCCUCAAAUGUUGAAUCCAAAACCCUUAUCCAAGAAUUUGUUUUAAAGCUAUAAAAAUCAUUUCGAUAUAAGGAAUUUCACCUAAACUACUAAAAUAUAGUCACCACUGACUUUCAUUGUACAUAAAACCAUAGUCAUAAAUAGUCCCUCCAAGAUACCAUUUUGGAAACCACUUUUGAGUUAAAAGAUUUCGUAAUGGUAAGAGGUAAAAUUGCAAAUUUGGAAAGCAAACCUCGACAUAUUAGGCCAUAGCAUGACCCAUGAAUUUGACACCCAUAAUGUCCAGAACUUCAUAAAUAUCAUGUUUUAUAUUAUAAUAAUAAACCUUGUUUGUAUGUGUCUAUAAUUAAAAACUCAAACGAAAGUAUAAACUUAAUUUAUCCAUGUAUUAGUCCUUUGUUAUGCCAUAACCAUCUUGAUGAAAUAUGAGUUGUUUGUUUGAGCUUACCACGAUUUAGAUGUACCUUGAAAUCGUGUAACAGCUUUCAAGAUAACUUUAUUAGCCACAUCAGUCAACAACAAUUUUUCAAAAGUUAUACUACCCCACACACAAAGGGAUUAUAAAAAUUCAUAAUGGUAAAAUAUCAGUUUAAGACGCAUAUAUUUCUGCCCUAAUAUGAUUCUAAGUAUCUAUUAAUUUUCUUUUAUGUUACUCUUAAGCUAUUGGAUGACAAGAAGCUAGUUAUUCGAGGGAAAAUUUCUGAAAUUUAAGAUGCUUGAAUCACUGGUUGAACCUUGACUAAAUCUUUCCCAAAUUGGUUUUUCAAAUUUAAUUGAAUUGUUUUCAACUAGCUUUUUGGAAUUGAGAGCAUACAUCUAAAAUGUUUGACAUCCAUGUAGACUAACAAUACCAUUUUGUUGUGCCGUAGUGCUUCUCAAAGUGAAAAAAACACGUAAACACAUGAAGCUGCAAUUAUUAAUUUUGCCACCUAAGUGAUCAGAUAUUGCUCAUUUUCAUGACUAAACUCAACAGUUAACAACUGGGAAGGGGAAGCGUAACUCAACAUUCAGCAUGAGGUCAUAUCGUCUUCGUAUCUGUUUCUGAGAACAUUUUAAAGCAUAGAUUGUUCAUAGAAAUAAUUGGAGUUGUCAAGUGAAUUACUGGCGGAGUCAUGAUGUUAUACGAAAGAAAAUUAAUAUAUACUUAAACGCAUAUUAGUGUAGAAGUAUAUGUGUAUUAAAUUAAUAAUCUACCACUUUGAAUUUCUAUAAUUCUCGUUACUCCUUCCAUCCUAUUGUUAUUGUCAUAUUUUCACUUUAUUGAUGUCUCAAAAUAUGAGUCAUCAUUUCAAAUUUAACACAUACUUUUCAAUCCUGUCAUUUGAAAAGCAACUUUUAAAAUCUCAAUACACAUCUAUUAAGAGAAUAUUUUGAAUUCAAAGGACACUUUUGUCAAUUUAUUAAUGCCACCUCAUCUAGACAUAUGAUUACCAUGUCUCCGUAAAAAAUUAUUUCCAUAAAAUGACUCUAAUAUUGGGACAGAGGGAGUAUGUGUAGUGUGGGGAGUAAUGCUCAUAAUAGUCUUCACAUUUUUUUAGGAAAAUGGCCAUUUUGGUUCUUCAUAUUUUGGAUUUUUGCCAAUUUGGUCCCUUGUCUAUCUUCAUGACCAUUAGAGUCUCUUAUCUUUACAAAAAAUGCCAAUUUAGGACCUCUAAUGGAACAUUAGAAAUUUUUAACUUAAUUACUCGCACAUAAGGCAUGUGCAUUAUUAGAAAUGAUGGUUUUGGUCCAUCAUCUUUAAAAUUGUGUCCAAAUUUGUCCCUUAUAUGUCUAUUAUGGUUUUCUAGUUUCUCAUUAAAAGUCCUAUAUUGAUUUUAUUUUGUGAAAAUGCGAGUUUAAAUUACUGAAAAGAUAAAAUUAGACAAGAUCUUGAAGGUAAUAGACCAAAAUAGUCAUUUUUAGCACUUCACAUGGCUUGCCUUAACUAAUUCCAUUAGAGAUUUUCAUUUUUUCUGUUUGAUAUCCUAGAUUAUCUCUUUUUUUUUGUAAAGAUAAAAAACUAAAAUGGCUGCAGCGAUGAAUAAGGGACUAAAUUGAUCAAAACUCCGAAGAUAAUGGACCAAAAUGGCCAUUUUCCUUUUUUCUAAAAUGGAGCAUCAAAAUAUGAAGUUAACUAACCAAGCUUUAAAGACAAAAUAGUUCACGAAUUUUUCCUUUCCCUAACUUACCAAAACAAGAGCUUCAAAAUUCAACUAGUUGUUAUGUUAUCGUACAAAUAAUUAAUUUAUGCAAAAGAUGCUUUGGAAUGUGGCCAUGCCAACUAUCUCAUUACUAACUAAUUGUCACCUAGUGCUUUGCACGGGCAUCUGUUUUGCUUGUACGUUUUCUUUAGUUUAAGUGGAAAUAUGUUUUUUUUUCCUCUAUUAAUUUGGAGAAUGAAUCAGAAAGAACGUAGCAAAGACUAUUAUAAAUAAAAUGAAGAAAUUUCAUCAAUACCUUUUAUUACUUUCAUCAUAUUCAUCCUCCUUAAUAUACAAGGUUGAAACCUUCCUAACAUACCUGCAAGUGCAAAAGAUAAAAGGUAAGAGAUUUACAUAGUUGUUUAACAUGAAAAAGCAUCCACGGAGGGCUAAGAGAGAAAUUUGUUGAAAAAAAUUUAUCCAGUAUUGAAAAAGAUAAAAAUAACAAAAAAAAAACACUGGAGAGAGAAUAAUGAUGAGGUCUUCUAAGAGCGCCUAUAAAAAAAAUCACUUUGUCAAAAUUGUUGAUAUGUAUCAAAUGAACUCAGGAGUUCCCCCAAACACUUCACUAGGCUGAAUUCUUUGGCCUAACUGAGACAGAAAAUAAUUGUCCCCAUUGAAGUGUUUCGAGGGAACUCUAGAGAACAUCUAAUGCUCUAUUAUCUAAUCUAUGCUUUUGCCCCUUGUUAGGUCACUCCAUUUAUAGGGCUCUCCGGUCUCCACACAUGCAGUCUCUGCAUGUAAUUACUAUUCACAAGCCACAUGCUGUUUUCUGGAGAAUGGAUGAACCUAGUCACGAUAUAGGGUCAGAUGAAAGAUAGAUAACCAACAAAACUUGAGAGGUCAUCUUUCUUCAACCUUUUCACUCAGUAGGUAUCCUGUUUGAUCUCUCUUUUUCAACUUUUUGUUCACGAAUAUAAUGAUAUUAUUUGUCCAUAUAAAAAAAGAAUGGCGAAUCUGUCAAUCUCAUGCAUGUUAAUUUGGCAGAAGCAUACAACUGCUAAACCUAGUCAGCUAGAAACAUAAAUCUGGUAAUUAUCCAUGUUAAACAUACUAAAAACUGCGGGAUUGUUUGUCCAAGCAAUUCACAUCACUUUCUAGUUGCAUUAAAAACCAUAAUUUUGUUGAUAAACUUGGGAGUUAAGGAUUUGAGAGUUGGAUACAAGUGGUUGAGCUCUAGAGGGUACAAGGAUAGUAGGUUUAUUCUUAUCUUUUCACUUGCUACAUAAUUCUGACUAGGUUCAAGCUAGAAAAUCCAUCUGGAGACUUGAUUUUUAAGAGAUCCUUUUAGAGGGCUAGUUGUCCUAAUCAGGAAAGCCACAAAUGCACGCGUACAAAUCUUAUCCACUCAAACAGAAGAUAAUUAUGAAUCAGCUACACCACUACAAAUUCUCUACUUUGUAUACAUGCACUUCACUGGUUAAUUUCCAUGUGAAUUUAGCAAAAUAUGCAUCUAAAUUCUAUCUUUCAAAAAGACUAUCUUUGAGUGGUUGCGUUUUUUAGCCUAAAUUAAAUGACAUGACAAUCAAAGACAAAUUUUGUAUUACAAGAAGUGUAUGGUUGAUUAAUCAAAGACAAAUUUUGUAUUUUGUAACACAAAUAGGUUUGUAGGAAUCCAAAUUCUACCAUUUUCAUUGAGUAAUGAUUAAUGAACUAUUGGCCUUAGAAGCACCAUGAAUCUUUUUGUUGCACAAUCCUUGAUUAUGUCUGGUUUUUUUAAGAUCAUCCCAGUUUAAGUCCUUGAGUAAAAACUCACCCAUCUGACCUCCGAAGUGUUUUGAGAACCUUGAGACUACACUCCCUUUACCAGCCAAACUCUCCAAAUCCACCUUCGUUUCUAGUCAAUUAGAUUAUUUUCUACAUAUAAUGACUGACAACGAAAUGGCUUCUGAUCAUUUCUACAUUGCAAAGCAUGACCUCUUAGCAUACUUCUAGCAUAUAAAAUUAACCAUUUGAAUAUUAACUGACUUGUUAGAUAAGGAUCCAUUUGAAUGGAAAAAUGAAGUAAAUGCUGGUUUUCAAACUAGAACUGUACUGCACCAGUUUUAGCCUUGGUACAUUUUUUUGAAACAUUAAUUAUAUAAUUGUGAUUAAUACUCAUAGGGCAAUAGAAUUGAUGAGUACUAAUUGGCUAGCGAUACUGCUAAAGCCAUAAUCUUCUUGUCAGAGUAAUAUUUAUCCAAACACGAACAUUACUCUCAAUUAGUUAAUGCCUUAUAUUUUAAUUGUUGUUUUUGAACUCAUUAUCCACGAAUUACUCAUUUUCUUUCUCUUUCUCAUUGACAGAACGAGGUUUUGUCUACUUCUCUCACUUCCUCUCCAAUUCUUGCCUUCCAAUCUCUCUCCCUAGCUAUUUCCUAUUUUACAAUUUGGUUUCAUUUUGUUGAGACUUUUGUAGUGUGUGGUUCAAGAUCUUUUGCAUAAUACUCUUCUCCGCUUUGCUCUUGCUAUUUUUCCAUCACUAUCAGUAAGUGUUUCUUUUUUUCUUCCUUUUUUGCUUUUAUUCCAUUAUGUUUUCUAUUAAAUAAUCUCUACUUACAAUUUUUUCUUUUAUUCCAUUAUGUUUUCCAUCACUAUCAGCACAUUAUUACAAAUUUCAUCAAUUUGCUUAUAACUCCUCCAUAUUCCAGGUGCUUCUUAUUAUGAGUGCUUUACCUGCUUUUGAAUGGCUUCAUCAAUUUUAACUAAACUUUAAAUCUUUACGGUGUAAUGGUUGCUUUAGUGGACAAGCUCAUAUUCAUUAGCAAGAGAAGAGGGAGGUCAUUAGGCCACAUCUACUCAUCCAUACUAAAGUCAUUUUUUGCAUAUUAUAAAAUUAGAACCUUGAGGGUCUACUAUCUUUUUUUAAUUCGUAUUUUUUUUAUUAAAGAUCAUGGAAAAACUAUGCGAUUGGUUUUAUAAUGUCAUUCAAACUCAAUCCUAUGAUGUAUGCAACAUGCUUUAUUUCUUUGAAUUUUGCUUGUUUAAUGUAUUAGUGUGCAAUUGAUCUUCUUAUAAACUUCACUAUCUUUUCCGCUUUUCUAAUUAUUAUAUGAAUCUUGAUUUUCAUGUGUCCAUAUUUUCUAAUAACUAGAUUAAAUUUAUUUUUAAUUGUAUUAUGUUCUAUAUCUCAUGAAUAUAGAAGGAAAAGUGUGUGUACAUUUUUUUGGACUAUUUUCAUUUUAGAUUGUUAGUUGUUUUAGUUAAAUCAUAUCGCAUUUGCAAAAAAAAUAACUUUUAAGUACAACUUUGAAAAUUAAAAAUAAGAGUGCUUUAAAGUAAAAGAAUUACAAUCUAAGAAAAAAAUAUGGUAAAAAACUCAAAACCAAAUCAAUGAGUUAUGAAAAUAAUAGAUAAACAAAUUAAAGAGAUAGAAGAAGUAGGGAAGCUAUUCAAUUAACUAGAGAGAGACGAAAUAAAUAAUUGGCGGAUAAUGGGCCCAAGAGAAUCAAUGAGAAUAUAUGGUGUUGAAUAGUUGAGAGUAAUGUUGGUAUUUGGAUAAAUAUUGUUCUGGCAAGAAUAUUAUUGCUCUGACAGCAUUGCCAGCCGUACUUAUAAUUACAUUUGGUAUAAAAUGCGAAAAUGGAAAUGUUUUAGUUGGAAAUCAAAAAGUGUGGCCCAUGAAGUAUUUCUCAAAUUUAGGGUGACAACGUAUGUGUUUGGUUGGGAUCUAAAUUUUUACCAUCUAAACCCAACCCAAACUCAGCCUAUAAUGCAUAGAUAAUAACACAAAAUAGUAUUAACAUAAUAGCACAUAUAUAAAUUUUCACCCAUUUAUAUGUAUUUAGAUAAUACCACAUAGAAUGUUGUAUACAUAAUAGUGCAUACAUACAUAUAUGUAUAUGUACAUAGGCAUGUUUUGUAUUAUAGUUACUACAUAUAUUCAUGUUAACGCAUUUAUUUUUGGAAGAAUCUUUGUCAUUCUUUCACCAUAUAUUUUGUUAAUCAGAAUAUACUUUUCCUCAAGGAAGUUUCAAAACUAUUAAAAUUUAAAUUUUUUCUCAGACGACUUUUUGUAGAACACUAAUCAUGGUAAAUAAAAUAGGUCAAUGACCCAAAGUCACAAGAAUUGUGUGAAAUUAUGGAUAGUCAUGGGUCCGUACCCGUUAGGUCCCUUGAACACCUUUGGACCCGGGUUUGAAUCUAAACAAAUUAAUUUUGGUGUGGAUCUAAGAUGGUCUAAUGACGAAUUAGAUCCCCAAGCCCAAAUUCAUUUAGGCUCCGGUAUGGGUUUUACCUCUAGCGCUAUUAGAGUUUGUAUCCAACCAAAUUAUCUCUUAUGAAGUUGAGCCUCGGAAAUUUCAACCCAAACCAAGCAUUGACAUCCUUAACAAGAAUCCCGCGUGUGUAAAAUCUCAAUAAGGAUUAUAUUAAUAGGUGGUUUGUAAAAACAAACUAUGCAACUUAUGGAUUAUGAUCCAAAGAAUAUAGUCUAACCGUGGUAAUGAUUGGAGUCGAAUUCAUUCAAAUUUUAAGCAAAAAAAAUAAAAAAUUGUGUCAGCUGGCUUAAUAGUUAUUGAGAACCAACAUAAGGAGUAUAUAUGAUACGCUCCUUUUGGCUUGGUCUAUGCAUAGGUUCUGUAUAAGAUUGAAAUCAAGCUAACAAAAUCAUCACAAUCGAUGUCAUCCCUGUGAAAAUGUGCAUACAAGUUUGUAUAAAAUUCAGUUCCGAAUAUUUUUGUUGAAUACAAUUAUUCGAUAUUACAUAUGAGAUUCUUUGUAUUUGCAGAUUCUAAAAAUUUUUCCUUUAGAGGAAUUUUCAAAAGAACUAUUAUACCUCUUCUUGGUAGACUGCUAUGUAAUUGGUUUCUCGGGUUUUUUUUUUUUUUAAAUGUUGAGCUAUCAUUUGCAUUUGGUAUGUUCAUCUAUCAAAAUGUUUGCUGUCAAUCAAAUUUGAAUGCAGAACUCUAAGAUGCAGUAGUGGACUGAGAAGGAUUUAGGCACUGGGACCAGAGGGCAAAUAUUAGUUUGACAAAUCGAUAAAGGCUCUACUUUUACAAAAAUCUUUCUGGGGCAGGGUGAGAGAGUAGGGAAGCGAAGGGAAUAUAAUGUAAUUUUUUCUUUUAGUGUAAAUAAGAGGAUUCGAAUUCAGAACCUCUCACUUAUACUCCCUACCUCCAUACCACCCAAUCCAUCUCACCCCUGAGAAUAUAAUGUAAUUUUUUUAAUGUAUUUUUCUUAAAGACUUAUCUAGGAACUUUUCACUUUUAGAAUGCAGGAAAUAUAUUUUUUAAAGUCUUGGAAGGGUUAAUACUUAAUACCCCGACCUGGCACUUGGCAAAAAUUACCCCUUUUGGUUUUAAAAUCAUAAACUCAACUGGUGUGUUGCAUGUCCAGCUAUAAAAAUUCCAACAAAGGUUUCCUUUUUUUUUUUGGCAUUGCAACAAAGCUUAAAAUCAAGAAAAUUUAUUAGUCUUUAUUAAUGAAAAAUGUAGAGUUUCAAGAUGUAAACACAUCGGCUUCUUCUAACAUUCAUUCUCACAAAGACAAUUGGACUCGGUAGAAUUUCCCAGAAAAUAGCCAGAAAUAUAGCUCCAAUCUUUUGGAGUUUUCGAUUUACAAAGAUCUGGGCAUGGUAAAUUGGACUUAACAUCACACGGUCCAGGAAAAUGGAGUUAGCAAACAAUGUCAGGAUGGUCCAAAGCCAUGGUUCGAAUUCCCUCUACUGCAUUUGAAAAUGGAAAAUGUUAGUCUAUAAUAUGGAUAUAAUAGCCUAGAAAAGUAAUCACACAAAAAUCUACUUGCUAUUUAUCAUGAAUUUAGUAAAGACGAAUUAAGGAGAAAGUUACCCAUGGAUGUCAAACCAAAUGGUCAAUUCUUUUGUUCUUCGUUUCUUUGUGUGUGUGUGUGUUUUCGGAAGCUUCAAUUGUGGAUCGAUCUAAUAUUUGUUCGUAUUUGAAAAAAAAAACUUAUGGUAACUAAAAAUUUUGAACAAAAUUUUAUCUGUGUGGUUCUUGAAAAUAAUUUAUAUUGCUUAUCUUUGACAUGGACAAUAUUCAAUACUGAAAAAAAAAACUAUGUACAGUAACUAAUUGCAACUUGGAAAAUGAUUUCAAUACUUCCAGUGAUAAUCUAUCAGGAUUAAGCUAAUCUUUGAAAAUGGACAAUAUUCAAUACUGGAAAAAAAAACUAUGUACAGUAACUAAUUGCAACCUAGAAAAUCACUUCAAUACUUCCAGUGAUAAUCUAUCAGGAUUAAGCUAUUAAUUGCAAUUUUAAAAUUUUUUGUUCCUCUUUUUUUUUUUUUUUUGCAUCAUAAAAAUGUAUAACUGUGCAUUUCACUUUAGCAAGAAAGCAAACACACGUCGUAACCUAUAUAGUGUACCUGUGGCACGAUAAUCAAAGGUCAUCAAGAGCAGAAAAAACAUCAAUGCCUUUGCCAUCUUCUUGUUUUUGGUUUUUUUGUCUUUCUUGCUUUUGGUUAAGCUAGAAUACUACAUCCUACAAAGUGUUCCAGAUGGUCUUAUUUAUAUUGAAACUUUAACCAACGUAAAGAUUUGAUUAUUAAUGCCAAAUCUUGUGUUUAUUGUAUUAAUCAUAUAGUAUACGUUACUUUAGUAAGUAAAUCACUAAAACUUGUUAGAUUCAUGAGCAAAAAAGAUUAUAUUCCACAUUGGUCCGAGAGAUGGAGAAAGAGUGAUUAAUAUGUAAGUAAGGGUCCAAAAUCUAACGACUUAAGAUUUUGGGUUAGAAUUGGGUUCCUGACUUACAUAUUGGGCUCUUUGGUGGAUUCUUUCGAGGUAUUUUCUCAUAUCAAAUUGGUAUCAAAACUUCAGGUUGUGAGACUAGACUACUCAUGGGCAAGUGGAUUCUUUUCGGAGUUGGAUCGGUGAAAAUUCUUUUCUUGAUAGUAGAUCAAAGUGUUAAGGAGUUUGGCUAGUGUUGGACCAGGUGUGCCAUAGGUUUGGCAGGGGGUCCAGUUGGUGUAAGAUGGAGCCAAGGGUUGGCAGAGGUCCAAAAAAAUUCAGUUUUGAUAUUGGAGAAGAGUGGGUCCAUAUUUGGGAGAAGAGGUGAUCUUAUGUGAUAAGGUAGGUUUGCGUUGAGUAUUAAAAUGGGAUCGAAGAAGGGCUUAUAAAUUUGGAUUUAAUGUGGGGGUUACUCGUGAAAAGGGAGAUUUGUUAGAUUCAUGAAUAAAAAGUUUACAUCCCAUAUUAGUCCGAGAGAUGGAGAAAGAGUGAUUAAUAUGUAAAUAAGGGUCCAAAAACCUAAUGAUUUAAGUUUUUGGAUCAGAGUUGGAUUUCUGACUUACAUAUUGGGUUCUUUGAUGGAUUCUCUCGAGGUAUUUCCCCCUAUCAAAAUUGAGAUGUGAUUUCAUAAAAUUUAUCAUGUCUAAUAAGAAUAGUAAGAAAAUUUGCAUCAUUAAUUGUGUAUUUAUCGAAUUAAUGCUGCUAGAAUUGGUUACCAAAAUUUCUCUCCACAGAUGUUUUAGAAACUGUGAAUGGAAAAGUUACAUCAGGCAACGGGCUGAUACUUCAGUACAUUAGCAUCUAUAUCAGUAUUUGGAUAACAGAUCCAAUACACGAGCAUUUCAGUUCAUGAAAAUAUUUGGGUCUUUCUAAUGGGUGCCUUAUUAAAAUAUAUUUCAGAUGUUAUAUAUUUAAAAAUGUAAGAUUAAUUAGGAAAAGUAAAUAAAUACAAGAGAGGGUAAGUAAGAUUAAUUAGGAAAAGUAUAUAAAUAUAUGGGAGGGUAAUAAUUGUUAGUGUGUAUAUAUACAUGAUAGGUUAUGUGAUUAUUAAGUGUGAUAAUGAAUGCCCUAUGGGCACCUGUUAGAAAAAUCCAAAAUAUUUUACCUCAUUUUUUGAAAAGUAUGAUAACGAAUCUAUGAACUUGAAAAAAUAGUUGGUUGAAGGAUUAUCUAAUUAGUAGUGGGAAGGGUACACUCUUUGUGGGUUUAAAUUUAGGAAAAUUAAGAGAAGUUACUACAUGAAUUUAGAGAAUCAAAAUAAAUUGAGGACAGGAAGUUAUGGAAAAUUAAAAGGCAUUAGGUCACUUAUUUAAUGAGGGUAUUGUCAGGAAGCACAAAAUAUUACAUCAACAUAUCUGCUCUCACUAUGUUCAAGUUGAAACAAUGGUGUUGCUCUUGCUUUUAUGGUGCCAUACUGUAACAAUAACAUUUUCUUUAUUGAUAUCGGCAUUAAUGCACCGAAUUUCAUUAGAACUCCGAAAUUAAUUGUACUUAGACUGGCAGUAUUAGAAUGGAUAACAAUAAUCAUUUUACCUUCACAUCCCUCUCCACACUCUUUUCAUCGCAACUAUUAAGUAUACAAUUCGAAUUUUGAAUCUCAAAAAGAGAAAACUCUAAAACUCGUCCUCUAACUACUAACUUAGUUCUACACAGUAAAAUCUUUGUUAGUAUGAAUCUUAUGGAUGUGUCCUAUUCGAAUAGUAUCCUAUAGCUGGCCUCUUGACCACAAUUUCAAUAUAUAUUUUUUAAAAAAAGGUCGAGGCUUUGUACGAGGAUUCCAGACCAAGACAAGUUCUCCAUAACACAUCCUGCUACGUACCGGAGUUAGCUUUUUUUCAUUUUUGUACCUCUUUUUUUUUAUUUAUUUUUCCUGAUUUCCCAAGAUUUGUUCCUGAUUGCCCUGCUUGUAAUAAAACAACUUAAAGGGGAACAGAAAUCAAGAUUCUAAUUUUUCCCCACUGGACAACAUUGAGAUUUCCAUUUUGAGAUGCUAAAAGAAUUAGCAUUUUUCCAGUAUAUAUUCGUUAGCACAUAUAAGUUAGACCUAACAUAUGAUGUAAACACAAUUACAAUUAUUGCGCUCCUAUAUUUAUAGACUUUUUCAAAUUAGCUACACUUUUUUCAAAAAACUAAUAUCUCCGCUCUUAAUGAGUGCCUUGUACUUAUAUUUGAAAUCGUGGAUUGCAUCUUAAACCUACUUGCAUGAGUUUUUACACUGUCAAUGAUAAAAAAUUAAUCAUAACUAAAAUGCUAUAGUUCAAGGAAUAAAGUAUUUUUUUUUUUGCCUUUUUGUAAGUGGGAGGUUUUGAAUCUAAGAUCUCUUACCCUACAAUCUCUAUCAUCUCACUACUCCCCCCCCCCCCAAAACCAUCCCCCAACAAGGAACAAAGUAGUUUAUUCUGAAUAACAAGAACUAUAAUGGCCUUUUCUGUCAAAUUUACUACUGGAACAAGUUUAAAAGCUAAGGAUGACUUCCAGGUACAAAUAUCUGAUGACAAGAAUGGAAAAUUGCUUGCUCAUUAGACAAUGUAUUCUUUGUGAUUAUUUUCCAUAAAGCGAAAUUUUCCAAAAGUUGGUUUUAAAAAGCAUAUUGAUAUUAUAUUAAUAAGCAUAUAGAUAUUUCAUGCAAGAAAUCAUGGUUAUAGUUAUCAUUCACCUUCUACUUAUUAUCUUACCAAGAAUUUAAAUUAAGGUUAUUAUUUACCAGAAAUAAAUGUUCUUAGAAUGUUUGUUGUGAAUAAGCCUGUUCAUGAUAUAUAUAUAUAUAUAUAUAGCCACUUAUGGAUAUAGCAUGCUUGCUAUAUAUUACUAUAAAAUUUCUCUGCAUCACAUAAUGAAAUUAGUCCUUUAUUAUUCAAGUAUUACAUGAGGAGGUCUAAUAUCCAGUGUGUUUUCAUCAUACUGAUUUUAGUGUUAUCUAAAUUACUUUCUGGGGUUUCAAAAACUUUGGCUUAUAUCUGAUUCAUGUCGAUUUUCAGUGUAUGGAUGAUAGAAGAAUUUGAGUGUUGGAGAAGUAAUGUGUAAAUGGCUACCGCCCAUGGGACCUCAUUGGGAUCAAUCAUCAUGUAUCCAGAUAAAGCUAACAUCCCAAGAGGUGAGAAGUCAAAUUGAUUUGAAUUACGAACACAAUUUGUCAUUCCGUUUUUUUUUUUUUUUAACAAAAACAGAUAGCUGACCUUUCCAUUAUCAAGUAAUAUGUUUGGAGCUCUCUCCUGGUAUAUACAUGCUUACCUAUUCGAAGGAGGGAAGGUUAUUUUAAGGCAAGUCCAGUGGCGCAGCUGGAUUUAUGCUUGAUACUAAGGAGAAGUUUGAACAUUUUCACCAAUUAUCUGCAAAGGGUGUGCAAUUUUGCAUUACGAUUUUGAAUAUUUUCGCUUUUUUAUUAUUUAUUGUCACUCGAGAACACUUUCACUUGUUAUCCUCAAAAGGCAUGCUUGAUUUUUUUUUUUUUUUUUAUAAAAGGAAGAGCAUUGGAAAGAAAAAAAAAGGAGAGAGAAAAAAGGAACAAAGAAAAUUGGCAUUUUGAAUAGUUCUUUCCGCAAAUUUUUUGUAUCCUUGGAAGGAGUAAACUUUAUCAGCUACUUAUGAAUUUAGACUAAGAGGAAUAUGGUCACGUGUUUUUUUACUGUGCAUAUUUUUCUUGUGUGUGUAGGCACACCAGUAUAUAUGAUGUAUUAUAUUGAAGAGGAAAUAUAGUGGUUAAGGUUGAGAUUUCAAAAUUUAAAAGUUCUGGAAUCUAAUCCUCCUUUCCAAUUCCCAUCUUUUAAAUUCCAUUCCUCUCCUGCUAGAAAUAAUUUUUUUAAAAAAAGAAAGACAUAACAAAAAUGUGUUCAUAUGGCUCAUUUCGCCUUUUCCAUUCCGUAUUUCCAGCAUUUUAAGGAAUUCGCGGCAGAUCAUAUCUGUUGGAAAAUUUGCAAAGAACUGGCAAAUAUUGUAACAAGAAUUGACUUCAAAUCGUAAUAGAUAUCACUUUCCUUUAGACUUUAUUUGUCCGGUAUAACGUGCAAUAACCUUGGACAAAUAUCCUUUAGGAUAAGAUGAAGUUUAUUUGUCUUAAACUCUUGCACAAAGCAAGACAAACCCUUUGUGAACUAAGGAGUGCUUUUUGAGAGAGUAUAGAAUAGUAGGAAAGUGAUUUCUCUACUUGACCUCUUUAUAUAGGAAGAUUGUUUGGGAAACAAAAGGACUCAUUAAAUACUUAUAUGAAUAGAUUCAAAGUAUUGUGUACACAUUCAUGCAUUUUAAUUCAUGCAUCUCAUGAUCUUUAAGAUCAAACAUGAAUCUAUGCUUUCAUUCAAGAAUUCCCAUAUACAUGAAUACAUUCAUAAAUGAAUGUACAUUUUAGAAACAUUCACAAUACUAUACAUGUACCAAAACCAUUAAUGAAUAUACAUUAAUUACAUGUAUGUACCUCAUACAAAUUUUGAAAAGUUUCCAACAAUAUCUUCAAAUUUAUUUUGUUUAGAUUAAGAAAGAAAGUUUUCUCUGCAUUUUCUUCCAUGAACAGUGAACAAAAAUUGUACUUCAACAACCACAAAAAGUAAGACACAUUUGAAGCUCCAAAAGAAGUUGGAAAGAGCUCUGUUUAGAAUGAGAUAAUUGAUUUCCGUCAGUGACAGAUGCCGACUUCACUCGAAAAGCGACGCAAAGAAUCAUGUGGCCAGUAUUUCAUUGGAUUUGCAGGCUAAUCCAGCAGCCUUAACAGUGAAGUUACAUGUAUGCAUCUCAUAUUUCUGUAAUUAUUUAUUAAAGUGAAAUGUCUAUAUUUUUUAUUUUAAACAUAUAUACUAAUUAGUUUUUAAUUUUUUGAGUUCGAUUAAGUUCAAACUCAAGUACAAGUUUUACAGAAUUUUACAUAGAAAGUUCAUUAAAUUCGAAUUCGAAUUUAAUCUUGAUAAAAUUAGAUCGAAUUCGAUUCAAUUGGAUCAAAACUGAACUUGAUCCGUCCCAUUUGCUACCAUUAUAACUGUCAGAUAUGACAUGUACUCAAGUCGGCACAUAGAAAGCUUUUUGUUUGAAGAAACGGAUAUGAAAAGUUACAUAAAAGAACUUGUACAAAUACAGCAGUCAAAUAGUACAAAUACAUCAGGGAAUAAAUCCAAAGAAUGAUAAAAUUCUAGCAGAGGGACAGUGAGAGAGUUUGUAUCGAUGGAAACUUGAUAGCGAUCGUCAAUAAAUAAUAAUAUUCACACUUGAGGAGAAUUGUGGUAGUAAGUAGCAGCCAUGCCAUUGGGUAGUUAAGCUUAAACAGGCUCUUGCUCUUAUUGGAUGAUUUCUCCAUCUUUGAUGUCCUUUGCCUCCUUGGACUUAAAUUUUUUUCUGAAACCACUAUCAGUCCAUCCUUUAGAUAAUGAGUGUAUGGUUGGGAAUAUUUGGAUUAACUUUAGGCCUUCCUUUCUAUUAUCAACACUUCAUCUCACGCCCCACCAUGUUAGGUCACUCUGAGGUGUGUCUUAAUUUCUUAAGAUUGUUUGACAAAAAUAAAAAUAAAAAAAGUGUUGUUUCAUGAAGUAAUUAAACUUUUUUGUUUUAACUUGAAAUUUUGGAAGAAGAAAAGUUUUUUCUCUCGAACAUAUAUGGGGCAAUUCUCAUGAUGUUUAAAUAUGAAGGAAACUAAACCAAAUUUUCAAAGGUGUUACUAAAAUCAACUGAAAAGAAAAAGAAAAGGAACAUUGCAGUGGAUAUAAUAAAUGCAACUUACAUUUAAGAGUGACAAAUAACUAAUUAAUCUCGUUACUCAAUAGCAAUUCAACUCAAGACAAUCUCAACCAAAAGAUUAGUAUAAGAUUAUCAUACAGAGAAGAGAUUAGUAUAAGAUUACAUCUCCUAAAUAUGUCAAUCUAUCCAAUCCCUACAAAAAUUUUUCAAAAAAAUCGAUGCUUAGUUUAAAACUUUAAAUGUUUUUCAUCUUGUCAAUGUUCCUUAAUAAUAUGGCACAGCAACAAUAUUUUACAUAUUCUACGGGCACAUUUUCAACCAUCAAGGAUUUAUCGUAGCGCUUGCAUCAAUCAAAACCACACUAUACUAUACAUUUGACUGUACUAUAAGAAACAAAAAAAAAGACAGAGAGAUAAAGAAGAACGACACAGCAUACCAGACUCUUGAGUCCUCUGAAAUGAAUAUCUUAGGUUCAAGCCUCAAGGUUGGUUUGUUGAUUAAAAAACCUUACCGUCCAGUGGGAUUCAGAAUCUCAGAGAAAACACUGUCACACCUUGAAGUUGUCACUGCUUGCCGUGGAUGUCCAAGUUGUAAUACCACCAUCUCAAUCUUGCCAGCAGAAUCUUGAUCGCCUUCUGAUUCAGAAAUCACAUCUGUAUCAUCAUCGGUCAUAUUUUGCACAUCUCCUCCAUGCAUAUGCAAGGGAAAUGGAUCAGGUCGACCACCCUCAUUUUCAGCUGCCUCCUGGACUUGCAAUGCAAAUUCAAGGCCACCAACUACAUCAUCCAUUCCCGGUCGUUGAAUCCCUUGAUCGUUCAAACAAUUAAUGGCCGUUUCAGCAAAAAUCCUCAAACAUUGGGGAGCAAUCUCGCCCUUCACAUCUGGGUCCACAACUCGAUGGAUAAUCCCUUUUUUGUAACACUUCUUGGCCCAUUCAGCCAAAUUCACCUGCUCCUGGGGUAAGUCUAGAAUAAUAGGUGCCCGACCACACAAAACUUCAAACAAAACCACCCCGAAUGAGUACACAUCGGACUUGUCCGUCAAUUGCUGUCUCGUGUAGUACUCCGGAUCUAUGUAGCCGAAACUCCCCUUGACCUGCGUACUGAUAUGGCUGUAAAUCCCACUCGGACCGAGUUUGGAUAAUCCGAAAUCCGAAACUUUGGCCACCCAUGUCUCGUCCAAUAAUAUGUUGGUUGACUUUACAUCGCGGUGAAUGAUAGUGUGCUUGGUGCCUGUGUGGAGAUAAUCCAACCCUUUGGCGGCGCCAAUGCAGAUUUGAAGGCGUUGUUUCCAUGGGAGCGGUGGAUUGUCUGUUCUAUAGAGAUGAUCGCGGAGGGUCCCAUUAGCCAUAUAAUCGUAAACCAAGAUCAUCUCACCCUUUUCAUCACAGUAGCCUAUCAAAGAAACCAAAUGAAGAUGUCUUAAAUUUGAUAGCAACUGGAUCUCGGUUUGGAAUUCGCGGGCACCCUGUCUUGAUGAAGGAUUUAAUCGCUUUAUCGCAACCGUGGUUAGAUUGUUGUCUAUGUACCCUUUGUACACGUUUCCAAAUCCCCCGGUCCCAACCACAAACUUGGCAUCGAAGUUGGCAGUAGCGGAUCUAAUCUCUUCCAACAAAAAUCUCCUAAGCGACGAUGAACCUGAAGCUCCAAUCUUUGUUGACCUUGGUGGGGUUGAAAGUGGGGUACAAGAUGACUUUGGAGCACUUUUCUGGUCCAAGUCUUUUACCCUUCUCUUCCAUCGCCACCGGAAAAUUAAGAAACCAAGGAUUAAAAUCAAGGAAACCCCUCCUGCCGCCCCUUCUCCAAUGGCAGCAAACAGUACCCGAGGUUUUCCGGGACUCCCCUUAAUCGGUGACUUCUUGUUUGAUGCCAGAGAAUUGGGAUCCUUCGAUAGAUUAGGAUUGGUCCCGCCAAGACUGCCGUCGGAGGUAUUCAAUUUGAACAAUUCUAAGCCAUUCAAGAUUGCAUCGGCAUAUUUUGGUUUGACGUCAAGAUUUGGGUGCAGAGAAAGAAACAAGCCUUGCUUGGUCUGGCGACCCUCUGGUGGGUUUGGAACGAACACGAGGUAGUCUCUGAGAACUGGGAUUCCUUGGCCGCCUGCCCAAUGAAUAACAUCAGCUCCUGGCUCAGCUAUUCUGUUACUUAUAAAUAUUAUGAACACCCGUUCGUAACCCGCUGCAAUCAAAUCAGGAUCAAUCUCACAAAAAUGCAACCUCAUGAGAUAAUAAAACCCAGAGUCAACAGGGAACAUCCAGCUCAAGUUGAAGUUGGUGCUGAACUUUCCCAUCGCCCUUGCAGUAGUAUACACUACUGGGGGCGCGGUGUAAUUUGGGGUCAGUGGAGUGUACUUUAUGGCAAUUUCAUCAUUGCUCACUGGAUUUCCUUUUUUAACGUCCCAGAGGAAAUCGUCAUCUGGAGCCCAUCCCCGGAACAUCCCACUAUCGUCCACCACAGAAACAACAUCACCUCCUACGUUGAGCCUGUAAAGAGCUUCAAAGGCAGUCCUGUCCUGAACAAACUCGAACUGGCCAUCCAUGACUUUGAGGUUAUCAAUGUUGCCCAUGUAGAGAUCGUCUGGGAUUGAAACAAUUUCAAUUCCAUUAACGAAAGCAUAGGAAUUUGAAGAGGGCAAAAAGGUAACAUUGAGGAAUUGAUUCAUAUAUUGAACGUUGAUGAUAUAUUCUUUUUUAACAAAGCCUAGUGUGAAUAAAUCGGUAGAAGCUGUGAGAUAUGCACUGAAGUUACUGAGAAGGGUGUAGUUAUUAGCUGUGACGUUGAAAAAAGACUCAGUUGUUUUGUGACCGCCGGAGUACGAGGUAGGGUGGAAGUAAAGGCGGAGGAACUUUUUGCCUAGGCUGACUGGGAAGGUGUAAGAGAAUCGAGAAAGGAUGAUUCGGGCGCUUGAAAAAGGGACUUCGCUAACUGAGGAGUUGAAUUCAGUAGCUGUGACUGCUGAUGAAAUAUUUGCCAUGUCAUUCGGUGAGAAUUUUGAGCCCGCGUCACCGUCCCAGUUCCGGCCAUCAACUGAGGUUGAAUUCGAGGAUGAGCCGCAGUUGAUAAGGAUAUAAUCUGUGGGGGUGUAAGGCGGAGUGCUGCCAGUGGAAGCGAUGACAAACAACAAAUUGAAGAGAAAGCAGAGGUAUACAAGAAGAGUGAACAUUGGAACGCAGACUUGCAGGGAAAAUAUAUAUAUAUAUAUGGCUCAAAUGUUCUGAUGGAAAAAUUGGUCGUUAUUCCAUUGAAUUGUAGGAUUGGGAUUUCGCCAUAUGUCUUUAAGAAAUGUUGUGGAAUUUAAAGUCCCCAAUUCAGAUGAAGAAGGAAACAGUAGUAGAAUUAACAUCAUGAAGCGAGUAUGGUAGUGUCAAAAUGAACUCUUUAGCGUGGACUUGUUAAGUUGGAAAAGUCAAGUCAUUGGGCAGAUUUAAUGCAUCAAGUCAUUAGGCCAAUAAAAUGCACGCGUAUUGAUUUAUUCUCCCAAAUAAAGCUUACGAGAAGCAGCUACACCAUGGCAAAUUAUUAGUUGCACUUCUCUCCUUUUAAUUUCAAGCAGAAGUCAUUAAGAUUUGCAUUUAGGGUCUGUUUGGUUGGAAGUAAAAUGUUUUCCUUGGGAAAAUAUUUUCCGUGGAAGUAAUUUUCCAUGAAAAUCAUUUCCCUUUCAUCAUUUUCAGGUGUUUGGUUAGCUUAUUGAAAAUAUUUUCUUACUUCAUUUUUCUGAUAUUUGUUUAACUUUUGAAAUAUUUUCACUUUUAUCUCUAUCUUUACUUUCUACACAUUAUAACUACAUACUUCUUCCCAUGCAAAAUAAGAAAAUUUAUCUCAUUGUUUAACUUUAAAAAAUCUUGGAGAAGUGUAUAUAUGAAGCAAUAAACAAAUUGCUGGUCAUUUAGUGUCAAAUAUCAAUCACAUGCAAUGCUUAUUGUGACAUAUAUCUUGCACUCUCACUGUUGAAAGUUUCUCUAGAAAAGAAUGUCCCUAUUAUACAUAAUUAAUUACUAGCAUAUGAUGAGCAGGAUGAGGUCUUUUUUUAUUUUGAAUAUACUAGGGGGGGUUGGGUUGGGUUGGGUUGGGUGGUACGGGGGAGGGAGUGUAAGGAAGAGGUCUUGGGUUCGAGUCCUCCUGUUUACACUAAAAAAAAAAAAACAUACUAUAAGAUGUUUUCAGUAAGUUUGGAACAUACUACAGGCGGGAUGCAUACAUUUAGGAAAACAACUUCAGUAAGUUUGGAAGGGAAGUUGUUUUCCAUAAGAUGAGUGAAAAUAUUUUACAUAGGAAAAUGUUUUCAGUAACUUUUGUGCAACCAAACACGUGAAAUUAGGAAAAUAUUUUCCUGGAAAACAUUUUCACCCGAAACAAACGGACCCUUAAUCGGGGUUUUCUUCAUCUAAGCUUACAUGAUUAAUCGAUGGUUAUGUAACCUAGAAUUACGGAGCAAAAUUGGCUUAGAAGUAUGAUGCAUUCUCUUGGUAAUUUAAUUUUAUUUUUGAGAAAAUGAUCCAAAUUGUCACUUUCAAACCAUGCAAAACUUGCUUUAAAUUUUGAAAACAUACCAAUAUCGCUCCAUAACCCAAUUCCGACCAAGUUUCUGGCUUAGAGUCGUAUGCCCCAACCACAUGCGUAUUAUAUCAGGAGCCAAAUGGAAAAACAAAAUUCUUCCCAAUCAAAACUAAAAGAGAAAAUGAUGAAUUUCAUCCCUUAUAUUUUUGCAAAAUAGUUUUUAUGUCUCACAUAUUUAAAGCUUGCAAAAUCUAUACCCUUACAAGUUAAAGAUGUACUACUAAUUUCGUCCAAAAAUCAAGUUUUUAUCAACUUCUAGGCAAAGGGUUGCACACCCUAGCUACAUUACAAUAUUUCAAGGCUAUUAAUUAACUAAAUGACCAAAACAAAAGCAAACGGCGAAUUAAACCUCGUUGCUUCGCUGACUGAUACAUGUUUCGUUAUUUGAAGGACACAGUAAUGCAUAGCCACCAAGCCAGAAAAAUUCGACUGCAAAUUGUUGAUGUAGUAAUUUGUAAAAGCUAGAUAAAAUUCUUCUAUGUUUCAAUGAUGUUUACUUUUUCUUUUUUGGCUUGCUCUACUUUUACACUGCUCUCAUCUGUUGUUUUAUCAACAGAUUCAUAGACGAAUUUUUCCUGUUCCAUGGGCAUGAUUAUAUAUUUUCUUCAAAUAAUCAACAUGUAAUAACUAGUGAAGCAACGAGAUUCUAGUGCGACAUCUACUUUUGGCUUCGUCAUUUCGUUGACCAAUAGGCCUUGAGAUGAUUUACAUAUGGUUGGGUAUGAAAGUGUAUGGAGACAUGGUCAGGCUGAAUGUUCUCGGGUGGAAAGUUGAUUUAGAUUUGGUUUUGGGAUGAAAUUGGUACAUGUUCAAAAUGACAGGGGUGGUUUUGGAUUCUUUUGAAUGUGAUGGAUGAAAGAAAAUAUUUUCAAAUCAGUGAGGAACAAAGUUGGUCAUUUUCUCAUUUAAUUUUAGCAAUGCUUUAAAAUUCAGACCGUUAAUUGAACCGGUGAGGUGCUCGAGUCCAGGUUCAACUGGUCAGACCGGUUCAAUCCUGGUUCAACAAAUUUUUAAAAAAAUAAUUUGUAAAAAAUGCGCAAAAUAAGAUAUGCAAUGAACUAAUUUAAAACUUUAUAUGAUGGAAAGUUUAAUAUUUUCGAAUAACUUGGAUUUUCAAAAAUAAAUUUUUUAAAUUAUAAGUUCAAACAAAUAAAUUUCAUCUCAAUCUCAAUUAUAUCUACCAAAAAAAAAAUCUUAAAUCCAACCCAAAAAUACCAAAAUAUUUUGAAAUUAUACAAAAUUCACGUCUAUGGGAAUUUAGACAUUGUGAGUUUAAAUUUUAAUUAAUGUUUUUGGGAUUUAGAGAUUGGAAUUAAAAAAAAAGUUUGGAAUUUGAAGGAAGUUAUGAGAAUCAAAACUAGAAAUGCAAACUUGAUAAGAAACGAAAAUGAGAUAAAAGUGAGUAGCUGUGGCAUUUAAUAAUUAGUCUUUAGGGUUAAAGAAAAAUAAUUCUUUUUAAUUUUUUUUCAAUUUAAUUGACAAAAACAAGACUAAAAGAUGGAAGAAAACAUCAAUAAAUUAAAACUAAAGAGGUUUGAUUAAAAACGGAGUGACAAAAGAAAAGAGGAGAGAGAGAGAGAGUUGAAAAUUAGAAAGAAAGAGUCAUGAAAGGAUGAGAUUUUAUAGGAAAUGGAGAAAAAAAAAUGAAUGUUUGUUUUAUAUAAAUGUGUUAUCAAAUAAAACUAAUAGGAUGUGCUGGUACAAUAGUUACUACAUUGGUCUUCUAUCACAAAGGUUUUGAGUUCGAUCCAAAACUUAAAAAAAAUUGAGGGGAAUGUUGAAAAAUCGGAAAUCACUAGUUCAACCCGGUUCACCGAUUUUGACGGGUUUGAUCGGUCUUGACCGAUUUUCUUACAAAGUCAACUUCAUUAUAGAACCGGACCGGUGCCACGGCUUGUUGAAUUACGAACCGGCCGGUUCGAUCUGAUUUUCAAAACAUUGAAUUUUAGAGGGGAAGAGUUUUACCUUUCAAUUUUGCCCCUAAUAUAUUAAGCGCGUGCUUGGGGUAUGUAAUUCUUAGCUAGAGAGUUGAUCGAAUUUGAUUUAUGGGACUAAAGUGGUAUAUUUCCAAAAUAGGCAUUAUUUUAUGAAUUAAUCUUCUAUAUACUGACAGUGUAUACACUUUCACCAUUAGAUGCAUGACAUGUAAUCCGAAUUUGAAUUUGAAACUCAAAUUUUGCAUAUGUGUCGUAUAUCCGAUCGUGAUAAUGAAUACAUCGUCAGUGUAUAAAAGAUUUACUCUUAUUUUAUACCAUUGUAAGUGUGGGGCACGAAAAAAUCUUUUCUAAAAAAUAAGGGACUAAUUGGGUCUAUUUUUUUUUAUUUUUGGGCGAAGGUGCUUGGUACAAAAAUCUAUUUACCAUAGCUGUGAGAAUGAAAUAAGAGGAUUUACAUUUAAUUGAUCAGAACUUGAUUUUGGGGUGCAGAGAUGCUGAGAACAUCCAUGAUAAUUUAGCAAGAAAGAAGGAAUAAGGACAUAGAAGUUUUCUCCUUUCUAGUGGUGGGGUUAAAUUCUUAUCAUUUCUUGUCAUCCUCGAGCAAGUCUUUUGAGCAACGUUACUUUUUUUAAAUUCAAAUGAUCGUCAUUUUUAGAAGACAAUUGUAAGUUAUCUUUGAAAUUACAAUGACUAAAAUUAUCUUUUUCUAUCGAAAAAAAUAUCAAAUUAUACUGUAAACAUUAAAAAUUAUUAUGUAUAUCUUGGUUCAGGUGCUCAUUUCCCUUUAUCAUACAAUGUAAAGGAAUGGUCUGUCCUUUGGAACAUCCAAUAAAAUUGGAACGAUAUAGAGAAGAUUUGCAAAGACUAUGCAAGUGUGACACACAAAAAUGAGAAAAAAAGGAUGCUCUAAUUUUUUAUUGGUGUUGGUUGCAUGGUUAGGUAUUGAAAUACAACUCGAAAAAAGAUUGGUGGAUAAAAUCAAAAGAUGCGUGAAUAGUAGAGCACACUUGGCAAUUUCCUUUCUCUUGAGCAUUGGUCUCCAAAGAAUUCAAAAAGCUCUUCAACCCCUACCCCCCAAAAACAAAACUAAAAAUAAUCCUUUAAUGGCAGAAGAAAUACCAACACGAGUUGAUUUACAAGUUACAACUCAUCGGAUCUACAAGUUACAACUCAUGGAAUUAUGUACUUUUGAUUUUAAAACUUCAAUCUUAAUUACAUGACUACUUCACAAAAGACUCAGUUGCUAGAAAAAAAAAAUACUUGGCAAGCUAGAGUGGUGGCCUGUGGGUAUUCGCAGUGAAAUUACACAAAAUAAAUUAGUGGAGAGUGGGGGACAUCUUUUGUUUUCUCUUUCGACAAGUGUUUGCAGGAAAGUUAAUGAAAUAGGAAAAGGGCAAAAAAAAAAAAAAAGAAAGUAAUGAAGUGAGAUAAAAGCGGACGAAUAAAGUGGGGCUUCUAGUAUUAGUGUUUUGAAAAGGGCUAAUUCCUCUAAUUAUUGUUUGAAAAAAAAAUGGCAACAAUAACGUUCUGACAAGAGAAUUUUUUUUUUUAAAUGCUUGGCUGCCGGUUACCAUGAUAAAUUUCCAAAAUAUCUGGCGGCCAUCAAAAGCGGAAAUAAGGGGCUGCAUGGCCCCAAUGCAAACCAAACAACCGAAUACAAAUAGUCAUCCCUUUCUUUUUUGUGGGAAACUCAAAUGUAGAUGCAGAUGCAAGUUGUAACAUGUCAGUAGUUGGACGUGGCAACAGGUAGCUUCUUCUUCCUUUUUUUUUCUUUUUUUGGUAAUACUUGUCCUACUAAUACUACUUAUAGAUUCUUAAAAAAAUUUAAAAACCUUUUUAACUUUUAUAUAAAUUUUUUUUAAUGAAAAAGUUGUAAGAACAGGUGAAAAUGCAGUGGGACGCCAAUGUUUUCAAACCCGGACCGGACCGGCCGGGUCGACCGGUUCGACCGCGACCCGGCCAUGAGUCCGGUCCGGUCUAUAGCUUAUGUUGACUUUUAUAAGAAACCGGUCAAAACCGGAAAAAACCGGUCAAAUCUUCAAAACCGGGUCGGACCGUGAACCGCGGUUUCCAAUUUUUGAGUCAAAAUUGACAAAAACUUCAAUUUUGACCGAUCCCUAAUCUUCAUUCUUCAUUUCUGAUUUCUUCGCUAGUUCGCUCCACGGCUCCAGUCUUCCACUCUUCCUCAGUUCCUCUUCGCACUUCAGUGACUUCACCUCGCCGCUUCGCCGCUUCGGUCCUCGCCGCUUCGCCGCUUCGGUCCUCGCCGCUUCGCCGCUUCGGUCCUCGCCGCUUCGGCCUUCGGUCUUCCUUCGCUAGUUCGCUCCACGGCUCCAGUCUUCCACUCUUCCUCUUCGCACUUCAGUGACUUCACCUCGCCGCUUCGCCACUUCGGUCCUCGCCGAUUCGCCCCUUCGGCCUUCGGUCUUCCUUCGCUAGUUCCUUUUCCCCUUCUCCAAAGUGUGGUGUGGAUCACUUUUGGGGAAGCGGCGUAGAUGACCACUGGUUGGCGGUGCUCGUUGUCGACUGUGGGCUGAAGGUGCAGCUGAGCAGGGUGAUUGAGGUGGUGCAGCGCCGGUGGACAUCAACCCUUCUGCAUUCAGGUCCCAAAUCUUCAUAAUUUGAAUUGCUACCUCAUUUCGUUUCUAAUUUCAACAUGUUCUCUGUCUAGAUAUUGUUCCAUAUGUGAGUAGAUAUACUCUGAUUGUGAUUGAUUCUCUUUAGUGUCGUGUUUUGCUGGUCAGUUUAUCCGUUUACUCAGACUGGGUUGAUUGUAGCUGCUGCUUAUUUUCCUGUUCACGUGUUUGAGUUUAUAGAAUUGUCAAUCCUUUGGAAAUAUCAGUUCCGCUUGCCUAAAUUGCUGCAAAUUCCCUUGUACUUUGAUUGCUUUCAUUCAUAAGAAUUCAGUAUCGUGAAUCUGCUGAUCAAUCUAUUAGCUGACUGUAACCCCGGCAAGAGUUCUUAUAUACUUGUUUGUGAUUAAUUGUGAUUUGGAUCUUGUCAGUGAGCUAAAGGAUGGAAGGGCACCAAUUGAACAUUACACACAUUAUCCUUCAAGUUUUAGCAAUUCGCUUAAAUGUGUUGAUCUCACGUUUUGCUUCUCAAACAUGUGAUAUACCAUAUAUAUGUAGUGUUUAAAGGGCAAAGACUUUCAUUCCACUUCCAGUUAAAUAGCUUCAUUUGAUAUACAUUUUGCAUACUUGGGAUCUGGGAACACCCAAUGUGCUAUUAUUUAAAAGUAUAUUUGAUGUCUUUAAAUCUCUGUGCUAUUAUUUAAAAGUAUAUUUGAUGUCUUUAAAUCUCUGUGCUAUUUUUUAAAAGUAUAUUUGAUGUCUUUAAAUCUCUGUGCAAAACCCAGUUAUCGUGAAGAUACUUAACACCCUCAAGAAAUGCACAAGGCUUAGGGAAUUAACUACACUCGUGCUAAACGGUUGUUUCAUUGUCUCCAUUAACCCCUUUAGAUCUUUUGGUGACAGUUUCAGUUCCCAAAUACAAAUAGCUUUAAUAAUUUGUUUCAGUUUGUGUAUAUUAAUUAUUUGUUAAGACUAGUUAUUUUUAAAUAUCUCAUUUUAGGAUGGAGGCUGGUAGCGGUAGUAACUCACAAUGUUCACCGGGGGGACCAUUCAAUAGUGAGGGAUCUGCAAGUCAGCCCCAAGGUCAUAGGCAAAAGACAGAUAUAGCAUGGGGAUAUGUUUCUGAGGGCAGAAAUGCACAAGGAAGAAAAACCAUGACAUGCACUUAUUGUUUUAAAGUGUUUCAUGGGGGUGGCAUCCACCGAAUGAAGCAACACUUGGCAGGAGUAACGGGCAGUGUUACUUCAUGUCCAAAUGUUGAUCCGGCAGUGAGGCUUGCAAUAUUAACAUGUUUGCAAGAGAAUGAUAAAAAAUCUAAAGAAAAAAGAGGAGAUUUUGGGGUUGAAAGUCCUUUUGGUCAACCAGUGCACGAAUUUGUCGGUGAUGAAGUGCAAGAGGUUCCACCUCCUCGAAUAAGGGAAAUUUCAAUGAAUGAGGCUGGUACAUCAUUAGGUAAAGGAAAGAGAAAAACCACUGCCCCUACAGGUAUUCAUGCUUUCUUUAAGGGUGGACGUGAUAGUGCUCAACCUACUAUCAAAGCUUGUUUGCAAAGUAAGGAUAAAUGGCAAAAUACUGAUAUGGCCAUUGCUCUUUGGUUCUAUGAUGCAUGUAUUCCCAUUAAUGCUGUUAAUUCUCCAUUUUUUCAAAAAGCUAUCGAUCAAAUUGCAUCAAUGGGUCAUGGUUAUAAAGCUCCAUCUUAUCAUUCUUUGCGAGUCACUUUGUUGCGAGAUGCUAAGAAAGAUGUGCAGUUAGUUGUUGAUUCAUUUCGAAAUACUUGGGCUGAAACUGGAUGCACUAUAAUGGGUGAUGGAUGGAAAGAUAGUAGACAAAGACCAUUGAUUAAUUUUCUGGUUUAUUGUCCUAAGGGUAUAUCUUUUAUCAAGUCUAUAGAUGCAUCGGACAUUGUGACAAAUGCAGAAAAUUUGUGCAAUCUGUUUGUUGAAAUUGUUGAAAUGGUUGGUUCAAAAAAUGUGGUGCAUUUAGUCACUGAUAAUGCUAGCAAUUAUAAGGUUGCUGGAACUUUAUUAAAUGAAAGAUAUCCAACUAUUUGCUGGUCUCCAUGUGCUGCCCAUUGUAUCAAUUUGAUUUUGAAGGAUAUUGGUGAAAUGGGUACUGUUAAAUCUCUAGUGGCUCUUGCUGCUACAGUAACUGUUUUUGUGUAUAAUCAUAAAUAUGUUCGAAAUUGGCUGAGAAAAACUAAUGGGUGGAGGGAGAUUAUUCGUCCGGGGGAGACUCGAUUUGCCACCACUUUUAUUGCACUAAAGAGCUUACAUGAUCACAAAGACAGCUUACAAGCUUUAGUCACUAGCGGAGAUUACAAAAAGUUCUUGAAAAUGAACAAAGGAAAAGAGGUCAAACAAAUUGUUUUGGAUGAUAGAUUUUGGAAUAAUUGUUUGAUUACGGUGAGAAUAAUGGGUCCUAUUAUUCGGUUGUUGAGAGUUUGUGACACUGAUGAAAGGCCUUCUUUGGGGUAUGUGUAUGAAGGUAUGUUUAGAGCAAUUACUGGAAUCAAGAAGUUGUUCAGGAGUAGUGAAAGACUAUAUAAGCCUUACAUUGAUAUCAUCAAUGACCGAUGGGAUAGGAUGUUGAGGAAAAAUUUGCAUGCUACGGCAUAUUUUUUAAAUCCCGCUUUUCAAUAUGACACUGCCACAUUCUCUACACAUCCAGAAAUUACAAAUGGUUUGUUGGAUUACAUAGAAUCAAAGGUGGAUUGGUGUAGUGUGGAAAAUUUAACAAGAGAAAUUGGAAUGUAUCGAGAGCGGGAGGGAAGUUUUGGCAGAAAACUUGCUAUUCUUACUAGCAAGAAAGAUAGACCAGGUAAUUUAUAUUUUUCUAGCAUUUGAAUCUGUCUAAUAUAUAUAUAUAUAUAUAUAUAUCUAAUUUAUAAAUAUUUUGUUUAUAUUUAAAUUUUGAAUAUGACAGAGAAUUGGUGGAAGCUCUUUGGUUGUGAUGCUCCCAACUUACAAAAACUUGCAAUUCGGGUUUUGAGUCAAACAGCUUCUUCUUCAGGAUGUGAGCGUAAUUGGAGUGUUUUUGAACGUAUUCAUACUAAGAAAAGGAAUAGGUUGGAGCAUCAAAGGCUCAAUGAUCUUGUAUAUGUGCAUUACAAUUUGCGUUUGCAGUAUAGGUAUAUGUAAAUGGUUUAUUUUUAUAAAUAACAUUUCAUUCUUUUUAAGAAAAUAUUUUAGUACUAACUAAGUGUAUAUGUUGUGUGUAUAUAUAUAUGUUGUAGGCAUAAUCAGCAAAAGAGAUCGUAUGAUCCCGUUGAUUAUGAGUCAAUUGAUAAAACAGAAUUUUGGGUGGUUGAAGAAGAACAAGAAGGGGAGUUUGACUAUGAGGAGUUAGAGGAAGAGCUUGAAGAACUUCCAAUUCAUGGUCAAUGUUCAAAUUCUGAACAACUUGAAGGUUAGUUUGACAUAAAUCAUUAGUUUGAUGCAAAAAUAAAGCUAGUAUGAUAUGAUAUUCAAUUGUUGAAUAUGUAUAUAAUUAAAUAUGUUGAUUUUUUAGAUAAUGAAGAGGAAGCAGAAGAUGUUGAUUUAGAAACAUUUCAACGUCGAAACUUUUUUAAUGAUGAAGAUGAUGAUUGGCAUUAAAUGUUCAAAUGGUAAUUGGUAUAGAAUUAUUUGUACUCUUUUAUUUUUAUUUUUAAGAUUUGUAUCAGUUGGUGUGAUGAAACUAAUAUGAUUUUAUACUUUUAUCACUUGUCAGUGAUUCAUAUAAUGGUCUUGGAUGAUGAUGAUGACUUGUCAAGAUGGCUUUUUUUGAAGCUUUGUUGUCCCAGAAUUAUGAAGAAGACUAUAGAAGCUUCAGAAAUUGGACUCGUUUGGACCUUUUGAUUGUUUUCUAGACUUGUAUUUUUUUUUGUUAAUUUUAAUAUUUAGACAAUUGGACAUGUAAGUUUCAUAACUAUGUUAAUUGUGUGUGUUAAUUGUUGGAUAUUGCUCUUAUAUUUAUUGUGGUUCAGCAUUUAUAUCUUAUUCUAUGCAUAGGUGUGUGUGUCUAUAUAUAUAUAUAUAUAUUUAUUUAUUGAACCCCGGUUGAACCGGUCCGACCGGUUGAACCUCGACCCUUUCACCUCACCGGUUCGAUUGACGGUCCGGGUUUGAAAACAUUGUGGGACGCAAGUGGAGAGGAAGGUGAGUGGAAAAAAGGUAGGAAGUUACAGGAAGCUUCUUUUUUCCUUCUUACCAUUUCAAAGAAGCUGCUGCUGCUGCUACUACUACUGAUGAGGAAAAGUCCACUCAAAAAAAGGCUGCCGGGCUAAUUUGAAGUUAAAAAAAAAAAAAAAAAAAAGCUGCAGCCGGCCAUCAUGACUGCCUGGCUUACUAAGCCCGGUAGCCUUGAAGUUAAAAAAAAAAGAAAAGCUACAGGCUAUCUUUUUUUUUUUUUUUUAUCGAUACGCUAGCUCCCUACACUAUGGGAAGGGGGAGAGCCUGAAGAGGUCAUGAGAUAACCCGAAGGGGACUGAACCACCACCGGAUCAGACGGAUGCACUACGCAUCCGUCUGAAUUUUUUAAGUAAGGCCACAUUUAAUUGUGGCAAUUGGUGGGAGGUAAGAUUUGAACCCUUACCUCCCACCCCACCAAGUCUUAAUGCAUUGGUGGUGCCCUGGCAGCUUUUUGUCAACCAGGCAGCCAAACAUUUACCAAAAAAAAAAAAAAUUUCUCUUACUUGCCGGGUUGUGUCAGCCCGGCAGGCAUAGUUUCGUACCAGAACUCUGUCAGAACGUUAUUGUUGCGAUUUUUUUUCGAACAAUAAUAGGAGGAAUUAGCCUUUGAAAAGGGAAAGUGUCUCAAUAUAAGAAAGCAAUAGACAUGAGUGUAUGUAGUAAAAUGAUAAAUCGUAACAAAAAAAAAUUAAAAAAUGGAUUAUUAAAUUUAUUUUGUAUAUUUAAUAAUCAACUUAGCUAACGGUUGGUCAAUGAGCACUCGUCACAAACAUUCAAAUGUUAGUUUUUUUUUUUUGAAAAAAUACAGUGAAUUUAGGAAGUGUUUAAAUACAUGGGGCUCAAUAAUUAUGAUUGAAUUUAUUCAUAGGGUAAUUUAAGUGUAAUUUAGUUGUACUAACAAGUUCUACAUUAAAAAAUCUUUUAAUAAUUAUAAUUUUUUGUUAAUGAGAAUGGUAUUAGGUUAAGGAUUAAUCUUUCCUACACUGACAGUGUAUACACUAUCAGCGUUGGAUGAUUGACAACUAUGCAAAAUUUGAAUUUGAAAUUUAACUUUUGCACACAUAGCAUGAAUCCAACGAUGAUAGUGUAUACACCGUCAGUGUAGGAAAUAUUUACUCAUUAGUUAAUGCACUUGAUUUAUAGCAAAGAUUACAAUGUGAAAGCACGUACUUAUGCUCCUUGUCCUUCUUGAAUUUAAGCACUUUCCUUAUUUAAUUUUAAUUUACUAAAUAGCUUGCGCAUGAGACCUCUCUUGAUGGGUCCAAGUGAUGAAUCCAUACUUAGGUUCAUACCUUAGAUUUUCAUAUAGGAGAUUUCUAACGAGUGCCUAUACACCUAAAUCAUACCUUAUUAGCUACAUAAAUUCACACAUUAAUAAUUAUUAUCCUAUCUUACAUUUAUAUAUUUUUUCUAAUUAAUAUUACUUUAUUCAAAAUAUGAACACCUGAAAUCCAUUAUUGGACAUUCGUUUGACAGACUCUUUCAUAUAUAACCAUUCUACUCGGAAUAACUAACCUGUGAUCAUUAAAAAUUAAACUGAAAUUCAAAUUAAAUAAAAUAUUUUUAUUGAUUAAAUGCUAGUCAAAUUGAUUGCAAAUUCAAGCAUCACAAUAGGCAGACCUCUCUGGGAUCUACAGCUUCUUUUAUCUUGGAUCAUGCACAAUGCAGCAGCAUUGACGACCACUGAAUCCAGGAACGCAUAAAACAUUAUUGAUGUGCAAGUCCACAUAGCCACACUGCUCGAUGCAAUCAAGUCUUGUGGUGCAUGUACCAACAAACUUGCAAUCGCUAUACGGUCCAUCAUCAUCGUCGUUAAUCUCUGCAACAAUAUAUAUAUAUCGUCGUCGUUAAUCUCUGCAACAAUAUAUAUAUAUAUAUAUAUAUAUAUAUAUAUAUAUACCAAUUCACCGUUGAAUUAUUACUUAAUUCGAUACCCAAUCCAAAAGCAAUUAAAAUCUUAUAAUACUCAAAAUUAUAUUAUUUAUAUUGGUAAAAAUGCUCUCUUUAAUUUAUGCACACAAACCCACACAGGUACACACUGGCAUAUGUUUAUAAGUGCAUAUGUAAGUGUUAAAUACAAGAUAAAAAUCAUUCACAUGGGAAGAAUUAUUCGUAUAUGACAGGAGACAACAAAGCAACCAAUUAGUUUGAAAAUUUUAGGAUUAGCUUCCCCUCCCCGUGAACGGGGUUUGCUUUAAAAAAAAAUGUUUGGAAGCCAAGACAUCAACAUGCCAAGGGCUUAGAAUCUGUAGAAUAAAAAAAUAAAUUAAACUCCAUUUGAAAUUCCAACUUGAUAAACUUGAGACUUAAAUCAAACACCCAAUUUCAUUUGCCAAAAUCUUUGAUCAAAGGCUCGAUUGAUUUGUGAACUCCACUUUCGAGUUUCUAUCAAUGUAUGAUACAGCUUAGAUAGAAGCAUUACCAUUAGAAUAUCCAGAAAGAAGAAGAGUCAUGAGGAUGAGUGAAACCAAUUGAACCCUUCUUGAUGCCAUUGUGCUGUAUGUUGAUGCCAAACCAAUAUGAACAGCAAAUACAACAGAACUAGCCUUGCCUAUUUAUAACGAAAUGAUAUUGAUAAUUAGAAACGUGUCAUCACCUAUGUGGUUCAGAUUUAGGUUCAGGUUGACCGGUGUACACACUUUGACAAGUGGCUUAUCCGUAUAUUAAAGCUUUUGAAAAUCCGAUUCAUCAUCUUAGAGUGAGACAAUUCGCAGAUUAAUUGGCUAUUGUCGUUUUUUGCUUGAGUGGUUUUUGAUGUGGAACCGUUUCUAAAUGAAACUGAUAGAAGACCAACUUUCAAAAAAGAUUUACCAACCGUUUGGUUGGUGGGUUUUCUACUCUUCAAUGGGUAUAGAAAGUGCUUUAUACCCAUAGAUGAUGUUUGAUAUACUUCUAUGGGUAUUGUUCAAUCACAAUCAAAAAGCCAAAAGUAGGUAAUGGUCAUUGACGAAUUUAACACUAAAUGGCAUAAGAAAAAUACAAAAAAGAAUGAAGAUACGGCUAUCUGUCCAUAGCGACGCCAGUCUUUCUUUCUUCUUGUACUCUUGUUUUUCCCCCUUUUUUCCUUUUCUUUUUGUGUUUUUGUAAGCAUACUCAUGUUCCUUCCUUUCCUUUAUUCUCUCCUCCAAUCUUUUUCUUUCUCUUUUCUUUUGAUGGCCAGUAGGUGCGGUGGUGUUGGUGGCCAUUGUUGCUUGGGUGAAGCUUUUUUUUUUUCUGGCAAUUAUUGUGACUUUGACAAACUUUUCUUUAUGAAACCUUAACACCCUUAAUUUUGUGAUUUGCAGGCAAAACAUAGCAUCACCUUGUGUGUGUGUGUGUGUGUGUGUUUUUUUUUUUUUUGGUCUUCAAGAUUUUAAGUUUGACUCCAUGUGUUAUUGGACAAUUUGAUGUCAAAUUAAUUUUAAAUUUAACUUCUCUAAAGUGAAAUGAUUGUUUUGAUAGUCAUUUGGCUUAUAAUUUUUUUGAACUAGUUGAAGUGGUGGACUUGCCACGUUGGUGGUGAUGCUGGCUGGGGUUUAGUAUUGGAACUUAGGAAGAAGAAGGGAAAAUGAAAAAAAAAUUAAAAUUUUGAAAACCCAUUCCUUUUGAUUAAAUACCAAACAAUCAAUAAGGUUUUGGCAAUACUCAUUGCCAUUGAAGAAUUUGUGAUAGCCAUUGCUAUUGCUAUUCCGUAGUGUAUGCCAAAUAGCUGGUUAGAUAUGGCAACCAACCCACCCUGAGGAGGAGAAAUGAGGCAGGGGUGGGAGUGGGGGAUUUUUUUUAACCCUGCCUCAAAUGGGGCAAGGGAUGGGGGAACGUACCACGAUCCAUCCCCCGUUUUAAUUUUGACAUAGUAUAACAUCUAUGUAUGUUUAUAUAUAUAUAUAUACACACACAUACAUACACACACAAACUAAAAGGAAUCAGCCUGUGCAAGCACAGCUUAUCCCUACCUAUAAAAUUCUGGUUAAAAUGCAUCACAUUAUAAUUUGCUUUCAAAUAUAGAGCAAUUACAAUUGCAAAAAAAUAAGCCUAAAAAAUAAGGUUUAUUUUUAGUAGAAUGUUCCAAAAGUUUGCUCCAACUUGCCUAUUGUAAUGUAGUAGAGAUAUAUUGUUGUAUUGUAUGGAUAAAUAACAAUAAAGAAUUUAAAAACCAAACACAUGAAAAAUGCAAAACCAGUUCAAUGUUAACAUAAAUGGUAUAUGCUUCAUAAAACUCAAAUAUCAUGCUAUUAUAAUUAAAAAUGCAUAAAAUUUCACCACUCUUUCUUUUCAAAUAAGACACCAUCAUGUAAAAACUCCCAUCCUACAAUUUCACAAUAAAACUUGGAAGAAAUUGAAAUGGAAGGUUUUCAAUGCAUAAAAAGGGUACAAAAAUUUAGUACCAAAGAAUUACUAGAUGAAGUGUUAUAUUCAAUUAUGCAUUGAAAGGGAACUAAAACGUUAGAAAUGCAAAACACAAAUUUUGCAUUUAGAUUUAAGACAAACCUCACAAAAGGAAAAUUGACUUGCAGAACCAAAAUAAUUGAAGGCUUAAUGAAUAUCAAGGAGAUCAAGCCAAAAUAAAUAAAUAAAUACAUCGUGGUAACAAGAUAAAGAGGGAAAAAAAAAAAGAAAAAUGAUAAAGGCUAAAUAAAGUACAGUUAGCGAAAAAAAAACUUGAGUCCACAUUUGGCAGCAUGAAACGGGGUAAAAAUAGGAAUAAAAAGAAAACCAAACACACCAGAUAGUAGGAGUAGCGGAGGUAAAAAAUCUAUUCUCUAUGUUUCUGCUAAAAAAAAAAAGAUGAUCAUGAAUCAUGAUUUUUGAACAAAGAAAGAAAAGAAAUAUCCAUUCUCGUGCAAGAAAAACAUAUAGUCAUUUAAUUAUAGAGAGAAAAGGAAAAGAUGCACCGACUGAGUAGGUGGAAAAGCAGAGAAAAAUUGGGAUGAAAGAAAAGAAGAAGGGAAAAAGCAAAAUAUUGGAUUUAAAAGUUAAAAUUGAUGGAGGUGGAAGUGACAAAAUAAAUCAAUUAAUUGUUGUGAUACAUUUCCGUAGUCAACAAUAAUCACCUAAAAACAUAGUAAGAAAAUAAUCUUAAUAUAAUUAAUGAUAAAGAAAAAAAUUUGAACGGGAAAAAAGAAAGAUGAAGAAAAAAGAAGGAGAUAAGGGUUGAAGAUAGAGGCAGAAAAAGGAAGAAGAGAAAAAUUGGAAGGAGAGAUGUUUAUGACUUUUGGUUAGCCAAAGAACAUAGUGGAGCAAAAAAUCCAACUAAAAAUAAAAACUGCCACUUGUCAAAAGAAGAGGCUAUACACAUGGCAAAAAGAGAGAUUGCUACAGUAGCCUCUCUUUCUUUGUAUAUACAAGACAAGAUAUACAAUACAAUAAAACUAGCCUCUAGCUUCCUAUCCUUGUCACCCAAUAUUUCUCUAUUUAUAUUUCUUUAUUAUUUAUUCAAAAUAUAACUUAGCAUAUGUUUAUGUUACACUAUUAUAAAGUGAAUUUGGCUAGUAAAAUAUAAAAAUGAAAAUUCAAUACAAAAGUAUAAAAACACCAAAUUUAGUUAAUUUUGAAUUAAAAGAUUUUAAAUUUUCAAAGGAGAAAUAUUGUUGUUGAAUCUAUAUUCAACCUCCAAAUUGAAAAGUUAAAAUUUGAAGCAAAGAAAAUCCAUAACUUGCAAUUUGGUUUUACAAUUUUAAAAUGUACUUAUAUUUGUAUUUUCAAAAUAAAUUUGAAAAGAUAAAAUUUGAAGCAAAAGAGAAAAAGAAAACCAUAACCUACAAUUCGAUUUAAACAUUUUUACUAUAUAUUUAGCUUUACCUCUCAUAACAUGAAAAGCAUAUAAAACCAAAGAUUGAUCACAAUGAUUGCAAAUAUUGGCAUUUAAAAAUGCAAACAAAAAACUGAUAAUAUCUUAUAAACUAACUACCAAAAAAAAUAAAAAUAACAUGGCAAUUGUAGAUUUACAUAUGAAGAAGACAAUAAGAGUACAUAAAAUAAUCAAUAAUACCCAAGACUAUUCUUAGCGCUUGGGUUUUGCACUCUUAUUCAAAUUUAAUUAAGGUCGAAUUUGGAUCAAAUAGAUACAAAUUAAAUAGAUAUAGUUUAGGGUCAAAAGUUCCAUAUCUUUGCUUUAAAUUGCAUUGUUAUUUUUAAAAUUUUUGGUAGAAUUGGUGUUGUUUUUAAUAUUAUUUUUCAUCAAAAAUAGAGAUUUCGAAUAAAAAUUUCAUGUUGAAACGCCAAUACUACUUUUUUUUUUAUUUAGUGAUUUCAUAAUUUAAGAUUCACAAAUGGUAUCAUUCCUGAUUUUUUUAAUCCAUGACCAAUGAAUAUUAUUUUCUUUAUGUUUUCUAUAUAACUUGUCCUUUUAGUUAGGAUUACUAAGUUGAAGCUAAAAUAUUGUUAUUUACUUUUUUACUUUUAGUAAGUUUGGUGAUGUCUCUUUAUUUACCUCACAUUAAUGGAUUUCAAAUCAAAUCCUUCUAUAAGCGGACUCAUUUCAUAUUUUUUAAAUUCAAAAGAUAUGAAAGGAUACAUAACAAUUAAAGAAAUUCAAAAUUCUAUUUAAAAAAGGAAUGAGUUAGGAGCAUUCUAAUUUAACCAUUCGAAAAACCGUUCCUGCAAUACAUAUAUAUAUAUCUCCAUAAAAUAAUACUCGAUAAAUUAAUAAACUCUGUUAAAAAUAAUUUUUUCUAGUCCCGACUUGGGCUAGCGAGCUAAAUUAAUAAUUUUGAUAAAAUAAUAAGAUAAUAUUUUUUUUGGAAAACUUUAUAUAGUCCUUUGGACCUAUUCAUAUAAUAAAUUAAUAACUUACUAAAAUUACAUAUUAUAUUUUUCUAAAAUAUGAGUUUAUUGUUGUUUUUUUUUUUCUUAAAGUUUAAAUCUAACUAAAUCUCAUCCAAAAUCAACCAUGACUGAUCACAAAUGCGUAAAGCAUUAUGUGGGUGAAUAUAAUUGAAAACAUCCUAUAUACAAAUGGGCAUCUAUCGUUUUGAUAUCUAUCAUUUAGUAUUCCUAAAUCUUUUUGACAUUUUGAUAAUAGAUCGAAAAAUCAUAUCAAUUACUACAUAAUUGAAGAUAUUGAUAGAAUUAAAUUAUACAUACAAAUUGAUGAGCGCAGGGUAUACAUAUAAUAAUAAUGCUCAUUCCAUAGUCAAAUUUUACAUUUAUAACAUUCUAAAUACCCCACACGCUAUUUUCCGCAAGUAUACGAAUCGAGAGCGAGUAUAGGGUAUUAAGGGUCGAUCUCUCAAGGAAGACGGGCAAGCACUGGCACUACUAAAUUUUCUCUAUUAUUUAGACUAUCAACAAAUUAAAACAAAUAAACUAAGAUAUAAAUGGAUAGAUAAAUGAAAAUAAAAGCUCCUUGGGUAAUGGAAUCCCUACCUAUUCAUGGUAGUACAACGCCUUAACCAAAUGAGUACCAAAAUCUCGACUAAGUUAUGGCGUAAUUUCCUAAUAUACGUGAUACCCGCUUUUAUCGGUGUACCAACUAUACCUAUAGUUAACUCAUAUCUACUUUCGUGGUCAUGAAAUCAACUACAAGUUCAUUCACUUCUAUGAAAUUACAUGGAACAAAGCCACAAAAGCCACAAAAGUGUACCUCUACUUUCGUGAGUGUACUCCCUAGUUUAACACUUUUAUGAACUAGUGUCAAAUUCCAAUUUUUAUUGCAAGUCUAACAUCUUUAGAUGAUCAUAAUCAAAGGCUAGUUAAUCAUGAUUAUAAGAGCAAAAGUGUUAAAUAACUCAAACAAGAUAAUAGCAUCAAUUGGCCAAGAAAUCAACACCAAACAAUCAUAGAAAGUUCAACCAAAUAUCCAAGGCAUACACUUUAAAAUAACAUUACAAACACAAAAUCCAAAUCUUACAUUAACAAACUUAGAGUUCAAUACAAAGAUGUGGAAAGAAGAAAACCCUUGUCACUAGAGCUUCUUGAACCUCUCCUUCUCUACAUUAUACUACACUAACCUAUACUAACAUAAGAGAAAAUAAAGAGAGUUACAUUUGUUAAGGGUUUGAGUCCUUUGGUUUUUCUUCUUUCUCCAAACUCUCUCUCCUCUGUCAAGCGAAUUUGAGCUCACUACACCCUCAAACUAGAAGAACUAUGUAGUAUAUAUUCUUGGUCUUCAAGAGCCAAUCUCUCUACUCAAUAAUGUGUUUCUUUGUUGUUAAAAGUCAACAAAAGAAGCUCCUAGAUCCUCCAAAAGUUGGUACAAAUUGUUCUUUUGUGUCUUGUCCAAGAUAAAGAAAGAAGCAAGAAGCAUGCAAGUUGGCAACUUGCAGCUGCCAGGAAACUCUUGGAUGAAUCCCUGGAGCUACAACAAAUGUAAUAUCAAAAGAUCAAAGUCAAGAAUGGGGCACUUUUUUCCCAUGAAUUGUUUCAUCUCCAUGCUAAAGUUGAGGUGAAGUUGGAGUUUGUAUCCUAAGGUGCUUUUCCUCUUGUGCCAUCUCCUCUUGUAUGUGUUGCUCCUCUUUUCCUUCGGAUAAUAUCGGUAUUGAUUUCAUAGCAACCUUAAUUGAAGAGUAUAAACUAUUAAAGCACCAAUUCAAAGUUGACAAGAAAAUUUCAAAUAUUAAGAAAAGCACAUUUUCCAAAAGAAAAUCAUCACCAAAUGGCAUAAAUAACUCCAAUAAUAUACAUUAUAUCCUCAAAACAUCAUAAUUAAGACAAAUUCAUGAGCUCCAAAAUUAUUCUAGAAUUUGCAUUUACCAUGAGACCUCAAAUUAGCAAUUCACAAUUAGCUUCAUAUAUUGAAAAAUAAGCACUUAUACAUCAUAAAAAAUGCUAUAUAAGGCCAACAAUAACCAUAAUGAAGCUAAAAAAAUUCCUCAUGAAAAUUGCCUAUUUAGCAAAGAAUUCAAGAAAUGGUAUUUUGCCUAAUUCCUCACAUUGCACCAUUGUUAACUACAAUAGGCAAAUUAACAUGCUUAUGGAAGUUAAAUGAGCUCAACUAAGCAUCAAAACAACAACAAAUUUCACCAAAAAUUCACCAAGAAAUUCGUCCAAAAAUUCAAGAAAAUUUGACUAUGGUGAAAUUUUGAUUGAGCCAAAUAAAGUCAAGAGACUUACAUGGGACAUGUAGAGUGAUGAUAUGUAAGCCAAAUGAUGCAUGAAGCCCCAAAAGCUUAGCUCAAAUGAACUCCAAUUUGAAGGAAGCGACAUUCUAGAAGCCUAAGAUGCUUGACUCAAAUCCUCCAAAGUUGGUGUUUUUUAUGAUGUUUGAUGCUUGAAUGUUGGUCACAAGAUGUUUUGAAGUGAUUUUGUGGUGAUUUUGGGGGGGUUUAAAUGGUGCAAAAUGGAGAUUUGAUGAAGUGGGUUUGUGGUUUAGGAACUUGGUUAUAAAAGGGGAAGAAGAAAAUGAAGUAAAAGAGCCAUUUUUGCUUCUUAAAAUCGUUGCCCAACCAGAAACCGUGCGCGAUUUUUCUGUGGUUUGUGCUGUGGAUUGUGGGCAAUGCAUUUGGAGAAGAAUUUUGGUUGCCCUGGCAUAUCCCUCGAGGGUUUCUCCAAGGGAUUGUGACCAGAAUCUCGAAAUUAACACUUUUAUCUAACAUUUAGAAAAAUAUCCUCCAAAUCAACUUCGUCUUGUUUAAACAAGAUCGUUUCAACACUUAACAAUACAAACACACUUCAUUCACCAUAUUUUGAACUCAAAUCACACACAUACAUGCAUUAUACACUACAAUUAACAUCAAAUACUCAAAAUGCAUGCCAUGCCUAAAAUGCAUAAUAUAAGCAUGAAAACUCCCUUUAUGACUUAUCUAAGAGGAAAGGCGUAAUUUUGACCAUAUUUACAACCUUGUUGAUGUUGCGACCUACAAAAUACAUAAAAUACAAAUUACACUAUAUAAACAUGAAAAACGCCAAAAACACAAGAAAAAUACUAAAUCAUUGGGUUGCCUCCCAACAAGCGCUUUGGUUAAAGUCAUUAAGCUCGACUUUAUUUCCUCCUUAUCAAAGAGUAAUCCACCAACUCAGGUCAUGGUGAAUCUACAAAGGGUGGGGCGUGUAUAUAAAAACAAUCUAUACCUCAAGUUUUAAAUUUGUAACUUUCUAAAUACCCCACACACAACUGCAAGUAUACAGGUCAUGUUUGAGUAUAGAAUAUUAAGGGUCGAUCCCAUAAGGAAGAUUGAUCAAUUACCGAUGCUAUUCGAACUCCUUUAUUAUUUACACGCUCAUAAAUGCAAGUCAAGUAAAUCUAAGCUACAAACAUAAGAAAAUAUGAAGUGAAAACUACAAUAGAAAGCUCUUAGGGAAUGGAAUUCCUAACCACUCUCAGUUACUUGGGUAAUUGAACACUACUCUCGGGUAAUUGAACAAUACUACCUCAGUUAGUUAUGGCAUAAUUUCCUUAUGUAUGUGAAACCUACUAUCGUAGUGAAUCAACUAUACUUAUAACUAAUCCAAAUCUAAUCUUGUGGUUAUGAAAUUAGCUAUAAGUUCAUGAACUUCUAUGAAAUUACUAUAAAACAAGCCACAAAGGUGUACAUCUACUUUCGUGAGUGUACUACCUAACCUUAGCACUUCGUUGAACUAAUAUUGAAUUACAACUAUCAUUGGUAAACCCGUAUCUUCAAAUAAUCACAACUAAUGGCCAGUUAAUCAUGAUCAUAAGAACAAAAGUGCUAAAUAACUAAUUCAAAGCAAUAGCAUCAUCCUCCCAAGUAAAUUUCACAAACAAAUCAUAGCAAGUUCAUCCAACCCAAGGCAUGAAACUUUAGCUAAACAUAAAGCAAAUGAAAAUACAAUCCAAUCUUGUAUUAAAACUAACAAAGGAAUCAAAUACAAGAGUUCAAGUGUUAAGAGAGAUCAAACCCUUGUCACUAGAGCUCAACUUCUCCAUUUUCAUCUCUCUUUGCUUCCUUGUUGAGCUAAUACAAGAGUUGAAGAACAACCCACUAAUUCUAAACUAAUCCUACACUAAUCAAACCUAGACUAGAAAAGCUGAGGAUUUCUAGUUUUAGAUCUACAUUUUGAUGGUGUUUUUCUCCCCCUUUUUCUCUACAAAAUUCGUCCAAGAGGAGUCCCUUUUAUAGGGAAAAGGAAAGGCUCAAUUAUUGUGCAAGUUGCACAAGUUAUGCUGCUAUUCUGAAGGAUUGCUCCCUGUUUCUGCUGAAUUAGCCCUUAUGCAAAGUACAAAAGUUGUAGCCCUUUGAGAUAGAUUUUCAAUGGCUCAAGAAUCAAGUCAUUUCGAGAACUGUGGACUGAGUUAUGGCCAAAAUACUAAUGACUAGUCAGAAAGCAUUGUUGAAGAAAAGUGCUUUAGUAAUUUGGACUUUUGGCCAUGAAAAUGUAAGAACUGGAUUUUGGUGCCUUCAUAAGAAUUGUAGUCCUUCCUCUUAGCUUUAAAAUGGUUUAAGAAGCAUCUCAAUCCAAGAUUUGUAGCUCAAGUAAUAGCCAAUGUACCAAAAUGCAUCAUUGCUGCCAAUGCUUUUCUUCUUGUUUCUUGCUUGCAUUUCAUCUUUUGGUCCUUCAUGUCACAUGAUUUCCACUUCAAAUCAUCAAAAAUCAUGCAAGUAUCUUCUCACUUCCCUUCAAGUGAUGAUUGAAUUAUCAAAACCUAUUAAAAAAAACAUGAAAUUUGAGCACUUAAAUCCAUAGAAAUGCAAAUUUUCUUACUUAACCACAAAAUGCAAAACUUAACUAAAAACCUAAUUAUUUGACUCAAAUUUAAAUGAAAACACACUAAAAUACACAAAUAUGCAAAACAAGCACUUAUCACACCCCUCACACUUAAAUCAUUGCUUGUUCUCAAGCAAUGGACAAAAAUAAACCAAAGCUAAUGAUCCAAAGUAGUGGAAUUGCACACAAUAGAGACUCAUAUGUUAAGGUACAAAAGAAAUGAUCAUUGUGUGAACUUCGAAUCCCAAUUCUAGUACUCGAUAAUAUAUAUCAGACAAAGGAAAGCUUAACAUACCAUCAUUUGAUUAAGUCUAAUACCAUGUAUAUAUCAUCCCUAAUCUAAUCAUGCUUGUCAUGCAACUAGCAUAAUCAACAAAUGCAAAGACUAAACUUGUAACCUUCCCUUAGAACUAAAGCCAACAAGGACAAGAACUAAGAAAAUUUUCACAAUUUGAUCACACAUUUUGCUCUUUUUAUUUUUUUUUCUUUUUUUCUUUUUCUUGCUCUUAUUAAGCUUUACUCAAGUAGUGAGCUUGUUUUUUGAUGCGAAAGCAAACAUUGGUAGAUGAAUGCCCCCGGUUACUCGAUCAAGUCACAAACUCUCGCUACAUUACAUACUCUUAAUUCUAGUAUCGUUUUACGCAAAAGUCGACAUUUUUAAAUGAAGACCCCCGAUUACUAAGUAUUUCGAAUCAUUGGAGUAGAUUUUGUAUGAUCAAUAAUCAAGCAAUCUUUCUCUUUUUCUCUUUUGUGAAAGACAAAACCAACAUUACUUGAUCCUUGCAAAAACUAGAAUGAAGGGGAAAAUCACAAGAAAAGCUUCACAUUCAUCAAUCACACCAAUCACACUAUUAACACAAACAUACUAAGAAUAAUAUUGUAGACACCAAAUUUUUAAAUAAUUUUUUUUUAUCCUAAUUUUUUUUUGGUUGUUUUAGUAAUAAUUCUUAUCUAUUUUUUAUUUGUUAAUUUCAUAAUUUUAGUUUUAGACUUUUAGUAUUUUUAGAUUAUUAUUGUCUAUUAUUUUUAUUUUUAUUUUGUAUUCGUUUUCGCCCUUUUAGCUAUUUAUUUUUUAUUGUAAGACUUUUUAGCAUAAAAUUUGUCAAAAAGAGCAAAUUAUUCAUAAAAAUAUGUUUUAUUUCCUUUUUACUAUUUAUUAAUCGGGAAAAAGAGAAAAAGAGAGGAAAAAUCAUUAAUCCAACACAGGAAAAAUCUUAGCUUUUUGUUUUAUUUUUUGUUACUAGUUUUGUACAUUUUAUUUAAGUUUUAUUUUGUAUUAUUGUUGUUUAAUUAAGUGAAAAAAAAAAAGAAGAAGCCGCGCAUGCAGCAGCGUGGGAAAUGAUAUCAUUUUCAUGGGUGAUUUUUCUGAUGAAUUGGAUGGCUGAGGAUAUGGGGAGGAACCAACCCUUCAUCCUCACCUUUGAGGUUAUGAUUUAGGGGUUAUGGUUUCCCUAUAAAAGGAAAGAAAGACGGCAAGAAACAGGGAGAGGAUAGUUGGCGGCUGGGUAGGAAAAGCUAGGGAAAUCGGAUAACAGUCAGCGGGGGAGUGAGGUUUACGAAAAAAAAGCAGAGGAAGAGAACGACGGAGGGAGUAACAAGCGAAAGAAAAGAGAAGGAAAUCUGGAAGGGGGUGAUGAGCGGAAGUCUGGGAGAAAAAGCGAGUGACGGCUGAAACAGAGGGCAGGGGGAGAGUGAAAAGGGUGAGCGAGAGAGCGAAGAAGAAGGGGAAGGCGUCGGGAGUUGGAGGUAGAUCGAGAGCUGGAAGAAUAGAAAGAGAAACGGCGGCUGGAAAAGGAAAAGGAAAAACUGAGCGAGAGAGAAGCAGAGAAGAAAAGCAAAAAGGGUUGGCUGAGGAACCGAGAAAUUCGAGGAAGAACAAGGGAAAGAGGAGAUCCAAGGCUGAGAACGUAGUUUCUGGUUUCUUCAUCGGAGUCGAACCCAAGCUGAAGCCUCAGAUCCAAAGGCGGUGAACAGUAAAUCAUGUAUGAGACCGCUGCGUUUAAAACAGCAAUCAGUGGUAACGCAGACCUGCUGCCCUUUGUUCGUGCUGCCUCUAUUUUAUUUCCUAUUGUUCGUUAGUUUGCUUAAGUAGCUGUUUUUUUCUUACACCUUUGUGGAGUCUUGCUCAAUAGUUUUGUUGUGAAGGAUUUUUGGGGUUUGGUUGACAUUAAGAGGGUUUGGAGUUGUUGAAGCUGUCAGUUUUUGGGUUUGUUUAUCUUGUUUUGGGUCUGUUUUCUCGCAAAUUUGGUUGAAGUUUUUAGCAAACGAUUCUGGCACUUCAUUGUGGUUUUCCUUUUCUUAUUUUCCUCUUGUCCCUGGUUGUUGCAUUUCAAACUGAAUUGUUGAAUCCGUGGGGUUUGCUAUGGUGAGUAUGUAGUUUGUGUCUAGUUUAAAGCUAUGUGAAUUUGAAAGCAAGCUACGUUCAGAUUUUUGUUUUGGCCACUGAAAGCCUAAGAGCAAAGAGUUGCGGAAGCAACAUUGACUGGAAAUUGCAGAAAAAUAAGCUUCUUCGUAACUUUGCAUAAACUCUGUUAGAAAGUUUUUCCAGAAUUGCAUAUUUACAAUCUAAGUUUUGUCUUGUUGGAUGAGUUUGAUGUUUCAUUGCUUAAGGCCGAGAUUUUGACGUCUGUUUGAGAUUAUAUGCUAAGGGAAAGCUUACCAGGAAACUUAGAAAGUUGGUUUUUCUUUUUCGGCCGCAGCAUGUGCUUCCCAUUUGGUUAUUCAUUUGAUUUUAAUGGUUUGUUGUUCAUGAUUGGUUUGUGUUAAUCAAGGUGUUUAGUUGUCCAAGGAUGUUGAGUGAUGUUUUUCACUAGCUCUUGUUUGAAGUCUUGCAUGAAGCUUGUGUUUGAAAGCUUGAGAUUGCUGGAGAAAGCUUCCUAAGCUGCCGAACGCCAUUCUGUUGCAGAAAACUUGUCUUCUCGUGGCUUUGCAUGUUUUGCAUGCAAAAAAAUAGCUUUUAAAAUUGCAUUUUACUCCCCCUUAAUUUCUAGCAAUACUACAAAAGCCCAAUCAUGCUCUAAUUUCCUGCAAUUAGGUCCUAAAGUAAUUGCAAUUUCAAUCAUUAUUUGACCUUUUCAUUGCUCUUGGACCCUUGAAGUUCCUAAAAAUGUUUUAUUUGGGCUUGAAUGCUUGGUUAAUAUUUGCAAUUGGGUCCUUGGUAGUUUUUUUCUAUUUUUUAAAAAUUUGAUCAAUAAUUUACUUUCUUGAAAAUUAUGUAUUAUUUGAUUUCAUUUAAGUUGCAAUUGGGAGGGAUUUGAUGAUUUUGUUUAUACUUUACUAUUUAAUUGGUGCCUUGACCCUUUUAUUGUUUUGAAGCUAUUUUUCCUUCAUUUGAUCACCAUUGCAAGGGAGGUACACUCUAUCCCUUAUUUUUUACGUUAUUUGACCCUAUGUAUCUAUGUGAUUCAUGUGCUUGAUUGCAUGCCUUUCGAAUGUUUUCAUUCUAUUUAUUUAUUCGCUUUAGUCGUCUUAAUUUCGUUUAUUUAUUUUAGCUUCAUUUUGGUUAUUUAAAAGGCAUUUGAAUGCCAAGUUGUAAUAGUUAGGUUUAUUUUAUUUUAUUUAUUUAUUUUCAUUUCCCUCCUUAGAUUGUAGUAGGCUUCCCCCCGAAUGUAAUAGUUAGAGCUUUAUUUGCUUUAUUUGCCUUAUGUGUGUUUUUGCAUGCUUACGUGCUAUGUGUUACCGCUUUAUUAGGGUCUUGCAUCUAGAUAUCAUGACUAUGUGUUAUGUGACAUUAUGUGUUUACUCGCUUUAUUACGUUUUUAUGAGAUUAUAAUUAAUGUGUGACGUUAUCACACUAGUCCAACGCUAGUUGUGAUCCAUUUUUCGAUACCACACUGGUCCAACGCUAGUUGUGGUCUUCCUUGUUCGAUUUCUCACUAGUCCAAUGCUAGUGAGAAAGUAGAAAUAUGGGCUAGUCCAACGCUAGACCCUUAGGAGCCCUUUGCGCGUUAGAUCAUGAUUGUGUGACAAAAAACACUUCAUCUCAUGCAUAUCUUUACUUUCUAGGGCCUCUUUUACCAUGUUGCAUGACACUUUUCUUAUAUAUGUAUACCCCUUUCCCCAUAUUCCCCUUUAUGUAUGUAUAUUCCUUACUCCUAUGUGUGAUACAUAACAUUAGAUUGGCAUUUCAUUUAAAAGUUAGGGGUAGGUUAGUACAUUUUGCUUGAUUAGAUUAGGGAUAACCCCUUGGAUAUGGGAUAUGGACGAGUUUGGCUUUCUAGCCUUGGCACGCUCGUAUUCCCUCUAUUAAAAGGGAAAAUUGAGUCACGAACAUUAGUCACCCGUAUCCGACAUGAUGCAUUCCUUUAAGACACGUAUAUUUCUAUAAUUAUUUUAUCAUUUUCCUUUUCUUAGAGUCUCAUAUUUUUGCAUUAUUCGUGACUUCUCCAAAGGAUCAUUAUUGGGCAUCACAAUUAAUGUGAUUGGCACCAUUCAAGCUUUGAAGAGAAAUUUUGCCCCCCGAUAUCCCCCUAGGUCUAGGGUUUGCAUUCAUAUAGUACAUCCAAAUGUGAUAAAUCUUUAGGUUAAAAUAAGAAAAUCUUUGACUAAAUCGCGCAACUAGCCUUGGCUAGGUUGAAAGGGUGCAUUGGAUUCUUAUCCUUGCCUUCCCUUUCUUCAAAUGUGACUCCCGAAUCUUUUUCUCUAAUUUUCGUAGACUUGGAGUCGUUUAAAAAGGGUUUUCUACUUUUUUUUUCUUUAAAAAUUCAUUUUUUAGGUGAUUUGGUACACCUUAACUCUAUACCAAGUGGCGACUCCAUUUUUCAUUCGAAAAACCCUUUUUAAACUAUAUUUUGGGUCAAAUCGUCGCAUUUUCAAGUCCCAUUUAGACCUAUGUUUUUCAUUUUCUUUUUAAAUCAAAAAUUCAUUUUCAAUCAAAAAAUUGAAUCAAAAUUCAUUUUCCUAAACUUAUUAUUCAUUAUUUUUCUUAAAAAAUGGGGCGCGACAAAUAUUCUUCAUGAAUUUAAAGAAAUUUUGACAUGAUAAACUCCACUUUAUAAGAUAUUACUUUUCCUAAAAUUAGAAGUCUAGACUCACAUAACAAUCUCAAAGUCCUUUCAUACAAGGUUAUGUCAAAAAGUAUGAAAGCAUCAAUUAAAAUUUAAACUUCCUUCCCCCGCACUUAAAUUUGACAUUAUACUCAAUAAGAAAGUUUGACAAAAAAAAAAAGAAAUGAGAUAAAAAGAAUUAGAAAUGAUUCUCCUUAUGUACUUUUGACAUGAUUCGACUAAAACACAACCACAAAACACUAUUAGCAACAAAUUUUUUGAAAAAUUUUGGACAGAGUUUCCUCUUAUAACUGGAUGAAACUCCCUGCCAACAAUCUCAAAUUUCAACAAUUUACACAUACCAACAUCACCAUCUAUCCAAAUUUUCAACAAAUACAUCAAUUUCUGCAUGAAUACCAAGGAAUGAAUCCAAUUUCAACCAUUCACCCCCAUACUUCAAUUAUACAAUAUCCUCAAUGUGAAAAGGUAAAGGGAAAGAAAAAGGAAUACUCCCCUAGCGUAAUAGGUGAUUUGUUGUGGUUGCACACCAAAUCUCUAUUGAAAGCACUGCUUUUGUCUUUAUUCUUCAAACCUAUAAAAUAGAGACAAACACACUUAAAACACACUAAAGACAUGAAACUAAAAAUACUGUUGGAUUGCCUCCCAACAAGUGCUUGUUUAUAGUCAUUAGCUUGACUAUUUGACUUCAUUUUUCAAGGAGAUUUUGUUAAAGAAUAAUCCACCAUUUUAGGUUAUGGUGGAUCAUUAAAAGUUGACUCGAUUACAUAAGUCAUAUAUCUAAAUGAGAGUAAAAAUGGAAGUGACUUACCAAUCUCAAGUGACUCAUAGAUAUUACCUUGGAUGUGCAUUAUUUGAGUACUCACCAAAGGAGAUGCCAUGAGGGUUUCUUGAGCAAUAAUAUGUUUAGAACCUAUACUUUCAACAUGCUCCUCAAGAGGGGUUAACAAUGAGUCGUUAAAGCUCACUUCUUGAGGUUUGACAUUAGCUCCAAAGGUACUAUCAUGUAAAAUGGAUAUGUUCUCUUUGAAAUUCAAAUUAAAUUCAUGAUUUGGCAUCAAAAUGCAAUCCAUUUUCACUUGCAACAUGCUUACCAUUCAUGCUAGGGUCAUUUUGCAUAUCAUUAGAAGAAAUAAUUUCACACAAAACAUGCAAUUGAUCUUGUAUUUUAUCAAAAUGAGGAGUUAAUUUAUCUAAUCUAUCCUCAAUCCUAGUAAAACGAUCAGAGGUUGCAUUAGCUAACUUUUCUAUAGCUAAAUCAAAUUGAUUAGAAAAUUUUUCUAUGGCUAACUCCUAAAAUAGAUUAGAAUCAUUAGCUAAUGGCUCACUUUCUAAUUGCCAAGGUAAAGGUGCAUUAGCUAAUCUUUCUAUUGAUAAUUUCCAAGAUGACUUAGAUUCAUAUUGGACAAAUUCGAAUUGGUAAUCAUAAAAACAUGAAGAAUUACUAUAUGCACAUUGAUUAUCCCAACCAUAAGUAUAAGAAUUACUCCAAUUAGAUCCAUUUUGAUCAAAAUAAGGAUUGUAAUACCCCAAUUCAUUAUAAUAACGUUCAUUUUGUGCUUGCCUACAUAUAUGAGUAGUAUGAUAACCUCCACACAAGUCACAAAUCUCAUGAUAAGAAUUGAAAGCAUUAAAAUUCCUCUUUUGUUCAAGCAUAUUUGUAAUGGUAUUCAAUUGAACUUUUAAUGUUAUAAAAUCGCAUUUAGCCUUUAAGCACCUCAAGCCAUCAUCAAAUAACAUAUUUUCAGUAAUUUCUUGGUUACCUUUAUCCAUGGAACUUUGCAUGUAGUAACCAUUCAUUACCGAACUUCCACUCUUCAUGCAUUGUUUUUCAAAUCGACCUACCCUCCUCAUUACCUAAAAUUAUUUUUAAACAACUUAAGAGCAAGAUUAGUAAGAAAAAUAGGUCAUAAAACACAUACACACAUUAAAUACAAAAAUAAUAGAAAAUAAAAUUCAAGACUAACUCGACAAACACACAACAAACUAGACUCAAUUAAUAAACAAGAAAAACUAUUAAAAUGUCUAAACUAAUAAAGUUACUCUUCAUGCCGAUAUUGCCACAAAUCUUCCCCAACAACGGCACCAAAAACUUGACGAGCACAAGAAAUACAUAUCAUAAUAAUGCUCAUUCCACAGUUAAGUUUUACAUUUACAACAUCCUAAAUACCCCACACGUGAUUUUCCGCAAGUAUACGAGUCGAGAGCAAGUAUAGGGUAUUAAGGGACGAUCUCUCAAGGAAGACGAGCAAGUACUGGCACUACUAAAAUUUCUCUAUUAUUUAGACUAUCAACGAAUUAAAACAAAUAAACUAAGAUAUAAAUGGAUAGAUAAAUGCAAAUAAAAGCUCAUUGGCUAAUGGAAUCCCUACCUAUUCAUGCUAGUGCAACUCCCUAACCAAAUGAGUACCAAAAUCUCGGCUAAGUUAUGGCUUAAUUUCCUAAUAUACGUGAUACCUACUUUCGUCGGUGUACCAACUAUACCUAUAGUUAAUUCAUACCUACUUUCAUGGUCAUGAAAUCAACUACAAGUUCAUUUAGUUCUACGAAAAUUACAUGGAACAAAGCCAUAAAAGUCACAAAAGUGUAUCUCUACAUUCGUGAGUGUACACCCUAGGUUUAACAUUUCUAUGAACUAGUGUCAAAUUCUAAUUCUCAUUACAGAUCUAACACUUUUAGAUAAUCAUAAUCAAUGGCCAGUUAAUCAUGAUUACAAGAGGAAAAGUGCUAAGUAACCCAAACAAGAUAAUAGCAUCAAUUGACCAAGAAAUCAACACCAAACAAUCAUAGAAAGUUCAACCAAAUACCCAAUGCAUACACUUUAAAAUGACAUUACAAACACAAAAUCCAAAUCUUGCAUUAACAAACUUAGAGUUCAAUACAAAGAUAAAGAUGUGAAAAAAAGAAAACCCUUGUCACUAGAUGAUAGAGCGAUUUUUGAGCACAUUUUACACUAUUAUUCUGUCCUAAUUUUGGCUACUCAUGGUGCUUAGAAUUGAUAUUUUGCUCAUAUUUGACAUUUGUGUAAAGUGUAGGUGGUUGGUGUAAAAAAAGUGCCAUCGCAGAGCAAAUUUCCAGAAGACUUUUUGUCUCAGGACGUGCCCACGCCAGAGACCGAAAGAGGUACGUCAAGGACGGACACGCGGGAUGGGUAAAACGAGAAAAACAUCAGGAAACCAAAGAGGGUCCACGUGGACCAGAUGCAUGGGAUCAGACCCUUUAGACAAAGCUUUGCUCCAGACGUUUCUUUUACUCUCUUUUGGGCGGCGGCCAUUGAAGAUGUAAGGGGGCCAGAUUCACGUGCAAUGGGAACUUUUAACAUUAGAUUAGCUUUUGGCUUUUGGGGUGUCAGACGUUAGCUUUCUCUUGGGCAGCAAUUACAAUAGGUUUUAGAUUAGCUUUUCGUUUCGCCUAGUCUAAGGGGAAGGGGAGGGGGUUCGAUGUGAGUACAGACUCCAUCGAUGAAAGUCAAUUAAGACCGCCACAAAUUGUGGCAAAUUUGUGGGAGGUAAGGAUUGAACCCCUGACCUCCAGCAUCACCUUUAAUGGUGAUGACCACUGGACCAAAUGGCCAGUGGCAUAUUGCUUCUUGGCUCUGUACAAUUGAUUCCCUUUUUGGCUUUUCACUUUUGACUCUUCUAAAUUCCGUGAGAUUUCUUUUAUGCUUGCGGCUCCAGCGCAGACACAAAAUAAGAAAAAGGAAUUAAGGGACAUCCGCAGCACUGUUCCUUCAUUGUUUCACUUUUCCAAUUCAUCGGCAAUUAAUUGAAUGAAUUCAGUUAAAUCACGCGAAAGUGACAUGAUGAGGAGCGGCUAGGUUUCUCCUCUACCCAAAGGUUGACGCAAGGGCGCGGUCUAUAAUAUCUGUGAGAUCUAAUCGAAUUUUUAUUAUUUCUUCCAAUUUGUUGCUAUUCGUGCAUUUCCUAGAUUAAUUGUUCAUGGGUAUUUUAUUAAUUGAAUAUCAACGGCCGGGUAUUUGAUCUAAUAUAAUAGCCUACUGCCACGUUAAUUAAAUUGAAUCUGUAAUUGUUCGUUUAGUUGACAACUAGUGGCAACCACCAUAAUUGGCUUUAUGUUGGGGAAACGUGAGAUCUGAUUUAAACAAACCCUCUUAGCGAGUUUAUUGGUUAGGGUUGGGUUCUUCUAGUUUUACUGCAACCGGAUAAUUAAAUUCCUACGGUCGUACCUAGGGUUGUUUUCUAGUUAGGGAAGCAAUCAAUGGUCGUACCUUGACUGUCGAAAAAGUAAGGAAGAACCGGUUGUCAGAGCUUGUUGAUAACUAUAACCAAUCUAGUGAUGAAUGGAUGAAAUAUCUGUGCAUCGAUGAUCAUUUAAUUGGACUGUGCCUGAGCAGUUGAUCCUUUGGGUAGAAUUUUAUUAAUUGCUAUUUUUACUAAAUUGAACUUGUUGAGUUAGCUAUUGAAUUUUAUUUAUUUUAUUUUUAUUUUCAUCCCAUUAAUUAUCCCUCUCUUUUAUUCUAUUGACGUGGAAAAAAACAACCUCCUACCCGUUCCCUGUGGAAUCGACCCUACUUGCCAUUGUAUGCAAAUUUAAUAUUUUUAUAAACAAUUCAGGUAUAUCGGAUUAAACAAACUCUUCGGGAAUAUGGUGAAUCAAGUAACCCAUUGCAUACCUAGGGUCCCUGCUCUAGUACUUGGAUUUGUUCUAUAAUUUACUGCGGUGGUAAUUAGGACUUUUUAGUGAUUAUUAUUGCACAGAUUCGGCACCUGUCACUAGAACUUCUUGAACCUCUCCUUCUUCAUCUCCCUUGGCCUCCUUGUUGAGCCAAUACAAGAAUGAAUAACCACAACUAGAUUAUACUACACUAACCUCCACUAACAUAAGAGAAAAUAAAGAGAGUUACAUUUGUUAAUGGUUUGUGUCUUUCCUUAAAGGGUAAGACACAACCCUUUGGUUGUUCUUCUUCUUUCUCCAAACUCUCUCUCCUCUCUUAAGCUAAUUUGAACUCACUACACCCUCAAACUAGAAGAACUAUGUAGUAUAUAUUCUUGGUCUUCAAGAUCCAAUCUCUCUCCUCAAUAAUGUGUUUCUUUGUUGUUAAGAGUCAACAAAAGAAGGGCAAAAAGUCCCAGUGGCCCUCAAACUAUUACCCGGAUGAAGUUUUGGCCCUCAAACAAUUAAAAAACAAUUAAAAGUAAAGUUUUGGCCCCCGAUCUAUUCAAAGUACAAAUUGUUAGACCUUCUGUCAAAUUCAUCUGUUAAUACCGACGGAAUCUACGACCACGUGAGAAGCACGCCGAAAUACGAAGGGCAUUUUUGUUCAUAAAGAGCUGUCAUCAAGUCAAAGAAAGGAAGGUCGGUGGGGCUUGAGGGGACAGCUCUGAGCUUGCCCUCCCAGAAAACGAAACGAGGGGCUUUGGGAUCUCCCAGUACCAAAUCAUCCUUGAGGCUGCUAUCCACGACCAGGGUCAGCAUUGGGUCGGAGGGCUGGAAACUGUUGGGACCCUCUUCCCAUAGAUAUCCGUCCCUCUCCACCGUGGUAAUGUUGCCGCCCACUCGUUCUCUGGCCUCCGUCACGAGCACAUUGUUACCAGACAGGGCCUGGGCUAUGGUGAGGCCGGUUAUACCGGCUCUUGUGGCUGCAAUUGAGUUUUUCUUUGUUCAAGUUCAGGAAGAAGUCCCAUUUCACCAAGUGGAUGACAGCUCUUUAUGGACAAAAAUGCCCUUCGUAUUUCGGCGUGCUUCUCAUGUGGUCGUAGAUUCCGUCGGUAUUAACUGAUGAAUUUGACAGAAGGUCUAACAAUUUGUACUUUGAAUAGAUCGGGGGCCAAAACUUUACUUUUAAUUGUUUGGGGGCCAAAACUUCAUCCGGAUAAUAGUUUGAGGGCCACUGGGACUUUUUGCCCACAAAAGAAACUCCUAGAUCCUCCAAAAAUUGGUACAAAUUGUCCUUUUAUGUCUUGUCCAAGAAAAAGAAAGAAGCAAGAAGCAUGCAAGUUGGCAACUUGCAGCUGCCAGGAAUCCCUUGGAUGAAUCCUUGGAGCGAUUCUCCAAGGGAUUGUGCAGAACAACUACGAAAACAACAUUCUAGACACAAUCCGCGGCAGAAACCAUCCACUUAGCACCACUUCAUCUUCUCUCUUUUUGUUUUCUUUCUUCCUUUCCACCACUUCACGUAGCAUUUGUUGUGACUCCUCAAGUUUCAUAUCCUCGCUCAUUUCACAUCCCAUUAAGCUUGAUCAUUUUACCUAUAAAAAACAAAGAAACUUUGCGAGUAAAAUGAUAAAAAUCACAAACAAUUCAUUUAUUAAGUGAAGGUGCAAUUUAGUGACAUUAAAUGGACAAUUCAUACCAAAUAUCUUAACAAUCGACUUAAAAACAAUACGAAACACAUUCAUAAAGAUAGCAAAUUUAACCAUUAUCACAAAUCAAAUAGAUAUGGAUUGGUUUAUUUUAAGUACACUUAAUAAAUUAAUAAAUUAUUAAUUUAUCAAUUAAUUAUUAUCUCUUUAAAUUAAUAUAAAUUGUAUGGUUCCAAAAAUAUUAAUUUAUAGAGGUUUUACUAUAAAUGCUAUGUUAUUGUUAUUAUAUAAAUAUAUUUGUAUGAAUUAAGUAAUAUACUAUGUUGUUAUGAUAAAAUGAUGUAAUAUUUUGAUAAAACUUCAAAAGAAUGAUUAAUAAUAUUAUUACUAGAUCUAUAUAAAUUGAACAAGUUAAAUCAAAUAAAAAAAUAAUAAUGAUAGUGGAGUGGCGUAGGUACACCCACAGAAUAAUGAGUAUCUUUGAGAUUGAAUUCAGUUUAGUUAAUUUGAACUCGAGAGCUUGAUGUUAAUCGAGUUCGAAUCGAGUUUUGACUCAAACUGCUCACGAAUAGCUCGACUCGUGUGUAACCUACCCUUGCCGCAAAGUCAGUGGCCAGCUGACGAUGCAAGUGGCGCUGGUUUCUUGAAAGAACCAUUCGUAUUGUUCCUUGUUUGGCUCGUUCAGCUUCUUUAGUUUUUCUUCUUUGCAAGAUCCAAUAAUGCCAAAAACUCCUUAGCAACGUGUUCUGCAUCAAUCCCUCCCACAUUUAAUGAACCUGCUCUCCAGCUGUAGUUGUUUACAAAAUCUUAAUAUAGCUUCACAUUGGAAGGAUCACACAAAAAAAAGAUCUGCCGCAUUGAAAGUCCGCCAAAUACCUAAAGAUUCAGGGAAAUCCGCCAAAUAAGCAUUGGGAUUGGACCUUUACUAAAUUUUCUAACGUCCAUACUCCUUUGCAGUAACUUGCGGAAUAACCAUCAAGUUAAAUUUUGUAAUUGACCACCAUUUCUUACUUUUAUUGAGCAUCGGCCACGAGUGGUGCUCCUUUUCCGACACCUGCUUUACAUGCAGAAACCAAUGAUCUAUCAAACCAGACGGACUGACGUCUCUAUCCACCGCUUCAACUGGUUUUCAUGCAAGAAAGAGGAAGACACAGUGCACAAAAUUACAAGAUUCGCAUUCAAUUCAGUGGAGUUUGCUUUCGUCCUCCACCAACUGACCCCACCUGCUUCUCUCUUUCCUCUCUCUCUCUCACAAUUUAUAUCAUUGUUAUGGGAUCCAUCAUCGCUCAAUUACUACUUCUAGUAUGAAUCAGUGAAGUCCACUGAUCGCCACCCAACUCAGCAGCUAUGCUCUGCUCUAGACCUCCACUGUCUGGCCCAGCGAAGCAAACUCCUCAAAUUUCAUUCACUAGGAUCAACCGCCCUGAAAAUGAUUGAACUCCAUUGAAGUCUGUGCAGUUGACUUGACUUUCUUCUUCUUCUUCUUCUUGUCCCCUCUUCCUACUUCUGCUUACUGAUUUAAUUCUGUGGUAAUUCAGGGGGAUCAAUAUGAUGGAUAAAUGAGUACACGAGCUUUGAGUUACUGCUCAUUCAUUUUGUUACGGAUCUGCUGCUUCUUUUGAUUCUGAUAUUCAUUUUGGAAAGGGGUAUGUGAAUCUAUAAAUUUCCGUGUACACAUGCAAUUAAGUGCGUGCAUUGCGUCUAAUUAUUUGCGGAAUGAUUGAAACGUCAAUGAACUGAAGGUUUUGAUGACCUUGAAUGUUCAUCCUUGCUUUUGCUUGCUAUAAAAGACUCGUCCAGGAAGAAUAGAUUGAAAUUCUGAAGAAUUAUUAUUAGGAGUUUAAAAAAUUUUAAAAAAAAGGCAAAAAUAUUAAAAAAAAAAAAAAAAGAAAGAGGGAGAAAAGCUUAUGACAUAAGUUAUUGAAGGUGGGUUCCCAUGCAAAAGGAGAAGGAAAUGGAAAAUAUGAGGCAAUCAAGGUCGAAAUUUGUGUCCGAUUAUUUUGACUAUUGAAUCACCAUUCUACGUUUCCGAGUGUGAUUGAAAGUCAUGACUUAGUAUUGCCCUGUAACUGAAUUGAUCCCAGGGAAAAUGUGGGGAAAUAAAUAGAGAGAAAAAAUUAAGAUACGUUUAGAUCAUUUACUCAAAGCCAUAUUGGUGAUUUGGAAUUAAGGAAAGUUUGUCUUUCGACUUCAACAUUCCUUUUUGAGUGUUGUUUGGAGUUUGGACCACAAAAGAGGAAAAAAUAAAAGAAGAAGGAUUAUCCUUUUUCAAACUUAAUGUCAUUUGGAUAACAAUUAACAAAAUCUCUCUAUGGGUUUCAAAUUCCAAAGAUUGGAUUUAACCAUUUUAAUUUAAGCUAACACCGUCAAACAGGAGUUUCAAAUUGACAUUUCUGAAUAUAAUAGAUCCUCGAUUAUUCAACGGUUUCACUAUUACUAUGUAUUCCAGUUCCGACUAUUACUAUGUAUUCCAGUGGAACUCGACUUAUUUAAAGGUCUUGGUCUCGAGGUCACAAGUAUUAGCUGAAAUUGCAGUACCCUAACUAGUAUGUACAUCGCCCCUGUCAAAUGUAGAUAUCUGUAGCCAAGACGCCUGUCUCUGGACUUAGAAAGUGAUUAUUUGCAAUAAAUUGAAACUUUAAACUCAUGGACUGGCCUGUCCUUCUAAUUUGACCACAGGUUUGUUGAGUGAUCAUGAAGAGGAAGUGAUUGGAUAAAGCACUCAUCCACUUGAUCCAUAUCGUAAGCACUAACCAAUUCCCAUCUAUGAACUUCAUGCUCUCUGUUUUCCCGUUUAUUUGGCUGUAACUUCUACUUAAUUGGAAGUUCAGUUGACAUGUCUAUGUUAUGUCAUUUGACAGCCUUUGAGGCAUAUUGGUGGAGUUCUUGGCAUGCUGUGGAACGCUUAAGAAUUAAGGAUGGAGCCAUUACCAUGCAUGUAGUAGAUAAUGGGGAGGUGAUCGAGGAGAUGAUUUCAAUGUCAAAUCUCCGAAUGAGGUCAAGGAAAGCCACAAUUAAUGACUGCUCAUGCAUCCUGAGACCCGGCCUUGAUGUAUGUGUUCUGACUACUUCAUCCGAUACAAAAGACUCGAGUGAAGACUCGCCUGUGAGUUUUUCGAUGUCCGAUUUUUCUCGAGCUUGGAUAUUGUUCGUUUGUGACCAAGAAUUUUAUGCACCAGGCUGUAGGAUUUAGUUCAGUUUUGCCCCUUCAAUUUACACAGUUCACAUUGAAAUACUUCAUCCAUUUUCUCUCCCAAUUUGUCUCUUUGACCAAACAAAACAUUCUCUUUACAUUCGACUGAAAUAGUUCCUGAAACAGGAUAUGAAAACUGCAGACCUAACUGGCAAUGAGAAAAUGAAGGCUAGCGCAAGUGUCAGGCAUAUUGUCCUGCCUUGCUCUACUUCAGCGAGAGCCCAGCUUAUUCCUGACAUUAUUCGUUGCUAUGGCAAAGGAGGUCAAACUAUUAUUUUUACACGAGCUUUCACGAAGAAUGAAAUUUAAACAAAAAAAUUAAGUUGAUCAACAAUCAUUUCUUAAGAGCAUGACAUUAUUCCUGUGUCUAUUGUAAAAAGAUCUAUUUUCAAAGUAUUUGAGUUCUGUAUCCUUUCUGCUGAUUUUGGUAUUUAACUAAAUUGCUCUAACUCACAUAUUCCUUCUAUUGCUUCUGUUUGUUGCCUUCUCAAUAGAUGUGUUGCCAACUUAUUUGCAUACUCUUAUUGUGGUAUAGGUCUGGGCUGAUGCCAGAAUAAGAUCUAUUGAAAGGAAGCCUCAUGGCGCUAUAUGUGCUUGCCAUUUCCAUGUCAGUUUCUAUGUUGGAGAAGAGGCCGCUCUUACGUUGCAGAAAAUACUUAGUAAAGAAACAACAGUGGUGCAAAUUGAUCAGAUUAUGAUUCUUCAGAAACUUGAAUCGGUACCUUCUGAGAAUCAGCAUUACCGAUGGAGAACUUCAGAGGACUGCUCUUCUCUUCUGCUGUACAAACUUUUCACGGGAAAGGUCUGUUCUGACCUGACAUGGCUGGUUGUCGCAUCCGUUGCAAAGCAAGCCAUCUUUGCCGUAAGGUCAGUAGAAGGUCGAAUGGUUUAUGAGGUCCUCGAUGUUGAUUGCAGCACCGAUUCUGGCAGUUAUUCCUAUUGUGUGAAUUUCAAGUUAGACAAUGGAAUAUUGUCCCCCAUCAUUGUCCGGCGUUGGAAAAAGAACCGGAGACGAGAUGCAUACUGAAGCACCACUGUGCCUCUACGAGCCCAUGGACUAGCGUCGGUCAAAGCGCCGCUUUGUGCAGCCUGACCGUUAUUUGGGUUGUGAUGUUCCCGAGUUUGAGGUUGAAUCUCCAAGAAUAAGGGGACGAAAGAUGUGCAGAUGGGAUUAUGAGGAUGAGGAGUGUGAGGAAAUGCCACCAGCACUAUCAAUUCAGGCUGACCACAAAUAUCAGAAGCGUGAUGAAAAUGGAAACAAGGAUUUCUCUUGCAAAAGAAGAUCAGACAAGAAUAUUCGUGUACGUGGAAGUGCAGACAGAUCAACUGUCUCUAAAAAUUGUGAAAGCCCACCAACUCGGGAGAAGAAACAAUCUGACCAAUCACAGCUUGCUUUGGUUUCCUUGUCAAUAUCUUCAGAGGGCAAAUCAAUUCUGCGUGAACUAGACGCUUCAAAUAGUGAAAAUCCUGAAGAUCAUUCUGGAAAUUUUGCUGAUCUGAUUUCCAGAUAUCUUUAUGAAAAUGCUUCCACCGCCAAAGGACGCAAAAAGAAGGCUUCUGAGUUAAACUUCGUGAGGAAGGAGCGUGGAUUCGUGGUACAACGUUUACUCAGAAAAACAUACAAGAGAAAUGCAUUUUGCAUCCGUUCUGAAUGGGAGAGUAUAUACAAUAUGAAGCCUUCUGGAAAGAAAUCAUUUAGUGCUGCUGCAUGCAGAGAAUUGUUGACAAGAUGCAUGGAGAACAUUGACGUAACCAUCAAUAUGGAACAGCCACCAGUUA